GUAGACGUCCUCUGCUGCCAAGUUAGGGUGCAUUGGACACUCGAACAAAGAGCCUCUCCAACACUACUUUCUGUGUUCUUCGUUCGCACCGUCCAGGGUAAAUAUAUCCCAUUUUUAUAGCAGAUUAGAUAUGAAAUUUUACCCCUUCUAUGAGAAAUCUGUUUUUCCUCAAGAUACGAUGUGCGCAUGAUUCCUCAAACACUAUCUAUCACCACAAUCAUUGAUGAACUAGCUAAGCAUCUAAGAUUUUCACGAGAUUCCUCAAUUGUGCAAAUUUUCGGAUCUGUACAACUCUGGAACCCAAGAACAGUAUGCUUAGGCAAAUUCCUCAACCACUGGUUAUAUUCCUCAAACUGUCAAACUUUUUCAUUUUGUUCAAAUCUGAGAACGCAUAUGACCUCUCCAAAUUCCUCGCAACUAUACUCUGUUCACAGGUACACACAUGUCAGCUGAUGAAUCUCUCGGUUCUCAUCACAUUAACUCAUUUGCAGCAUUUCUGGAAGAAACUCUUCAAGGCUCAUCAGAAUCCUCAAGAGUUCAAAAUCAUCAGGAAAUUCCUCGUCUGAAGAAAAUGGAGGAAGAAAGGAAACAGAAGGGAGGAAAGAAACUGGAGCAGAACACAACUGCUGAUAUUCCUGAGGACAUAUACUUGGACUAUUGUACGCCUGAUGAAGAACCUGCGACAAUGGCCAAGAGAAAGAUUAGGCUGCAGAAGAUUGAACGCAGAUGGGUGAAGGAAUGGAAGGAGUACAGGUUUGUGACUCCAAAAUAUGCGAAGAAAUUCGGUUUGAAGCCUCCUGGCAGAAGGGCCCCACUUGAGGAUCAUCAAGUAGCACAUCCCUCAAGUCUUAUGACACUUGAUGACUACCCAGAUGAAAAAGAAAGGCAUCUGGCCAAGCUCAAGAAGCAAGCUGAAGCUGCAGUGAAGAAAUUUAAUGAAUCCUCGGCUGCUGCCUCCGGUGCUGCUCAUUCCUCAGCAGCAGAAACUUCAGGCUCAGAGAUUCCUCAAAUGCAGUCUGCGCCAACAAAGCCAAAGGCUCCAAAGCCUCAAGAGAAGUCUGCACAGGCUUCUGUCACAAAACCCUCAGCUCCAAAACCCUCAGCUCCAAAACCCUCGGUUCCAAAACCGUCAACACCAAAACCAUCAGCGCCAAAACCCUCAGCACCCAUCUCAUCUACACCAAAAUCCUCAGCUCCACCUCCAAAGCCAGUACAGAAGAAUGUCGUGAAGCCUACGACAGCCAGCUCCAGCUCCUCACUCCCAGCUGCAACUAGCUCGGAGACAAAGUCUUCAACACCCCUUGUGAAGACUUUGACAACUGCUCAACCUGCACCUCUGCCCAGCCCCAGCAAAAUCAUCGCAGUCCCGUCUGGAUCAGAGGGAAGUGAUAACUAUGAUAAUGAAACCCUGCAAGCCAUCAUCAGCAACAAGCAAGAACGGGUAGCACAAGCAUCAUGCAGUGCUAUUCCUCUGGCAAUGGACCCCAAGGUCCUCCUCGACUUCAUCAAUGUAUGGUAUGAAGACCCAAACACACCCAUUGAUGAUUUGAAACUUCCUCCUGGCAUCAGCCACAUGGUGGCCACCUUCAUAAACGAAGCUAAGUGGAAGGAACAGAAGGCCAAGCAGGCAAAGAUUGCAAAGGCCAAAAAGGAGAAAUUCCUCACGCAAAAUCUCUUCAAGCUGACUCCUGAUGCACUAGUGUCAACCCAGGCAGAGCUGCAAGUCUUGACUGACAAGUGUGACAAACUGUCAGACCGCAAAAGCAUCAAGCGCAAUUUCAUCAAGCUAGCCACUAGUGCUGUUGAUGACUACAACAAACGACACCCACCACCAGCACCAACUCCUCAGCCCCUGGUUGAGCAGCCAGCAGAUACAUCUCCUGAGGAGGAGGAAACUCCUCAAGCUGAGGAACAACACCAAGAGCGCCGUGCUGAUGAGCCGGCCAUUGAAGAAAUCAUCACCGAGACCGCUACUGGUGAAAUUGCAACCCCUGAUGCAACUGCUCCUGAUCCAGCUGCUUCAUCAAAGCAGGCUGAUGACUCUGUUCCAGCUGGUUCCUCACUACGAGCUGAAGAAUCUGCAGAAAGAACACCUUCACCAAAAGCUUCAAAGGUGAAGAAGAUAAUCCCGUCUGCAUCAGACGCGAAGAAGACAAGACCUGCUAAGAAGGAAGCAAAGAAGAGAAAAGCUUCUUCAGCAGAAGAAAAGAUAGAGGCAAAGCGCGUGAAGGAAACUGAAGAAUCUGCCCCUCUGGACCCGGUGCCUCUAAAUAUUGCACCUUCAUAUGAAAUGGUCGUCAUUGGUGACCAAACUACAAGGGCAGAUGAGGAAAUGAAGGAUGUCGCCUCUGAGGAACAUACUGAUGAGGAAAUCCAGAUUGAUGACAGUCCUCAACCUCAUGUUCCUCAGACAGAGACUACUCAAGCUUCAGCUGCAGCAGCUGAUGAAAAUGCCUCUGCCACAAAGCCAGCUGAAGAAAAACAAGCUGACGAAAAUGUCCAUGCUUAGCAGGCUCCUCACUCUGAACAGGCUGACCAAACUCCUCAAGCUGAGAAGGAAGCAAAAAUUCCUCAGCCUGCAGCUCAGCCAGAGCAAGAAGUUCCAGCUGAUGAAAUUCCUCAACCUGAGGAAAAUGCUGAAGAAAAUGUUCCCGCCCCUGACAAUGACUACAUUGUGCUCAACCCAGAGACUGCCAUGGUUGUUUCCCCUCCCAUUCCCCAGCACAAUAUCAAGCCAGUUCAGCGCCAUCCAUUCUCGAAGCGGCCAAAGUUUCAGAAAGAAAAUUUCUUUGAGGAACGCAUGUAUUUCAUCGAAGAGAAUCCUUAUGACAAGCCUCAAAUGAGGCAUCUGAAGUUUUGGACAAGGACUCAGAUGAACUACUAUGCUUCUGUGCUCUGUGGACGCAAAAAGAUAUUCCAGCACAGGCACAUUCCUCAUGUGGAGCUUGAAGCAAUACCCUACUUGGAACCAGUCCUGAGUGUACUCCACGAUGCAGGUUUGCUCCCUAUGUGCUCAGACAUAUCAGAUUGGAAUAGUGAGCUUAUUCUUCAAUUCUAUGCAACUCUGCACAUCUCUGGCAACCCUGAAGACAUCAACACUUGGGUGUUCGACUGGAUGACCCAAAACACUCACUACAAGGCUCCCGCUUCUGAACUCCUCAGAGAACUGCCCGUACCAAUUUCUUCAAACGGGGCAGUGAAGCUUUAUGGUGAGCGUGAGCUGCCAAAUGGAAUGAUGGAAGUCCUCAUGAAGCCUUUGGCUGCAGGAAAACCCUCAAGAACCACAUUCCUCGUCCAUGAGCUCAAGCAAACACCCCGGUCUGUCUACCGCAUUCUCUGCAGUGUGCUCGCGCCAAUCAAAGGCCAUGACGAUGAAGAAGAUGUUGUCGGCCUCAUGAAGAAUAUCCUCUUCAACAUCAUUCACUGUAUUCCUGUGAAUAUCCAUGACUUCUUCUUGAGGACUUUGGCCGACAAUGCAAUGUGCCCCUUUGAUCACAAGAUUUAUGCCCCAUGGAUCAUGAGAUUCAUCAGGACAAGGACAGGCAUCAACUUCCAUGCUGAUUUCCAAAACCAUAUGGGUUAUAUGCCUCCUAUCCGGGUCAACAAGAAGACUUUCGAGCCCAUUGAGGGAAAAGGAAAGUCUGUGAUUGACGAAGGCAGCAGGCCUCUUGAUGGUCAGUUCAAAGAGCCAGACGCAUAUUUUUCAUGGGACAAUACUGAGACUCGUCCACCCAGCCCUGUUCCUCCUCGCGUGCUAACCACCAGAGAGCUUCUCCUCAGUCUUCAUCAGAAGGUAGAUCAGAACCACAAAUGGGUCAAACGCCAGUUUGGUGCCAUUUUGAAAACCCUCACUGAAAGCCAGAACUCUGUGAAGAUUAAUCAUCACUAUCCGCAUGAGGUUUUUGAUCACACCUGGGCUACGCUUGCACGUCUAAAGACCCAGACCGAGCUUGAAGAAAUGAACUUUGAGCAGGACUUUGACUGGUCGUGGCCUCCCAAGAAGAAGUUCAGGCCCAUUCCAGUGCCAGACCUUGAAGACAGCUCCUUCUCUUCAUUCCGCACCGCUGAGUCUGAUGAGGAACAACUCGACACCGCAACAUGCCCAAGGAAGAAGACUACACCCAAGAAGCGUCAAGGAUCUUCAUCAACCGCCAAGAAAUGAAGUCUUCACGGGCGUUAGUCCUCAGUUUGUCCCUUUUUGUCACUUGAUGACAAAGGGGGAGAAACUUGAGAGUUAGUCUUCAAACGAGAUUUAUUUUUUGGGGCCUAUGAACUAUAUUUAAGUUACAAACUCUUGGCUCUUCUGAAGUUUUUAUGUAAUGAGUUGUAACUUAAGCCUGAUGGUACUCUGACGCUUUUGAACGUUUUUCUUCGCAUGCUUAUUCCUCAAGUUUUAAUGCACGCAUGCUGGAAUUCGUCAGAUACCAUUUGUCAUCAUGCAUCUUCAUAUUCUUCAUAUGAUAUGUUAUAUGUAUGCAUGAUUUACAAGAUUCAGGGGGAGAUCUCCAUGAUAUANNNNNNNNNNNNNNNNNNNNNNNNNNNNNNNNNNNNNNNNNNNNNNNNNNNNNNNNNNNNNNNNNNNNNNNNNNNNNNNNNNNNNNNNNNNNNNNNNNNNGCUUUUGGUAGGAUUUGGCUUGGGUUGAGCAUCAUGAGGAAAUUCAUUUCCUAUUCAUCAAAUGCGAAGAAAGUAAAACAGAAAACGUAAAUCUUCACGCUUCAAUUUCUUCAGAAUGAUUUCCUUCAGGAACCACCGGUCUUCUCAAUAUCAGUGUCUUCACGAGGAAUAUCAAUUUCAUCGCAGAUUCCUCGUGAUUCAUUUCUUCAGCUUCAGACCAAUUUCUUCAACUGAAGAUAUACAUUUUUAGGGGUCGAUAUUCUUCAAAUAUCUCAAACUCCUCAAUGACUUAUAGAUCCUGUGAACACUUAUAAACACAUUAGAUNNNNNNNNNNNNNNNNNNNNNNNNNNNNNNNNNNNNNNNNNNNNNNNNNNNNNNNNNNNNNNNNNNNNNNNNNNNNNNNNNNNNNNNNNNNNNNNNNNNNNNNNNNNNNNNNNNNNNNNNNNNNNNNNNNNNNNNNNNNNNNNNNNNNNNNNNNNNNNAUCUCCCCCUUUUUGGUGGUUGAUGACAAUUAGGUUAAGUCUUCAACAGGGAUAAAAAAUAUGAAGUGUAAAUACUCAUUUGAGGAAUUUGAAGACAAGAUUCACAGAGACUCCCCCUGAAGAUGUGCAUACCUUGAGGAUUUUGCUUUUAUAGCAGAUGCACAUUGAUGAUUUAUAUCAUGGAGAUNNNNNNNNNNNNNNNNNNNNNNNNNNNNNNNNNNNNNNNNNNNNNNNNNNNNNNNNNNNNNNNNNNNNNNNNNNNNNNNNNNNNNNNNNNNNNNNNNNNNCCCUAGUUUAUGCGUUGCUUCGUAAGGGGCUGAUUUGGAUCCACUAGUAUAAUGCUAUGGUUAGACUUUGUCUUAAUUCUUCUUUCGUAGUUGGGGAUGCUUGCGAGAGGGAUUAAUCAUAAGUGAGAUGCUUGUCCAAGUAAGGGAAGUACCCAAGCGCCAGUCCACCCACAUAUCAAACUAGCAAAAUAACGAACGCGAAUCAUAUGAACAUGAUGAAACUAGCAUGACAGAAAUUCCCGUGUGUCCUCGGGAGCGUUUUCCCUCCUAUAAGACUUUGUCCAGGCUUGUCCCUUGCUACAAAAGGGAUUGGGCCACUUUGCUGCACCGUUGCUACUUUUGUUACUUGUUGCUCGCUACGAAUCAUCUCACCACACAAUCACUUGUUACCGACAAUUUCAGUGCUUGCAGAUAUUUCCUUGCUGAAAACCACUUGCCAGAUCCUUCUGCUCCUCGUUGGGUUCGACACUCUUACUUAUCGAAAGGACUACGAUUGAUCCCCUAUACUUGUGGGUCAUUAGUCAGCUUAUCUGAUUGUUUACCAGUCUACCAGUCUGCUUGUCUGCUUGGUCUUGCAAGAUGUGAGGUUCAGAGGAUAGCAAGAACAACUUGAGUGAGCUCAUGCUGAAACUGACUCUGGCACUAGUCCUGAGAGGACCCCUUCUGACCCAGGUACUCCCAGCUCCCAUGGCAUGCCCAAGUAAGCUACCAGGUCCAGAAGGAAGCUCAAUUCUGAUGAAGAAGAUGUUGACUUCAUCCCUGAGGAAUCCGCUCCCCAGAAGCAGAAGGAGAAGACCACAGUCAAGAAGACUGUGAGGAAGGAUUAUGCAAAACCUUAUAACACUAGAGCUCAUGAAGCUAGGCUUGCAAAGAAGCCAGGUGUGAAUAGAGCCCAGAAGAGAACUAUCCAUGUUAUUGGAAGGCAAACCUUAGUGUAUUGUUGUCAACUACAAGAUGUCGCUUGAAAAAUGGGACAUUGAAAAGACUAUAGCCAUGUGUGUUCAAGAAGUGGAAAGACUUAAAUCCUCACAUGGUGGUUCUCUGAACUAUGUGAAGAACAACAAGAAAAGGAACUACAAUCAAAAUAGCAAUGGUUCGGCUUCAAAGGAACAUGGCAAAGCUCCCACGCAAUAUCAGCAUCAGAAGAAGUCUUUUCCAGUGGACAAAAACACAUGUCUCCACUGUAAGAAGACUGGACAUUACAAGAAAGAUUGCCCUGAUUGGUUAAAGUUAAUAGUGGAAAAGAGAGGUAAAAACAAUGUUUCCUUUGUAAAUGAAUCUUUGUAUACACAUUUUUUGAAAUCUACUUGGUGGACUGACUCAGGUGCAACUGUCCAUGUUGCAAAUUCACUAGAGGGAUUCCAUUCGACGCGAACUAUGCAAAGAAGCGAAAGAAGCAUUGAAGUUGCAAAUGGAGUUCAAGCAGAAGUUGAAGUUGUCAGUGACAUCUCCCUGGAGUUAGCUGAUGGAUUCAAGCUUUCGCUUAGACAUGUUUUAUAUGUUUCUUCAUAUCAUAGAAACUUGAUUAGCAUGUUUGGACAAAGACCAUUAUGAAUGUUAUUUUGGACAUGGCAAGUGUGCCAUAUGGUUUAAUAAUGCUUAUGUGGGUGAUGCUUUACUUCACAAUGAGCUUUAUUUAUUAUCAUUGCAUGAAAAAGUGCAUUCUGUGUGUAAUGUGAAUGAGCAUGUUUCCUUGUCAAACAAAGAACAAAAGAAAAGAAAGAGAAGUCAUGACUCAUCGAAAUUAUGGCACUCUCGCUUGGGCCAUAUUUCGAAGGGGACAAUAGAAAGACUAGUUAAAAGUGAAAUUCUUCCUCCACUAGAGUUCUCAAACUUAGAACAAUGCAUUGAUUGCAUUAAAGGAAAGUAUGUAAAACAAAUCAAAAAGGGUGCAAACCGAAGCACAAGAACACUAGAAAUCAUUCACACUGACAUUUGUGGACCAUUUCCUGUGAAAAGUCUGAAUGGUUAUGACUCGUUCAUAACAUUCACACAUGAUUACUCCCGAUAUGGUUAUAUUUAUCCAAUAAAAUAAAGAAAUGAAGUAUUGGAUAAAUUUAAGAUAUUUAAAGCUGAAGUUGAAAAUCAGCAUGACAAAAGAAUAAAGAUAGUGAGAUCUGACCGUGGGGGAGUACUACGAUCGGCACACUCCAUAUGGCCAAGUCCCCGGACCUUUUGCAAAGUUCUUACAAGAGAUUGGCAUAGUGGCCGAGUAUUCAAUGUCGGGCGAGCCCCAACAAAAUGGAGUGGCUGAAAGGCGUAACUGUACACUUAUGGAUAUGGUGCGCAGCAUGAUGAGUUACUCCACUUCAUUGGGAUUAUGGAUGGAGGCGCUUAAAAGUGCCAUUCACAUUCUCAAUAGAGUACCAUGAAAGUCGGUGCCCAAAACACCAUACGAGUUGUGGACAGGAAGGGUGCCCUCCCUACAACACUUCUGGGUGUGGGGGAGCCGAGCUGAGGCCAAAAUGUUUAAUCCAAAUAUUGCAAAGUUAGAUCCCAAAACAGUAAGUUGCCACUUCAUUUGCUAUCCUGAUAGAUCAAAGGGUUUUCAUUUCUACUGUCCAGACAGAUACACAAAGUUUGUAGAAACAAGACAUGCAUCCUUCUUAGAGGACGAAAUGAUGAGGGGCCAUGGUAGCUCGGAAAAUUGAUCUUGAGGAGAUGAGGGUGCAUGCACCUAAUCCGAUGAUUCAGGAGCCAUUUUCUCACUACCUAUUGUAACUCGAACCAUGACAACUAUGAGAGAAGACCCGGAACCUAUCCGUCAUGAGCCGACUGAACCCGUUGUUGAGCAUGAGAGGGAGGUGCAACAGCCAUUUUUAGAAGAUGUGCUAUAAGUUGAGGCACCUAAUGUGCCACAGAAUGAGGCACUUAGAAGGUCUAACAAAACUAUAAGAUCAACUAUUUCUACUUAUUAUGAAGUUUAUAACACAUAAUUGGUUCAUAUGGAAGGUGAUCCCACUUCAUAUGAAGAAUCCAUGAGAAGCCCCCACUCAUCGAAGUCGCUAGAGGCAAUGGAAGAUGAUAUGAAAUCGAUGAGUUCCAAUGAUGUUUGGGACUUAGAAAAUAUUCCUAAAGGAUCCAAAAUAGUAGGCUCUAAAUGGGUCUACAAAACUAAGUAUGACUCUAAUGGGAAUGUAGAAAAGUAUAAAGCAUGACUUGUGGCAAAGCGAUUUACACAAAGAGAAGGGAUAGAUUACAAUGAGACAUUUUCCCCGGUCUCAUGUAAGGAUUCCUUCAGAAUCAUAAUGGCAUUAGUUGCACAUUUUGAUUUAGAGUUACAUCAAAUGGAUGUAAAGACAAUAUUUCUAAACGUGGAUUUAGAAGAAAGUGUCUACAUGAAACAACUCAAGGGUUUUAUCAUGGAAGGCAAGGAACAUAUGGGAUGCCGCCUGAAGAAAUCCAUUUAUGGACUAAGGCAAGCCUCUAGACAAUGAUAUCUAAAGUUUAAUGAGACAAUUAAAAGAUUUGGAUUUAAAGAGAAUGUUGAGGAAAACUAUGUUUAUGCAAAGUUCAAAAAUGGGAAAUAUAUUUUCCUAAUCUUGUAUGUGGAUGAUAUCUUGCUUGUUAGCAAUGAUGUUAGUCUACUACAAGAAACAAAGAAGUUCUUGUCAUCAAAUUUUGAUAUAAAAGAUCUUGGUAAAGCAUUGUAUGUUUUGGGCAUUGAAAUUCACCGAGAUAGGAAAAAUGGAGUGUUUGGACUAUAGCAGAAAGAAUAUUUAGAAAAGGUUCUCAAAAAGUACAAUAUGCAUGCGAGUAAAGCCACACCUGCUCCUAUAGUCAAGGGCUACAGUUUUGGGAAAUUCCAGUGUCCUAAGAACCAGUACGAGCUCGAUCAAAUGAAAGCAGUGCCAUAUACUUCAGUUGUUGGAAGUUUAAAGUAUGCACAAGUGUGUACUCGCCCUGACUUAGCUUUUAUCACCGGGGUACUCGGUAGAUAUCAAGAGAAUCCGGGCAUAGAGCACUGAAAGAUGGUAAAGAAAGCACUGCACUAUGCGCAAGGGGCAAAGGAACUCAUGCUAACAUACAGAAGAUCUGAUUCCCUAUAUAUAAGAGGGUAUUCAGACGCAGAUUUUGCGGGAGACAAAGAUGAGAGAAAAUCCAAGUAGGAUACGUCUUCACUCUCGUUGGAGGGGCUAUUUCAUGGAGAAGCUCCAAACAGUCCAUAGUUGCAUCGUCCGCAAUGCAUGCACAAUUUAUAGCAUGUUUUGAGGCCACCAGACAGGUGAUAUGGUUAAAGAAAUUUAUACCCGACUUGAAAGUUGUAGAUUGUAUUGACAAACCACUAAAGAUGUAUUGUGACAACCAACCCACAUUAUUCUAUGCUCACAACAACAAGUCGAGUAAUGCUACCAAAACAAUAGACAUAAAGUAUUAUGGUGUGAAAGAUAAAAUCCAAGAUCACACUAUAAGUCUCGAGCAUAUAAGGACAAAGUAUAUGCUUGCGGAUCCGCUAACGAAAGGCUUACCACAUAAUGUGUUCAAGGAACACUUAGCCGGCAUGGGUUUAAGGAAAAGCCUAUGAUUCCUGGAUCAUAAGAGGCACAAAAGGAACAUAAUUUGUUUCAAAAUAGCGAGGUAUGCUGUAGAUGUCUGAUUCUAUCGACAAUUGAGCUAUGACGAUGAAACAUGUUCUAUAUGUAUUGAUCUGUGAUGAAACGAGUAAAGUAAAAAAUUAUAUGGUUAAAAGUAAAGUUGAGAUCAAAGGGGAGAAUGUUAGGAUGAUCUCCUCCCGAGUAGGCCCAACGGCCCACCAGGCCCAUAGAUCCAUGCCCUGAUCGGGGGCACCCAACCCACUAUGGUUGGCGCCCCCCUAUCACCAGUGAUAUAUGAAGAGGUGGGGGCCGGUGGCACGCAACAUGAGGUUCCACUAGUAGAAAACAGGUCUUUCGUUUGAGCCUUUAGUCCCGGUUUGGUUUUGAACCGGGACUAAUGUGACCAUUAGUCCCGGUUCGAGCGGCUGGAGGCCAAAUGGCUUUUGUCCCGGUUCAUUAAGGGCCUUUAGUCCCGGGUUGAGCCAUGAUAACCCACAAGUAUAGGGGAUCGCAACAGUUUUUGAGGGUAGAGUAUUCAACCCAGAUUUAUUGAUUCGACUCAAGGGGAAGCGAAAGAAUAUUCUCAAGUAUUAGCAGCUGGGUUGUCAAUUCAACCACACCUGAAAGAUUUAGUGUCUGCAACAAAGUAUCAGUAGCAAAGUAGGGUGAUAGCAGCAAUAGCAACAGUAACCAGUAGCAGCAAAGUAACAGCAGUAGCAACAGAGUAACAGUAGCAGCAGUGACAGUAGCAUCAGCAAAGUAACAUAGCAAGGACCAGUAGUAAAAGACUCAUAGGCAUUGGAUCGGUGAUGGAUGAUUAUGUCGGAUGUGAUUCAUCAUGUAACAGCUAUAACACGGAGAGAUAAGUAACUAGCUCCAGUUCAUCAAUCUAAUGUAGGCAUGUAUUCCGUAUGUAGUCAUACGUGCUUAGGGAAAAGAACUUGCAUGACAUCUAUUGUCCAUCCCUCCCGUGGCAGCGGGUCCUAAUGGAAACUACGAGAUAUUAAGGUUCUCCUUUUAAUAAAGAACCGGACCAACGCAUUAACACUUGGUGAAUACAUGAACUCUGCAUACUAUGGUCAUCUCCGGGAGUGGUUCCGGCUAUUGUCACUCUGGGGUUGCCGGGUCAUAACACAUAGUAGGUGACUACAACUUGCAAGAUAGGAUCUAAAACACACAUAUAUUGGCGAUAGCAUAAUAGGUUCAGAUCUGAAAUCAUGGCACUCGGGCCCUAGUGACAAGCAUUAAGCAUGGCAAAGUAGUAGCAACAUCAAUCUCAGAACAUAGUGGAUACUAGGGAACAAUCCCCGUCAAAACUAACUCGAUUACAUGAUAGAUCUCAUCCAACUCAUCACCGUCCAGCAAGCCUACGAUGAGAUUACUCACGAACGGUGAAGAGCAUCAUGGAAUUGGCGAUGAAGGAAGGUUGAUGAUGACGAUGGCGACGAUCUCCCCUCUCUGGAGCCCAGAACGGACUCCAGAUCUGCCCUCCAGAGGAAGAACAGGAGGUGGCGCCGCCUCCGUAUCGUAAAAUGCGAUGAAUUAUUCUCCUUGAUUUUUUUCCGGGCAAGACGGACUAAAUAGAGUUGAGAUUGGAGGCGGUGGAGCAACGUGGGCCCCACAAGCCUGGCAGGCGCGGCCGGGGGGGCGCCUGGUGGGCUUGUGGGCUCACAGCUCCACCCUUUGGUUGAUUCUUGCGCUAGUAUUUUUCAUUAAUUCCAGAAAAAUUCUCCGUAAAUUUUCAGGUCAUUCCGAGAACUUUUAUUUCUGCGCAAAAACAACACCAUGGCAAUUCUGCUGAAAACAACGUUAGUCCGGGUUAGUUCCAUUCAAAUCAUGUAAAUUAGAGUCCAAAACAAGGGCAAAAGAGUUUGGAAAAGUAGAUAUGACGAAGACGUAUCAAGCCACGAACCGGGACUAAAGGCGUGGUGGCAACCGUUCGCCUGGUGCGAGCCCCUUUAGUCCCGGUUGGUGUCUCAAACCAGGACUUAAGGUCCAAACCGUUCGCAUCCCGUGUCGUUUCGUGCGAUGAAAAACAGGAUAAGUGGCCAUUUUCGAGGUCUACAGUAACCGUGCGCGGCCAUUCUCGUCUCCUCUGCUCUCUCCUCUCUUGUUCCCCAUAUCUUCCACCAUGGAUGAUCCAAUCACUCGCUAUGGGGAGGUGCUCGCACAUGGCACGACAAAACUCAAUGUCGUCUACACGAACGACAGCACCAUGGUGCCGCGUUUUCUUUCCCAUUUCAAGGAACGACUUGAAGUGGCGGAGGAGAAAGACAAAUUCAUGGGGCUUGAUCUCUAGUACACGGCCAAUCAAGAAGAUGUUGUCGUCAUCCAACUUUGUUUCAACAGAAAAGUCAUGGUCUUCCAAUGGGCAAGGUAAGUUUUGAGGCUUUUCUUUGAUCAAAGGUUAUGAAAACUGCAUGGGAUAGCAAUAUGUUCUAUUUGAAUCCUAAAGAUCAAUUUCUCUUUAGUUGUAGUGAAACAAUUUUCCUUGUUGCAUAUUGGCAAAACCGUGGGAGAACAUAUAUGUCAUAGUUAAUUUAGGGUUUCUUGAUCAAUUCAUAGGAUCAAAAUUUCAUUGGAUAGCAAUAUGUUCCGUUUGAAUCCUAUGAGAAAUAUCUAUUCCUCUUUAGUUGUAGUGAAAGAAUUUUCCUUGUUGCAUAUAUUUAUUCUUUCGAUUCAUAUAUGAAAAUUGCAUAGGGUAACAACAUCUAGGGCUUCUUUUGAUUCCUCUUUUGUUGAAGUGAACAAAUUUUCCUUUAUAGUUUUAUAUUAUACUUUUUCCAAAAUAUACUUUUUAUGGUUCUUAAUUAUUAUACUUCUGCCGAAAUAUACUUGUUUUGCAAUAGUAUGUAACAUUUGUUCCAUUUUAAUUUGUUGUUGUUGCAGUAGUGACAAGCAAUGUCCAGUACUCAUGUACUUCCUUCAUAGUGGCAUACGUUUUGAUAGUGUUGAUAUAAGGAAUAACAAGCUCAAGAUGAGGCACAACUUCGGUAUUGAGAUACCAGCUGACUGCCACAUUGAUAUCCAAGACAUAUUCAGGGUUGAACAUACGAGGACUUCGAUGGCUCAUAUGGCAGUCGCCAUGAUCGACGAGGAGUACGCUGAUAUGAAGACCAAAUUCCCCUCGGAUCAGCACAAAGAGUGGGAGACGACCCCAUGAUACGUCUCAAACGUAUCUAUAAUUUUUGAUGGUUUCAUGCUGUUAUCUUGUCAACUUUGGAUGUUUUAUAUACCUUUUAUAUCCUUUUUAGGACUAACUUAUUAAUUCAGUGCCAAGUGCUAGUUCCUGUUUUUUCUGUGUUUUUGACUCUUUUCAGAUAUGAUUUUGGGACGGAGUCCAAACGAAAUAAAAUCCCCGAAAUAAAUUUUUCAAGAACAAAAGAAGAUCGGGGGACUUGACGACCAAGGCAGGGGGCCCACAGGGAGCCCACAAGCCCUGACGCUGCGGACAGGGGGCCCGCGGCGACCAGGCUUGUGGCCUCCCUGGAGCUCCCCUGCCCUAACUCUUUGCCCUAUAAAUUCCCUAAAAUCCCAGAAAAAAAUCAGGGCAUCCACGAAAACACUUUUCCGCCGUCGCAAGCUUCAGUUUCCGCGAGAUCUCAUCUGGAGACCCUUCCCGGUGCCCUGCCGAAGGGGACUUUGGAGUUGGAGGGCUUCGACAUCAACAUCAUCGCCUCUCCAAUGACUUGUGAGUAGUCCACUUCAGACCUACGGGUCUGUAGUUAGUAGCUAGAUGGCUUCUUCUCUCUCUUGGAUCUUUGGCAGUGUGUUUGUCGAGAUCCCAUGAAUUGUGGAUUUUUGAUCAGAUUAUCUAUGAAUUAUAUUUGAGUCUUUGCUGAUUUCUUAUAUGCAUGAUUUGAUAUCCUUGUAAGUCUCUCCGAGUCUUGGGUUUUGUUUGGCCAACUAGNNNNNNNNNNUGGUUCAUACCGUGCGGUGACCUUUCCCAGAGACAGAAGGGGAAGCAAGGCACGUAUCGUGUUGUUGCCAUCAAGGGUAACAAGAUGGGCUUUCAUCAUAGAUUUGAGAUUGUCCAUCUACAUCAUGUCAUCUUGUUUAAGGCGUUACUCUUUUCUUAUGAACUCAAUACACUAGAUGCAUGCUGGAUAGCGGUCGAAGUGUGGAGUAAUAGCAGUAGAUGCAGAAAGUAUCGGUCUACUUGUUUUGGAUGUGAUGCUUAUAGAUAUGAUCAUUGCCAUAGAUAACGUCAUGACUUUGCGCGGUUCUAUCAAUUGCUCGACAGUAAUUCGUUCACCCACCGUCUACUUGCUUUCAUAAGAGAAGCUACUAGUGAACACUACGGCCCCCGGGUCUAUUCACAACUAUCGUCUCCACCUUUACUUUUACUUUGCUUUGUUUACUUUUUUUGCUUUCAGUUCUCACUUUGCAAACAAUCUAUAAGGGAUUGACAACCCCUUCAUAGCAUUGGGUGCAAGCUCUUUGUGUUUGUGCACGUACUUGUGACUUGACGCGAUCCUAUUACUGGAUCGAUACCUUGGUUCUCAAACUGAGGGAAAUACUUACUGCCGCAGUGCUACAUCACCCUUUCCUCUUCAAGGGAACACCAACGCAAGGCUCCAAGGCUGCGGGGGAAUCCUUUGCAUAUUUGCCAAGGAAGUCCCUGUAGGCGUAGCCAGCAUCAUAAGGAUUCCUCACGUCAUUGCCGGGGAAGGUCUUUUGUUGCUGUAGCAGAAGGAUUUCUGGAGCUGUUGCCGGGGAGGAGAGAUCAAGUCAAGAUCUAUCCAAGUAGGUGUCACAAACUCAUCUCUCGCAUUUACCUUUUUUGCCAGUUGCCUCUUGUUUUCCUCUCCCCCACUUCAUAUUUGCCGUUUUCAUUUGCCUUUCUUCUUUGCCGUUUUCUUUUGCCUUUUUGCCGUUCUCUUUUGCCCGUUUCACUCGCUUACUUCCUGCUCGUUUGUGUGUGGGAUAGUCCAUCAAUGGCUAGACCCACCACUCCAAAUGAUACCCCUGAGAACGAAGUUCUCAACUUCAAGCAGAAUGAGGAAGAAAAUUUAAAGGACGCUUGGUACAGGAUUUGCAAUGCUCAAAGUAGAUCCACUCGUAAGGAAUCCACUACCAUUCUUCUUCGUAGUUUUUAUGUUGGAAUCUCUCCUUGGAAUAGGUAUAUUCUUGAUACCAUCGUAAGCGGGAAUUUUUUGGGGAGCCAUACUGUUGACUCCUAUGGAGCUAUCAUGAAUUUGGUAGGCUCACCCCCGCUCAUGGUUAAUGGAACUACCUUGACCUUGGAACACGUGAUGCAAAGGCUUGACGCUAUUGAAAACAAAAUUGCCACAAUUGAACUUAUUGAGGGUUUGGAUAGAAAGAUCCACAAUCAAAUUACUCAGUACGGAUCCAAAGUGGGAAUGGUUUUGAAAAAUUUAAGGGAGAAGGAACCUAUAGUUAAUGAUUCCUCUAGAAUUCGCAAACUAGAAGAUGUCAUAACCAACUUGGGUUCCGCUUUUGCCGCUGUGCAAAAUACUCCAAAUCUCACUCUCUAAAAGACCGUCAAGUCUGGUUUUGUUCCUAAAGCUAGUGGUGAGUCAUCCAAUAAAGAUGAAGAUCUUAAGAUGAUAGAUGAUCACACUACUUAUGGUUUGAGCACCAAAGAUGACUAUAGGUGAUUCCAUCACCUUAUGCCUAGCUAAGGGCGUUAAACAAUAGCGCUUGUUGGGAGGCAACCAACAAAUCUAUUCUUUUUCUUUCUGUUUUGUGUUUUACACACUUUCAUAAUUCUGUUAUGAUUGUGUUUUUUGUGUUUCUUUUUGCAUUUAUGCCAAGGAAAACCGUUAUGAUUAGUCUUGGGGAUGAUCGUUUGGUCAUGCUGGAAAAGACAUAAACUUUCUGCUCACGAAAAGAAUUUUCAUUUCUUUUAUGCAAGAGAUUUUGAGUUGAUUCUUUUUCCUGCUGAUUGCUACGCAAAUUCUUCAUACUUCCAUAACUUUUCAGAAUUUUGGAAGUACCAGAAGUAUACGAAGUAUACAUAUUGCUACAGACUGGUCUGCUAUUAACAAAUUCUGUUUUUGUUGAGUUGGUUGCUUAUUUUGAUGAAACUAUGGAUAGUAUUGGGGGGUAUUAGCCAUGUAAGAUUGAAAGCACAGUAACCCAACAUCAACAUAAGUAGAAUUUAAGUUUUCUACAGUACCUAAGGAAGUGGUGGUUUGCUUUCUUAUACUAAUGAUAUCACGAGUUUCCGUUUAAGUUUCGUGUUGUGAAGUUUUCAAGUUUUGGGUGAAGUUCUUAAGGACAAAGAGAUAAAGAGUGGCAAUAGUUCAAGCUUGGUAAUGCCCAAGGCACCCCAAGUUGAUUCAAGGAUGCCGGAAAAGCCUAAGCUUGGGGAUGCCUCGGGAAGGCAUCCUCUCUUUCGUCUUCAAUCCAUCGGUAACGUUACUUGGGGCUAUAUUUUUAUUCACCACAUGUUAUGUGUUUUGCUUGGAGCGUCUUGUAUCGUAGGAGUCUUUUAUUUUUGUUGUGUCACAAUCUUCCUUGCUGCACACCUAGAGAGAGAGACAUGCACUCACCGUGAUUUUGUCCAACUUCACUUAUAUCCUUUGGUUAGACAAUUCAGCUCACAUGUGCUUCACUUAUAUCUUUUGAGCUAGUUGAUUUUGCUCUGUGUGCUUCACUUAUAUCUUUUAGAGCACAGCGGUGCGUGGCUUGGUAGUUGGCUUAUGCUAUGAAAGUAGUCUCAAAAGGGGUAGUUAUCCAAAGGGAUAUGAAAACUUCCACCUUCAUGUGCAUUGAGUAGUUAGAGAAGUUUGAUUCAUCUCAAUUUGUUUUGAGUUGUGGUUGUGGUAAUAUUGAAGUUAUAUUAGUAAGGUGUUGUGGAUCUAGAAAUACUUGUGUUGAAGUUAGUGAUUUACGUAGCAUGCACGUAUUGUGAACCGCUAUGUGAUGAAGUCUGAGCAUGAUUAGUCUAUUGAUUGUCAUCCUUUGUGUGGCGGUUGGGAUCGCGCGAUGGUUUAUACCUACCGAAGGCAUUCCAUAUAGAGUCAUCAUUGCUCUAAGUUUUGAGUUGUACGUGUGAUGAUCAUCAUUGAUGGAGCAUUGUACCAUGUGAGGAAAUAAAAAGAGGCCAGCGAAGCCCAUUUACAAAAAGAGGCCAAAGAUGCCCACCAAAAAAAAGAGGCCAAAGAGCCCACCAAAAAAAAUGAGAGAAAAAGAGAGAAGGGACAAUGCUACUACCUCUCCACACUUGUGCUUAUUAAGCACCAUAAUUAUCAUGAUUGAGAGUCUCUCGUUUUUUCACCACCAUAUAGCUAGUGGGAAAUUUUCAUUAUAUAACUUGGCUUGUAUAUUCCAAUGCGAGGCUUCCUCAAAAUUGCCUUAGGUCAUCGUGAGCAAGCAAGUUGGAUGCACACCCACUAGUUUUCUUUAAGAGCUUUCACAUACUCUUAGAUCUAGUGCAUCAUUUGUAUGGCAAUCCCUAGUCAUUCACGUUGAUAUCUAUUGAUGAGCAUCUCCAUAGCUCAUUGAUAUGCCUAGUCAAUGUGACCAUCUUCUCCUUGUUUACCUUGCAACCUCCACCACACUCUAUUCCACUUAUAGUGCUAAAACCAUGGCUCACGCUCAUGUAUUGCGUGAGAGUUGAAAAGGUUAGAGAAAGUAAAGGUGUGAAAACAAUUACUUGGCCAAUACCGAGGUUGUGCAUGAUUUAAAUUCGUUGUGCAAGGAUGAUAGAGAAUAGCCAGACUAUAUGAUUUUGUAGGGAUAACUUUCUUUUGGCCUUGUUAUUUUGAAAGUUCAUGAUUACCUUGCUAGUUUGCUUGAAGUAUUAUUGUCUCCACGUCAAUAGCAAACUAUUGUUUUGAAUCUAAUGGAUCUGAACAUUCACGUCACAUAAGAGGAGUUACAAAGGACAUCUAUGCUAGGUAGCAUGAAAGCAUCAAAAAUUCAUUCUUUAUCACUUCCCUACUCGAGGAUGAGCACGAGUUAAGCUUGGGGAUGCUUGAUACGUCUCAAACGUAUCUAUAAUUUUUGAUGGUUUCAUGUUGUUAUCUUGUCAACUUUGGAUGUUUUAUAUACCUUUUAUAUCUUUUUUGGGACUAACUUAUUAAUUCAGUGCCAAGUGUCACUUCCUGUUUUUUCUGUUUUUUGACUCUUUUCAGAUCUGAUUUUGGAACGGAGUCCAAACGGAAUAAAAUCCCCGAAAUAAUUUUUUCCAGAACAGAAGAAGAUCGGGGACUUGAGGGCCAAGGCAGGGGCCCACAGGGAGCCCACAAGCCCUGACGCCGCGGCCAGGGGGCGCGGUGACCAGGCUUGUGGCCUCCCUGGCGCUCCCCUGCCCUAGCUCUUUGGCCUAUAAAUUCCCUAAAAUCCCAGAAAAAAUCAGGGCAUCCACGAAAACACUUUUCCGCCGCUGCAAGCUUCCGUUUCUGCGAGAUCUCAUCUGGAGACCCUUCCCGGUGCCCUUCCGGAGGGGACUUUGGAGUUGGAGGGCUUCUACAUCAACAUCAUCGCCUCUCCAAUGACACGUGAGUAGUCCACUUCAGACCUACGGGUCCGUAGUUAGUAGCUAGAUGGCUUCUUCUCUCUCUUGGAUCUUCAAUACAAAGUUCUCCAUGAUCUUCAUGGUGAUCUAUCUCUCGUGGUUUUGUCACGACAGAUGUCCUAGUGAAAGGACUUAAUGAUGGAGCCAUCGCACCUUGGUGGCGACUCAAAGGGGUUAAGCGGAAGCGGGACUCAUAUUUACCAGGUUAGGCCCCUCGUGAGGAGGUAAAGGCAUACGUCCUGCUUUGUGUUGUAUUGAUGAUGUUUCGAUUACAAAGAGAGNNNNNNNNNNNNNNNNNNNNNNNNNNNNNNNNNNNNNNNNNNNNNNNNNNNNNNNNNNNNNNNNNNNNNNNNNNNNNNNNNNNNNNNNNNNNNNNNNNNNNNNNNNNNNNNNNNNNNNNNNNNNNNNNNNNNNNNNNNNNNNNNNNNNNNNNNNNNNNNNNNNNNNNNNNNNNCGAGGACCUAGGGUUUACAAGAGUGCAUGCCUUAAUACAAACCGUGAUUCUUUCUAUCUCUAAGUCGCCGUGCUUUCCAAGACUCGAAACCUUCUCGGCUACUUAUCCUCUAUGUAGAUUUGGAACCGCCAUCCAGCUCCUGGGCCUUAUGGCCCAAAGCUUGCUUCGCCAAAGGAUGAGUCGCCCACUUAGUCACCCGACCCAACUAGGGCGGGUCACACCGCAGGUAAUAUCCCCAACAUUAGGCCCCAGAUUGACUUGAACCUGUUCAUGCCAAUAAACUUUUAUCCAGUUUAGGAGCGACUCAUUCCACUCCUUUCAUGCACCUUACGCUUAAGCCACCAUUCCUCAUGAAAACACCUAAGCCGCCGAACCAUUUCCGAUGACAUCACCUUAUCCCCUUAAUUUCGUAAAACGAUGACGCAAUCUCCAACGGAUCCCGCGGCACAAAUAUCUCGAAAAUCUUGGCGCCAUAAUUGCAAAUCUUUAACUUGUCUUUUAGGUUCCCGCGCGAGGCACCUCGAUUCCAGCACCUGACCCAUUAAACAGGCUCGGGAAGGGGAGCGAAAGGAAUCUCCACCUACUGAUUUUGUCUGUCCCUUCUUCCUCGCGACCACGCGAAGAACUCCGCCGCUGCCCGAGGAGCUCCGUCGCCGCCCGAAGAACUUCGCCACCGGCCAUCGCGUCCGACGCAUCUCCGAACUGUAAGUGCAUCUAGUGCCCCUUAGUGAUUUUGGUGGUUUGAAGACUUAUAGGUUAAGUAUCUAAUGUGUUUAUAAGUGUUCACAGGAUCUAUAAGUCAUUGAGGAGCUUGAGAUAUUUGAAGAAUAUCGACCCCUAAAAAUGUAUAUCUUUAAUUGAAGAAAUUGGUCUGAAGCUGAAGAAAUGAAUCAUGAGGAAUCUGCGAUGAAAUUGAUAUUCCUCGUGAAGACACUGAUAUUGAGAAGACCGGUGGUUCCUGAAGGAAAUCAUUCUGAAGAAAUUGAAGCGUGAAGAUUUACGUUUUCUGUUUUACUUUCUUCGCAUUUGAUGAAUAGGAACACCGUACUGUUAAAGGGGGUCAAAGUAACACUAUGGAAUGAAUUUCCUCAUGAUGCUCAACCCAAGCCAAAUCCUACCAAAAGCCUCAAAGUAACACUAUGGAAUGAAUUUCCUCAUGAUGCUCAACCCAAGCCAAAUCCUACCAAAAGCCUCAAGUGAGGAAUAGGAGUGACAUGAGGACUCUCACAGUUGAGGGUCCCGACCGUUUCGAUAACCACGCCAAGUCACUGGUCUUAUCCACUCCAACGGUCAUAUUAUUUAAGGGCAUUAGUGUCAAAUCAUGUCGGGAUGCUCCCAGGCUAUAAAUAGCCGCCCCCCACAACCACUAGCUGGUUGGCUGCUCCGUUAGAAACUGACACUUGUCAUAAGAGCAACCCAAAUUCCUCAGAGCCUUCGAGAGUAAAUCAUAAGUGAGCAAAUACACCACCCACCGAAACCACAAACCAAACCUAGUGAUUGAGCAUCACUGAAGAAGUUGUUCCUGUGUGGGACNNNNNNNNNNUUAUAAAUAGCCGCCUCCACAACCACUAGCUGGUUGGCUGCUCUGUUAGAAACUGACACUUGUCAUAAGAGCAACCGAAAUUCCUCAGAGCCUUCGAGAGUAAAUCAUUAGUGAGGAAAUACACCACCCACCGAAACCACAAAUCAAACCUAGUGAUUGAGCAUCACUGAAGAAGUUGUUCCUGUGUGGGACUGAAACCUUUUACCUUUGAGGACUGUGCAUCCUCCAGACGGUUAGGCGUCAUGGUCUAGAGCAAUCCAGUAGUCAAUUGUGGAUCGCCGGAUGACCGAGUUUGUGAGGGUUUGGAAGUCUGCCCUGAAGACUUACCACGAGUGUUGGGCGAGGAUUGUGUGUCCUUAGCUCAAGGAGAAUACGGUAGGGACUGUGUGUCCUGGGACUGGGUGUCCUUUGGUUUCAAUACCAAGCCGCUCCAAACCAGAUGUACAACUGUCACAUCAGUUGGAACUGGGUCAUCAACCACUGUCGUUUGUGAGAAUCGGGUUCUAAUUCCUCAACUCUUUACUUUCUCUGUAUUAUGUGUUGAUGACUUUCACUGUGACUGUUUGAAGAAUUUGUUGAAGACUUUCUCUGAAUUUCCUCAACCCCAAAUUCUUCACAAUAGUUAAUAAUCAUCUGUAUUCUGCGUGCCUGCUUACUGUGCCAUCUGUUUUCACAUUCUUCACUCUGAAAUACUGCUGGUGUGAACGUUUGCACGUCUGAUCCUUUACUGUUUUCGUUGUAAGUUAGUCAUCAGUGAGGAAUUUCCUCAAAAGGAAUUUCCUCAGUGAUGAAAUUCUAAAAAUCUCCUAUUCACCCCCUCUAGUCGAUAUAACGCACUUUCAAUUGGUAUCAGAGCAAGGUACUCCCUUGUUCCGUGUGAUUUUGGUUUAACCACCUGGAGUUUUAGUUAUGUCGACUGCAGGCAUGUUCAAGGUGACUGCACCAUGUCCCACCUACGAAGGGAAGAACUUUCCUUUCUGGAAGAACAAAAUGCAACUGCAUCUACAAGCUAUUGAAAUGAUCUCUCGUAUAUUGUGGAAAAUGGCGUCCCCAUCGUUUCUGCCAGUGUCACUGCAGCUGAUGUGAAGAGAUUCAAGCAACUCAAUUCUCAAGCGAAGAACAUCAUCUGUGGCUAUCUGAGCCCGGGCCAGUUUGGAAGAGUAAGUGCUUUGGGCUCUACAACACUGAUCUGGGAGAGACUGUGCAAGGUAAAUGAAGGAGUAUCAACCCAGCGUGACUCUCGUGUUGAUAUUCUUCGCAAUCUCUUCAAUCGCUUAAAGAGACAUGACAAUGAAUGCUGCCAAGACACCUUUGAUUGCCUCACUAAUAUAUCAAAUGAACUGCAAGCACUGGGAGCUCGAGACAUCACUGAUCACGAAGUUGUGAAGAAACUGCUGAGAUCCUUGGAUCCUUCAUUUGACACUCUAGUUCUGAUGAUUCAAGAAAGACCAGACUACAAGAUGCUAGAUCCAGCUGAUAUUCUUGAAAGGCUAAAUACUCAUGAAUUCCAGCAAGAAGAAAAGAGAGAUCUAUAUGGACAAAGCUAUUCCAGACCACGUGCACUGAAGGCUAGAGCAAUUUCCUCAUCUGAAGAAGAAACAGAUGACAACAGUUGUGACCCUGAAGAAUUUGGACAGGAGCUCGCAAUGCUUGUGAGGAAAUUCCAGAUAUUUACACACCGAGGUCAGUUCGGUAAAUCAUCAAGAAGAGACAUGAGGAAAUCAGAAUCUGCAUCUGAGGACUACAAGAAACGGACCUGUCACAAGUGCAAGAAAUCAGGUCAUUACAUUGCUGAUUGUCCCCGCUGGGGAAAGGAAUCAAAGAAGAAGAAAUACAAGGAUGACAGUUCUGAUGACUCGAAGAAGAAGAAGAAAUCUUGAAAAUCCUCAUCUUCAAAGUCCUAUUCACACAAGAAGACUAGCUUCAGAAAGGCUCGGGCACUUAUUGGCAAGGAAAUGGAUUCCGAGGCAGAAUCAGAGGAAUGUGAUGAAGGAGAAGGCUCUGGAGAAGACUCAGAAUCCGGACAGGCUAGUCUUGCACUAGCAACCACUUUCGUCAGCAAGUCAAUCUUCAAUCUUGAAGAAAAUGAUUGCACCAUCCAUACUGAUGACUAUGCUGAUGACAUCGCUCCAACCUAUUGCUUCAUGGCAAAAGGUUCAAAGGUAUCAAAUGAUGCCUCCUCCUCUGAUUCAAGUGACUGUGAACNNNNNNNNNNGCAGUUGGAACUGGGUCAUCAACGACUUCGUCUCUGAGAAUCGAGUUCUAAUUCCCCAACUCUUUACUUUCUCUGUAUUAUGUGUUGAUGAGUUUCACUGUGACUGUUUGAAGAAUUUGAUGAAGACUUUCUCUGAAUUUCCUCAACCCCAAAUUCUUCACAAUAGUUAAUAAUCAUCUGUAUUCUGCGUGCCUGCUUACUGUGCCAUCUGUUUUCACAUUCUUCACUCUGAAAUACUGCUGGUGUGAACGUUUGCACAUCUGAUCCUUUACUGUUUCCGCUGUAAGUUAGUCAUCAGUGAGGAAUUGCCUCAAAAGGAAUUUCCUCAGUGAUGAAAUUCUAAAAAUCUUCUAUUCACCCCCCCCCUCUAGUCGAUAUAACGCACUUUCACGAACCAAAUGAGGACGCCAUCCUUACCACGGGUCCCCCGCAGUUGCUUCCGGACGGCAUUAAUAGGUUAGUCCUUCGCCAUUAUAAACAGAUCUCAACUCCUCGGUGUUCGUCAUUCGCUGCUUCUUAGAACUCCUCGAACGCCUCUUUGCAUGCCAAUUGAUUCAUAGCGGUAAUAAGCAUGGUAGUAUUGGCCGUAUCCCCAAUCAAUCAGCUCCAGUUUGAAGAACCUAGAAGGUUUCAGUCAAGUCACCCUUGCCAUAGUUACUUUUAGCCAUGGUCUGUUUCACCUUAUCCAGGCCUUCUUUCCGUUCAUUUUAACUUUGUUCGUAGAUCUAUAUCUCUCUACUUGCCACGUAGAAACUUGUUUGUAGAUCCACACUUCACCGCUUGUCGUGUAGAAAUUUAUUUGUAGAUCCACACUUCCCCGCUUGCUAUGUAGAAACUUAUUUGUAGUUCCACACCUCACCGCUUGCCAUGGAAUGCCCUCGGAUAACUCCUUUGGGUAACAAGAAAUUUCUAAAUCGCCCUCGUGCCCAAACCUGGUUCCUUAUUGGCAAGUUAAUAAAUUCUCUCAGCCACUCGACAAGCGUUUUGGCGGGUUAAUUUACCCGUGAACUUUUUCCUCUGUAGCUAUGGGUACCGUUUUUAAGGCCGACUGGCUCCCGACCAAAAUUGACGACACCUUCCUCGAGCAGUGCGUAAAGAUAGGGAACCUUGACCCGAAGGAAGUCAUUGGAUGGCGAUUUGUACUAGGCAACGAAAUUCCCAACCCGGCCGAAGGGGAAAUAGUUGUUUUUGCUGACCACCUCGAACGAGGGUUUAAGCCGCCAGGGUCAAAAUUCCUCAGAGAUGCUAUGUUUUUCAUGAACGUCCGCCUCCAAGACCUGGGCCCCAACUCGAUCAGCAACAUGUGCCAAUUCCAGGUAUUCUGUGAAGCUUACCUACGAAUGGAACCGUCAGUCACUUUGUUUUGGUACUUCUUCCACCUGAAUCGCCAGACCGAGUUCUCCAAUGGCCCUAGCUUAGAACUUGGAGGGGUUAACGUUCAACGACGCACGGACAGUCCAUUCCCAUCACUCGCCAUGCCCAGCCACCCCAAAGGCUGGGCCGAGUCUUGGUUUUAUUUCCGGGACACUUCUCCUCCGGGUGAAAACAAACUCCUAGGCUACAGGAAGGAGCGUCUGCACAUAAACUUCAAACUUCCUGACAAGCUCACCGAAGAAGAUGAAUCAGAUUUCAUUCCAGUGCUAUCCGAGUUACGAUCUUUAACAAACAAUGGCCUUACUGGAGUUGAUCUGAUCCGCUGUUGGAUGGAAUGGCGCAUCCUUCCCUUGAGUCGCCGAGACGGCUUGAUGUGCGAGUUUGAUGGUACUUUGAACCAUACCCAAUGCUACUUCCACACAACACUCACAGAGGAAGACAUUGUGAGCAUUAUCAAGAAGCAAACCGGCGAGCCUUUGUCCAAGUGUAGCCAAAUAGGGCUUAGGCCAUUUUGCAAGAUUAACCCGGCUCCCAAGGUAAAUAAUUUGACCCGCCUUUGGUUCACUCUUUCCGACUUACUCGGAUUUUGACUUGCAUAAUGACAAUUCCACCUCAGAAGGGCGACCAAUUCUGGCCACGAAGGCCGAAGAAGAUUGCCCUGAAGCAAAUCAAACCGCCUCCAAAAAGAUGUCCAAGCGUAAAAACCAAACCGAUGUUGCUGAAUCGUCUGAUGUGGACGAAUCCCAAGUCGGCGAAGCGUCUUCACAGGUAAAAUUUUAUCCUUUUUGUCUUGACGCCCUUUUACUCUAAUUUGUGCUUAUAUGUCUGCAUUUCCAUGUAUAGAAUGAUGAUAACUAAAGCCAGGAUGACGCCGUAGAGGUAAUUUCCAUUUCUUCCGACUCAACUUCUCCUUCGCCUAAGCCGGCCAGGCGAGUUUGUUGGAAAGUUCCCAUGUCUCACCCGAAUGCUUGUCUGGACCCUAAUUUCCUCUUGAAAAGGCGCAACACACUUCCUUUCGGAAAACUCGAAGCCACUCAGGGGAUUUGAUGUCCGGGUUACCAGUAAAAACCCUACCAAGAAACGGCGAAAUGAGGUACCCUCUAUCAAUUUCUACCUUCGUUUUCUUUUGGAUCACACUUGUAACUCGCUCAUAUUUUGAGAUAUUACUUUUGCAGACUUCUCCCCCUUCGUCGGGCGACUCAGUGAUGUCGGCCCUUCCGCCAAUGAUUCGCGUACAAGGCUAAAUCCUUAUAAUACUUAUGUAUUUCCUGAUGAUAAUGAUGCUUGCUUCAAAAAUGACCCUCUUUUUCUUAGAGCGCAAGCAAAGAAGAGGAAAACCGACGGCUCAACUUCCACUCCUUCUGCUCCAGAGCUUAAAGAAGACCCAGCACCGGCUCGUGUUGACCCGGCAAAAGAUAUACCUGGUGACCGAAUUGACCUUCCAAGUUCUCCCAAGCAAGGCAUGAAAACAACUAACCUGCCAAGUCCGUUGAAGGCGGCUGAAGAUCCUGAUGCUGUGGUCAUUAUUGGUACUGGCUUCUCUAAGCCGGCUUCGGCAAUCUUAUCGAAGCAUGUAUCAACAUCGUCCCAUCCUUCCACCAGACAUGAGAUCUCCAAGGCCAAACUUCCUCAAUAUGAAAAACUUGAGUUUGAUGAACUCUGCUCCGACUUCGCAAGCCGCCUGGAAACAAGUUAUGAAAUGGAGAAGAACCUGCUCCAUAUUAUGAAGAAUAAACAUGAGGUACGCCUUAAUGCAUACCGUCCUCAUUAGCCCCCAAGGGUCGGGUCAUCUUUUGAAAGAUGAGCCGGGUCUUGAUGUAGAAAAAAUCUUCGACCUGUAACCCCCAAGGGCCGGGUCAUCUUUUGAAAGAUGAGCCGAGUCUUGAUGUAGAAAAAAAUCUUCGACCUGUAAUCCCCAAGGCCCGGGUCAUCUUUUGAAAGAUGAGCCAGGUUUUGAUGUAGAAAAAACUUCGACCUGUAACCCCCAAGCGCCGGGUCAUCUUUUGAAAGAUGAGUUGGGUCUUGAUGUAGAAAAAAUCUUUGACCUGUAACCCCCAAGGGCCGGGUCAUCUUUUGAAAGAUGACCCGGGUCUUGAUGUAGAAAAAAUCUUCGACCUGUACCCCCAAGGGUCGGGUCAUCUUUUGAAAGAUGAGCCUGGUCUUGAUGUAGAAAAAAUCUUCGACCUGUAACCCCAAGGGCUGGGUCAUCUUUUGAAAGAUGAGCCGGGUCUUGAUGUAGAAAAAAUCUUNNNNNNNNNNAUUGAAAGAUUUGCCGAGUCUUGCUCGUGGUAUAAUUUUGUAUGUUUUAAAAAAUUAUACAUUAGCCCCCAAGUGUCAGGGAUGUUGCUUGCAAUAAUUCUGAGACUUGUCCCUCUAAAAUAGGUUGACAGGAAUCUAUGGCCCAAGCUGAGUCGACGUUGGGCGACUUAAAGAAAAGUUUAGCCGACCAGAAAGACGCGUGGGCUCAAGCAGAAGAAAAAUACCAGGCGAUCUUAGCUGAUAAGGAAAAGCUGAAAGCAGCCAACAAGAAAUCUCAAGCUGAUCAAGCCACCACGCUAAAGCGAGCUGAAACGGCUGAAACAAAACUGGGAGCUGUGCAACAAGAGCUGGCCGGCUUAAAGAAACAUAUUUCCAGCAUGACACAAACCAUCUUUGGUAAGAAGGAAUUCCUGGUUUCGUAUAUGUGAAAGAAAAAAUUAUUUUGAAAAAAACAAAGUACUAACCAACAUUGUCUUUCUCACGCAGGCCCGAGAGCCGCCAACCUUCAGGACGACUAUAUCUUGAAGUUAAAGGCGAUUUACACACUGACUGAGCAGUUGUAUUCUGGGAGCAUGCUGACCAUGAAGGCAGUGAUGGGCACCAAGGAACCAAUCACAUCAAUCAAAAAGAUGCUUGGCUGCUUAUCCACCCUUCCGCCUCAGAUAGGUGAGCUAACCCGAUCAGCCGCCCAGAAGGGGGCCCUGACUACCUUGAGUCGGUGUUUGGCGUAUGCUCGAGAACUGAAGCCCGAAGAGGUAGCAGCAGGCUUCCCAAAGCUCAAGGAUGACGAGUGAGAGUUCACUCAAGAUGAUUAUCAACGCGUCAUCAAGGAAUCACGCUCGGCGGCGACUCAGCUAGCAGCAAGCUUGGAUUUAUCAAAGUACCAAGCCACUUAUGAUGACAAGAACAAGAAAGUAAACCCGCCUCAUUUGUGACAACCAGCUUAACUCCUCGUCGGCCCAAGAACCCUUUUGAUUUGGAGUCGGAUCUCUCGGCAAUUUUGAACGAUGAAGACGAAUUCGCCGCUUUAUCCAAGUGUAAUUUGGUACUGGGCGAUUUACAACUUGAAGUCGGCGAGAGCUCGAGGCAAGUUGACCCGGAGGCACCAGCAGAAUAGACCUUACUGAUUUGGCCAUCUGAGACAUGUAAUAGGUCAUUGUAGAAAACAAUCCUUUGCUUAUGUCUGUUGUGGAACUCUUCUGUGACCUUUGAAAAAACCUUGUGCCGCCCUUGGGGUGCCAUGAUGCUUGACCCGCCAUGUCAGUAAAGAUUCGAUCACCAACGUGUUUGGCUAGCAAAAGCAUAUAUCAAACCAUCUCAAUGAGUAAUGGAUGAUGAUAAAUAAUAACCGACUCAAGGUGUCUUGGCGAAUUGUAUGAAGAAACCCGGCUCAACGAGACACGGCGAGUCUCGUAAAUCUGUGAAACCUUGUGGCAGUGCGAAGAAGGUGAUAGUAAGAAUUUCGUUGGCUCGUUCAAGUCGCGACAGGAUAGGACGAGUUAGAAAACUCAAGUGCUACCCAAAGGAGACUUUUUGUAUAAAAAAGCUCAAGUAUUUAGACCGGCUGAUCAGGCGCGAGUCAAGCUUCGGUGAAGCAGGUUCAAUGAACCAAUGGUUUCUCUAUUUUCCAUGUGGGGCGCUAGCCGGUACCAUGCAUGUUUUAACCAAGGUGAGUUCAUGGUCCAAAUAGUAGAUUGACUCGCCAAGAGUUCAUGGGUCCAUAUGGCGAUUUGGUCAACACACGGUCCAGUAUAACCAUUUGUAGUGCGGUAAUUUUUCGCUAGCCAAAUGGAUAGUCAGGCUGAUCUUAGUGAGAGGAAGCCCCCAAGUGACCUAUGAUUAGGGGAAAGACCGGUCAUAGGAUUGUAGAAGCAUAUACGCUCUUACCACAAAACGACUUGGGAGCUGAUAGCCCCCAAGUAAGCCGGCCUAAUCCUCAGAAUCAUAUAAGGCGCCCAUGUUUGAAUCGUGCGCUUGUCGCGACUUGAUCCUCUUUGGCUUAUCGAUACCCAGUGUUGUAAUAAGUGCAGCAUGGCGACUUAUGCUCUCUGGUAUUGAUAGCGUCCAUGCUUGGGCGACUUCUUGAAGGACAAUAAAGAUCCAUGCUUUCAAGAAGAUGAAGUGGCAGGAAAACCCAAAAUUCAUGGGUAUCGACUUUAUUGCUUUAUAUAAACAAAGGACUUACAAUUUCCAAAGGUGGGAGAGAGGUAAAAGGGGAGCCAAUACCUCAAGUGUAGUAAGGCCGCAGAUGGGCUAUGUUCCAGGGGCGAGUUGACUCAACCUCCGUGGUUGGCUGAUCAGGCCGAAGAUCCACCAAAUAGUAUGACCCAUUGCGAAGAUUUUUGGUGACGACAAACGGUCCUUCCCAUGGCGGUGACAACUUAUACAUGCGAGUGCGAUCUUGGAUCAACUGGAGCACUAAGUCGCCCUCCUGAAAAGCUCGGGUCUUGACCCGGCGGCUAUGAUAACGCCGCAAGUCUUGCUGAUAGAUAGUCGAUCGGGAGGCAGCCAAAUCGCGGGCUUCCUCCAAAGCAUCCAAAGAAUCUUGACGUGCCAACUCAUUAUCUUGCUCCACAUAAGCGGCGACUCCGGGCGAGUCAUGCCUAAUGUCACUUGGAAGAACGGCUUCUGCUCCGUACACCAAGAAGAAAGGAGUAAAACCCGUAGAAUGAUUCGGGGUGGUUCGAAUGCUCCAUAAUACCGAAGGCAACUCCUCAACCCAACACCCUCGGGUGCGUUCCAGGGAAACCAUAAGUCGGUGUUUCAUUCCCCGCAGCACUUCCUGAUUCACCCGUUCUGCCUGCCCAUUAGAUCGUGGAUGAGCAACCGCAGACACAUCAAGCCGGAUAUGCUCCCGGUUGCAAAACUCCUGCAUCGCCCCUUGUGAUAAGUUGGUACCGUUAUUAGUGAUAAUGUUGUGUGGGUAUCCAAACCGGAAUAUCAACUUUUACAAGAAUUUGACGGCCGUUUCCGCAUCACAGCUGUCAACAGGCUCUGCUUCGACCCACUUGGUGAAUUUAUUGACCGCUACCAGUAGAUGAGUCUUUUUAUUGGAUGACAUCUUAAAGGGACCAACCAUAUCUAACCCCCAGACCGCAAAAGGCCAAGUGAUGGGGAUCAUCCUUAAUUCUUGAGCCGGCACAUGAACCUGUCGUCCAAAACGUUGAGAGCCAUCACAUCAACGAACUAUCUCUUCUACAUCUGCAUGAGCCGUCAACCAAAAGAACCCAUGUCGGAGCGCCUUGGAAACCAGGGAACGUGACCCGACGUGAUGCCCGCAAUCUCCUACAUGGAUUUCGUUGAGAACUGUGCACCCUUCAUCAGAAGAAACACGUCUUUGAAAUACCCCAGAAGUACUUCACUUGUAUAACUCGCUGUUGAUGACGACCAUGGAUUUGCUCCGACGAACGAUUUGAUGGGCCAACACCUCAUCCGAAGGUAACUCGCCUCGUGUGACGUACGCCAAGUAAGGAAGAACCCAAUCCGGCGUAACACACAGAGCCGCCACAAACUGAGACUCAGGAUCUGGUAUCGCCAAUUCCUCUUCUAAAGGCAACCUCACAGAAGGAUUAUGCAGAAUAUCCAGAAAGACAUUAGGAGGAACCGACUUACGUUGCGAGCCGAGACGCGAGAGGGCAUCAACUGCUUCGUUGAGUCGCCGGUCGAUAUGAUCGACUUGAUAACCAUGGAAAUGACCCGCCACAUCAGACACAACCCUUCUGUAAGCCGCCAUCAGGGGUCCCGGGAGUCCCAUGUACCUGAAACUUGUUGUGCCACCAGAUCGGAAUCGCCCAACCACCUGACACGUGUGAGGUUCAUCUCCUUGGCGAGUCACAAACCAUGAAGUAGAGCUUCAUACUCCGCAGCGUUAUUGGUACACGGGAACAUGAGUCGGAUAACAUAACAUAACUUGUCUCCCUGGGGUGAAAUCAACACCACGCCAGCCCCCGAGCCCUCCAAUUUCCUAGACCCAUCAAAGUAGAUGGUCGAGUACGUGAGAUCAGGCCUGUCUUAGGGAAUCUGCAACUCGGUCCAAUCAUUGAUGAAGUCAACCAAUGCCUGGGACUUGAUAGCCGUGCGAGGCGUAUACCGCACGUGGUGUGGCCCGAGCUCAAUUGCCCAUUUGGCGAUUCGUCCCGUUGCUUCUCGAUUCUGGAUGAUGUCCCCAAGAGGAUCGGAGCUAACCAUCGUGAUAGGAUGUUCUUGGAAAUAAUGUUUUAGCUUCCGACUCGCCAUAAACAACCCAUAAACCAACUUCUGCCAAUGUGGAUAACGUUGUUUGGAGAGGGUUAGGACCUCGCUGAUAAAAUAUACCACGCGUUGAACCGGGUAUUCCUUUCCUUCUUCCUUCCGUUAAACAACCACUGCCACACUCACCGCCUUGGUAUUCGUCGUGAUGUACAAAAGCAUAGGCUCCUUUUCAGUCCGAGCGGCCAGAACCGGCGGGUUGACCAGUUGCUGCUUCAGGGCUUCAAAAGCUUCAUUGGCCUCGUCCGUCCAAACAAACCGAUCAACUUUCUUAAGCAACUAUAGAGGGGAAUGGAUUUCUCCCCGAGAUGGCUUAUAAAGCGACUCAAGGCCGCAAUACGACCCGCCAUGCGUUGGACUUGAUUAAUAUUCGCUGGUUUCCCAAGCGAGGUGAUUGCUUCGAUUUUGUCCGGGUUGGCCUCAAUGUCGCGUUCUCACACCAAAAAACCCAAAAGGUUUCCUGCAGGAACGCCAAAGACGCAUUUGAUGGGAUUAAGCUUCAUCUGAUACACAUGCAGAUUUUUAAAGGUUUCCUUAAGAUCCUCCAAGAGCAUCUCCUUCUUGCGAGAUUUAACCACGAUGUCAUCAACGUAAGCAUGGACGUUGCGUCCGAUUUGGUCGCGGAGACAGUUUUGGAUACAACACUGGUAAGUCGCCCCAGCGCUCUUGAGCCCAAACGGCAUGGAUCAUAGCAAAAAGCCCCAAAUGGGGUUAUGAAGGCCGUCUUCUCCUAAUCUUCCACAGCCAUCUUGAUCAGGUGAUAUCCGGAGUAGGCGUCCAAGAAACACAAACGCUCGCAUCCCGCAACUGAGUCAAUGAUUUGAUCAAUGAGGGGAAAGGCGAAAGGAUCUUUUGGGCAAGCUCUGUAGAGGUCGGUGUAGUCGAUGCACGUGCAAAAAGUGUCGUUCUUCUUGAGCACCAGGACCGGGUUAGCCAACCAUUUAGGGUGGAAUACCUCAACGAUGAAUCCGGCAGCCAAAAGGCGGGCGACUUCUUCUCCGAUCGCCUUGCAUCGCUCCUCAUUAAAUCUACGAAGAUAUUACUGAAUCGGCUUUGCUUUAGGGUCAACAUUAAGAUGGUGCUCAGCGAAUUCUCUCGGUACACCAGGCAUGUCAGAAGGUUUCCAUGCGAAGAUGUCCCGAUUCUCACGGAUGAAUUUGAUGAGCGCGCUUUCCUAUUUGGGAUCCAGACCCGCCCCGAUAGUGAACUGCUUGGACGAGUCGCCAGGAGUGAAGUCCACCAUCUUAGUGUCAUCUGUCGGCUUAAACUUGAGGAGCGGCUCAUCAUCAGUUGUUAGCUUCUUGAGAGGCGACAUAUCCGCCGGGUCAACAUUGGCUUGGUGAUACUUGAGCUCUUCCACGGCGCAAGCGAUUUCUGCGUAAGCCGCAUCUCCUACCUCACACUCCUUUGCUAUCCUCCUGUCACCAUCGACCGUGAUGGGUCCCUUAGGGCCAGGCAUCUUGAGUUUAAGGUAGACAUAGCAGGGGCGAGCCAUGAACCGGGCGUAAGCCGGCCGCCCGAACAAUGCAUGAUAAGGGCUCUUCAGCUUGACCACCUCAAAUAUAAGCGACUCGCUCCUGUAAUUGGAUGUUGUACCAAAAGCCACAUUAAGUUUGACUCGCCCAAUUGGGUAUGCCGACUUACCCGGAACUAUACCAUGGAAAACCGUGGUUGACGGCAUUAGGUCCUUCUCCAAGAGGUUCAUCCUUCGAAAAGUAUCGAAAUAUAAUAUGUUGAUGCUGCUGUCACCAUCCAUAAGAACCUUUGAAAGGGUAUAUCCCCCGACUUGGGGGGCCAUGACCAAUGCCAAAUCGCCAGGGUUGCCGAUUCUGGGCGGGUGGUCCUCCCUACUCCAAGAGAUAGUUUGCUCAGACCAAUGGGGGUACCUGGGGAGCGCUGGCUCGGACACGCUAUACGUCCUGUGCUUCACCUUCUUGUCUCGCUUACAAGCACUGGUGGUGAAUGCAUGGUAUUGUCCGCUAUUUAAUUGCUUGGGAUUGCUGCGGAAUCCGCCAUUAUCAUCUUGCCCCUAGGGAGCCCCCUUGCUUGGGUGGCUACUGAAACACUCCGGGUGGGUUAUAUCGCUGCUGGUUAUGCACAGGGUACUAGCCACUGCUUGGUUGCGAGCCGCCCUGGGGUCCUGGUUCGGGAAAACCACCGAACUGGUUCUGACGUUGAUUAGGCGCACCGAACUGUUCCUUCCAUUGGCUCUGGUCGCCGGCUUGGCCUUUCUUGAGUGCCUCCGCUCGAAAUUCCUGCAUCACGUAGCAAUCUUCCCAAGAGUGGGUCGCCGGUCCUUCCGCCGUAGCAUGAUGCGGACAGGGGCCCUUAAGUAUCUCGUUAUAAUUGCGCGGCUUCUUGCCACAGUAACCCCUCUUCUUCUGGCGCUGGUUGCCAUUGUUAGUGUUGGUAUUGGCGAUGAAGUCUGUGGGUCCUUCCUGCUGCCUUCUCUUGCCAUUUCCACCAUGAUUAUGGUGGGUGCGUCCUUGAAACUGGGAGUGAUUCUUGGAUGACUCACCUUUCCUUGGCGGGUUAGCCUUGCUACCGUCCUCUCCUGGAUCUUUGGUAUCGUCCGCUUCGGCGUACUGGGUGCGGGUAUCCAUCAAUUCACCCAUAUGCUGGACCUUGCGCUUGAGUCGCCCCAGCUUCUGUACCAGGGGCUCAUAGUGGCAGUUUUGUUCCAGAAUCAGCACGGCCUGGGCCGCCGUGAUGUCGUCCGACGAGUGGAUGAUUUCUUCAACCCGCCGCGUCCAAUGAUGAGCCGACUCGUCACGCCGCGGAAUGCAAUGUUGUAAGUCGACGAUCGUCAUUGGUCAUUUGGAAGUUCCCCGAAAGUUUUUGAUGAAACGCUCCUUCAGUUCAGCCCAAGUCUGGAUGGAGUUGGGUGACAGGUUUUUCAACCAGGUGCGCGACGUUCCUUCGAGCAUCAUUGUGAAGUACCUAGAACAGACCGCUUCACUCACAUCGAGCAUGUCCAUCGCGAGUUCAUAACUCUCAACCCACGACGCUGGCUCAAGAUCCGGAGUGUAGUUGGGCACCUUCCUUGGUCCUUUGAAGUCCUUCGACAUUCGCUCAUUGCGCAGGGCAAGGGCCAAACACGGCACCCCGACGUGCCUGCCGCCUCCGCUGAGUGACACUGGGUGGGUUUGGAUGUGGCCUUGAUGAUCCUGGCCCGUCGCACCAACGGUGUUGCGGGCGGGAGGGUCCCGAUGGUCGAGCGGGUUACCCUGAGGUAGGUGCCGCGGUCCGCUGGUUACGGCGGGUGGAUCCUCCGGCCGGCUUCUGGUGCGGCUCGCCUGAGGGGUGGAGUGCAGCCGGUCGAGGCUGUGUGAGAAUUGUGUGUUCUGUACCAUCGCCGUUUUCAACAUCUCAAUGGCGUUUCUUGCUUCUAUUUUAGCCGGGGUGUUUCCAUAAAUUGGAAGGGACUCCAAGUGGCGAGUCGCUGCGAGCACGUGGUCCAUGGGGUUGGAAAAGUGGCCCUGAGGCGUCUGGAAGCGAGGAACGCGAUCAUCCGCCGGCUGAGGCGGUAGGUUUGUUGGCUGAGUCGGCCCUCCCCCUGGAACGGUUCCCGUCCCGGGGGUACGCGGAGUGUCAAAAAGGCGGGUAGGGUUCAGAUCAGGGGGUAAACACCCCUGGCGCCUCCUCUGAUGGACAGCGUCGGACGCGCGCUGCUGUCUUUCAAAUCGCCAGUUCUUGGUAUUUAAGCGGGUCGUCUCUGCAGUGAUCUGAGCUUGCUGGGUUGCAAUCCUGGCGGCUUCUGCCUCUGCAUCUCGCUGGGCCUUCGCCAUCUCAUCUCGUAGCUUUGCCAAGUCGGUGUUGAUCGUUCCCAGGUUUUCUACCGUCACGGGGGUUGCCAUGAGCCUCGUUAUCUCCGCCGACAGGUCCACCAGGACCACAACUGGGCUUUUGGAUGGGCCGCCGGCCUCGUUGUUGCCUGCAGGGUUUUGCUGGGACUGUGUUGCCCCCGCAAUGUAUAUGGCGAUCUGACGACGGGUCCGGUCAAGGACUUCGGGAUCCAUCGCCAGCGACAUAUCUCCAAGGCGGCCUUCAUGCACGAACUCGAUCGAGUCUGUGUCGCCCAUGGAUGACUCUUCGUCAGAGUUGACCGGUGUGGCCUCCCGAGUUGCCGACCGCUCCGGCUCAUCAGAUCUCUGCGUGAAGCCGACGAAAACUGGGCACGUCAGGCUUUAUGGCGCGACGGGACGGACAUACCUGGCCGGCUCGACGGUGUCGCUGAAGAUGUCCGGCUCAGACAUGGGUGCUCCGACCAUGCCGAUGAAGAUGUUGACCUUGCUGAAGGGGACUCUAUAGCCGGAUUCGAUCGAAUCGGCCUCGGGUCCCCAUAGCGAGUUGUCGAUGUAGUACUUUCUGCGGCGGCUCCGGGUCAUGAGCCCAGCCGCGUAGCUCCCUGACCCUGGUAGGGAUCCCUUCAAGAACUCAACUCCACCAUGCGUAGGCCCCACGGUGGGCGCCAACUGUCGUGGUUUUGUCACGACACAUUUCCUAGUGAAAGGACUUAAUGAUGGAGCCAUCGCACCUUGGUGGCGACUCAAAGGGGUUAAGCGGAAGCGGGACUCAGAUUUACCUAGGUUCGGCCCCUCGUGAGGAGGCAAAGGCCUACGUCCUGCUUUGUGUUGUAUUGAUGAUGUUUCGAUUACAAAGAGAGGGUAACUCGCCUGACCUAGCUCUCGAUGAUUUCUAAGCUGCUUCUCCUCUCCAGGGACUCGCCUUUAUAUACAGGUUGAGGCCCUAGGGUUUACAAGAGUCCAUGCCUUAAUACAAACCGUGAUUCUUUCUAUCUCUAAGUUGUCGUGCUUUCCAAGAUUGGAAACCUCCUUGGCGACUUAUCCUCUUUGUAUAUUUGGAACCGCCAUCCAGCUCCUGGGCCUUCUGGGCCAAAGCUUGCUUCGCCAAAGGAUGAGUCGCCCACUUAGUGACCCGGCCCAACUAGGGCAGGUCACACCGCAGGUAAUAUCCCCAACACUAUCCGAUGUAAUCCUCUUUGUCGGUGUGUUUGUCGAGAUCCGAUGAAUUGUGGAUUUGUGAUCAGAUUAUCUAUGAAUUAUAUUUGAGUCUUUGCGGAUUUCUUAUAUGCAUGAUUUCAUAUCCUUGUAAGUCUCUCCGAGUCUUGGGUUUUGUUUGGCCAACUAGAUCUAUGAUUCUUGCAAUGGGAGAAGUGCUUGGUUUUGGGUUCAUACCGUGCGGUGACCUUUCCCAGUGACAGAAGGGGCAGCAAGGCACGCAUCGUGUUGUUGCCAUCAAGGGUAACAAGAUGGGCUUUCAUCAUAGAUNNNNNNNNNNNNNNNNNNNNNNNNNNNNNNNNNNNNNNNNNNNNNNNNNNNNNNNNNNNNNNNNNNNNNNNNNNNNNNNNNNNNNNNNNNNNNNNNNNNNCCCCCCUUAGCGUGUGUUAUAUCGUCGUGACGCCGAUCUAAAUUGUCAACACUUUGCGCGAAGCUUGUCGAUGUAGAUCUCCUUCGAUCUCGUCAAAGCUUCCAUCAUUGCAAGAACACAACAUAUUUUAUAAAUGAGAAUAGUUGGGUGCUUAAACACACGACCCUCAUUAAUGUUAUUAUGAGGAGUCCAUAAUGCCCAUGCUAAGGCCGUAAAUCCAACCCAAGCUAGCCUCCUAACAUUCCCUCUUGUCCUCUGAAUAAGUUCAUGACGCUCUGUAAACCUUGUUGAGUUCUGUGAGCACCCCGCGACCUCCCUAAUCAUUCUCCAAGUGUAUCUCACAAUAAUGCAUCGGAAAGAAAUAUGAUCAUAGUCACAUCUUCGCCACACCACUCACAUUUAUCAUUGCUAGACCCAUGUCGUUUGAGCACUUGGUCCUCACUAGGAAUUCACUUCUGUGCCACUUGCCAUAUGCCGGAAUUCUAGCUUUCCAAAUUCCCAUCAACUCAUAUCUCGGUAUUGUUUUGAAAAUAUCCUUAUAAAGUGAUCCCAUCGAGAAUUGGCAUGACGGCUUGUGUUCCAUGAGACUACAUCCGCACACAUGGACACUCGAAGAUGUAUCAAGUCGCUACGCAUACACUGCCAUUCCUCCCAUUGGAUAGUAUCAAGAGCAAGUCUAAAGGAUGGUGUCCAUCGCUUCUCAUCCCAACACUCAUGUUGGCUUUUGAACGUGCGUAUGCAGCCGUACAAGCGUGCCUACGCGAUUCUUGUUUCGGCCGGCUACUUGACGGAACUUGCGUAACUAGCGACACGAAUAAAACUGAUCGAUGGAUUUGAUGGCUAAAGGCCCGUGUCGAGCCUUUGCUUUGUAUUGCUUUUCGUUUUUCUGGUGUUACAAUCAACACCCCUGGGGUGUCUUUUAUACACGUCCACAAGGGACUAUGAAAAUAGACUAGGACUAGGAAUCCUAAUACCACUAGGACUCGGUUUGGCUUUCUUUCCUAAUCCUAAAGAAACAACAUGAUUAACUUCUACAACUACCAUAGCUUCAGGAUGCUCGGAGAUAGCAAAUAGUCAAGGAUAUUAUUCACAUAAUGGGUUUUCCCAGCACCACACGUCCAACCAAAGUUGAGUUCGGUGGCCAUCCCUCACUUCAAAUUUUGUUCAAAGGCUAAGUAAGUGUUGCACAUUCCCCACAACUUUUGGAAACUCGAUGUCAUUGUUGCGAUUUGGAAACAACAAUGACGGCGAGUGACGGUUGUGACCCUGGUCAUAUGGUUGCUCUGGAGACAUCGAAACGACAUCGUCUUCAACGGGGUUGCACCAUCGGCAGAGGCAGUCCUCAGGCGGAUCGACGUUGAGGGCCAGCAUUGGAAGGCAGCGUCGCUCCUGAGAGAAGAUAAUUCCUUCCCUACUAGGAUUGAUAGGUGGACAGACGAAGUAGUCGCUAAUGUGUUGAUGAAUGGCUUUCAUAACUGUGGAUAGGUUGUAAAAACAUGUAGCCGUCUUGGCUAUUUCUAUCUAUGAUCUCGAUACGUCAAACUUUGGCGUAUCCUUGAAAAAAUUAUGGCGAGUGAUAGUGGGGUCAUAACAAGGGUUUGUAGAAAGCUCUCCAACAUGAUUGAGGGGUUCAAUGUGUUGUGUUUGUUGUGGAGUUGGAGUUGUUGUGUCGGGGGCAAUGUUGCGACCAUGACAAUCGAAGAGUGACCAACCUAUGAUGGACGGGCUCAACUCAAGCCGUGUGCAUCUCUCCAAUUGAGCUUAUCAUGUUUCAUGACUAUCAGUGUUAGGGGUAUUGUAACUUGGUUGACCCGAUUUUUUUGUAAUUAGCUGGACCGUUCAUUCUCACUUUCUUCUUAAUAAUUAUUUUUUAUGUACCUAAAUAAUUAUAGUUGGAGAAAACUAGACAACUAUAAUUAUUUAGGUACAAAAGGGUGGUAAAAAAUUAGUGUAAUUUACCUCGUUUCACAAAAUAUAUCCAUCAUGUAUUCAAACGUGGGAACACUAGUCUCAAGGUGAGAGAUAUUGUCGACCGAUUUGGUGGCACAUGAUCAUUUUUCUUGUAAGAACGUCACCGCUUGUAAUGGCAUCCAAUUAAUGCCCUUAUUUCCUCCGCUCCUUUUAAGUGACUGGACAUCUGCAUUGAAAGAUUGCACUGUGCCGUUUUGCGGGCAUAAAAGGGAAAUCGCCCCAAAUAGGCCAUGAUCAAUUGAAGCAAACAAACAACAUCAAUUCCAUGUCAGGGCCCGGGGCCUCCCUCUNNNNNNNNNNNNNNNNNNNNNNNNNNNNNNNNNNNNNNNNNNNNNNNNNNNNNNNNNNNNNNNNNNNNNNNNNNNNNNNNNNNNNNNNNNNNNNNNNNNNUUGCACAAUCUCACGGUCGAAGGAAAAGAUACUUGACUUUAGAAAAGCAUUAGCAUACGAACAAUACGAUCUAGUGCUAGGCUUAGGAUUGGGUCUUGUCCACCACAUCAUUCUCCCAAUGAUGUGAUCCAGUUAUCAAUGACAUCCAAUGUCCAUGAUCAGGAAACCAUGAUCAUCUAUCGACUAACGAGCUAGCCAACUAGAGACUUGCUAGGGACACAUUGUGAUCUAUUCAUUCACACAUGUAUUACUGUUUCCUGUUAAUACAAUUAUAGCAUGAACGAUAGACGAUUAUCAUGAACAAGGAAAUAUGAUAACAACCAUUUUAUUAUUGCCUCUAGGGCAUAUUUCCAACACCUACCUACCUAUGGAUUGAAUAAGAUCCCUCAAGUAAGUUGUCAUCGGUGCAAGCAAUAAAAAUUGCUCUCUAAUAUGUAUGAUCUAUUAGUGUGUGGAAAAUAAGCUUUAUACGAACCUAUGAUGAGGAAGACAUAAAAGCGACAGACUGCAUAAUAAAGUUCUUUAUCACAGGAGGCAAUAUAAAGUGACGUUCCUUCGCACUAAGAGGACACGCAUCCAAACCUCAAGAGUGCAUGUCAACCUCUGCUUCCCUCUGCGAAGGGCCUAUCUUGUACCUUUACUUUUUGCCUUUGAAAGAGUCAUGGUGAUCUGCACCAAUUCCUUAUCUCGCCUUUAUCUUGGCUAACGUCAUAUGCUUGGGAAAGAUCUGUAUUCAUAUGUCAACUUGGAGGUAGGCAUUCAUGAAUUAUUAUUGUUGACUUUAACCUUGAGGUAAGCAGCUGGGAGGCAAAACUAUAAGCCCCUAUCUUUCUCAGUGUCCAGCUGAAACUUUGAUAUCAUGAGUACCACGUGAGUUGUAGCAAUUGUAGAGAACAAAAGAAUGAUUGAGUAUGUGGAUUGGCUUUACAAGCUCUUAUUUGACUCUUUCUGAUGUUGUGAUAAAUUGCAAUUGCUUCAAUGACUAAAGCUAUUGGUUGUUACUUCUCGGUAAGGUUCUUGAUCCAUGCUUUACUUUGUGAAGGAAUUAUCACUUUAGCAUGAGAGAUUAUAUGUUGGUAUUGCUGUUCUGAUCUUGAUCAUGAUGCAUGCAUGUUCGUAUCUUGUUUUGUCGACACCUCUGUCCCUAAACAUGUGGACAUAUUUAUUGAGCUCGGCUUUCACUUGAGGACAAGCGAGGUCUAAGCUUGGGGGAGUUGAUACGUCCAUUUUGCAUCAUGUUUUCAUGUUGAUAUUUAUCGCUUCUUUGGCUGUUAUUUCACUUCACGGUACUAUUCUUAUGCCUUUUCUCUCUUAUUUUGCAAGGUUUACAUGAAGAGGGAGAAUAACGGCAACUCGAAUUAUGGCCUGAAAGUGGAGCAAAGUUGAGAUACCUAUUCUGCGCAACUCCAAACGCCGUAAAAAUCAACGAGGAUUUUUUUCCCGAUUUAUCAAAAAUACUGGGCCGAAGAAGUGCCACAGGGGCACCAGGGGGUGCCCACAAGCCUGCACGGCGCGACCACCCCCCCAGGCCGCGCCAUGGGGGCUUGUGGGCAGCCCACUGGCCCACUUNNNNNNNNNNUCGUAAAAAUCAACGAGGAUUGUUUUCCCGAUUUAUAAAAAAUACUGGGACGAAGAAGUGCCAGAGGGGCACCAGGGGGUGCCCACAAGCCUGCACGGCGCGGCCACCCCCAGGCCGCGCCAUGGGGGCUUGUGGGCAGCCCACUGGCCCACUUGCUCCCCUCUUUUGCUACAUGGAGGGUUUUGUCCAGGAAAAAAAAUUCAAGGAGGAGCUUUUUCGUUGUUUUGCUGCCGCCACGAGGCGGAACUUGAGAAGAACCAAUCUAGAGCUCGGCAGGACGAUCCUGCCGGGGAAACUUCCCUCCCGGAGGGGGAAAUCNNNNNNNNNNGCUCUCAUCGGACUCGUCACCAUCAACAUCUUCAUCAGCACCAUCUCAUCUCCAAACCCUAGGUCAUCACUUGUAACCAAUCUCCUUCUCACGACUCCGAUUGGUACUUGUAAGGUUGCUAGUAGUGUUGAUUACUCUUUGUAGUUGAUGCUAGUUGGAUUAUUUGGUGGAAGAGUUUAUGUUCAGAUCCUUGAUGAUACUCAUUACCUCUCUAAUCAUGAAUAUGAUUAUGCUUUGUGAGUAGUUACUUUUGUUCCUGAGGACAUGGGAUAAGUCAUGCUAAUAGUAGUCAUGUGAAUUUGGUAUUCGUUCGGUAAUUUGAUAUGUUGUAUGUUCUUUUUCCUCUAGUGGUGUUAUGUGAACGUCGACUACAUAACACUUCACCAUUAUUUGGGCCUAGAGGAAGGCAUUGGUAAGUAGUAAGUAGAUGAUGGGUUGCUAGAGUGACAGAGGCUUAAACCCUAGUUUAUGCGUUGCUUCGUAAGGGGCUGAUUUGGAUCCACUAGUUUAAUGAUAUGGUUAGACUUUGUCUUAAUUCUUCUUUCGUAGUUGCGGAUGCUUGCGAGAGGGGUUAAUCAUAAGUGGGAUGCUUGUCCAAGUAAGGGCAGUACCCAAGCGCCGGUCCACCCACAUAUCAAACUAUCAAAAUAAUGAACGCGAAUCAUAUGAACAUGAUGAAACUAGCAUGACAGAAAUUCUCGUGUGUCCUCGGGAGCGUUUUCCCUCCUAUAAGACUUUGUCCAGGCUUGUCCCUUGCUACAAAAGUGAUUGGGCCACUUGGCUGCAUCGUUGCUACUUUUAUUACUUGUUGCUCGCUAUGAAUCAUCUCACCACACAAUCACUUGUUACCGACAAUUUCAGUGCUUGNNNNNNNNNNNNNNNNNNNNNNNNNNNNNNNNNNNNNNNNNNNNNNNNNNNNNNNNNNNNNNNNNNNNNNNNNNNNNNNNNNNNNNNNNNNNNNNNNNNNUGAGCCUAGCAUGUGCAGACAUGGCCUUGGAACACAUGAGACCGAAAGGUCGAUCAUGAGUCAUAUAGUUGAUGUGAUUAGCAUAGAGAUUCUUACCACUGAAAUUAUUCUCGACUCACGUGAUGAUCGGACUUCAGAUAGUGGAUUUGGAUCAUGUACCACUCAAAUGACUAGAGAGAUGUACUUUUUGAGUGGGAGUUCUUAAGUAAUAUGAUUAAUUGAACUAAUUGUCAUGAACAUAGUCUAAUGGUCUUUGCGAAUUACGAUGUAGCUUGCGCUAUAGCUCUACUGUUUUUAUAUGUUCCUAGAGAAAAUUUAGUUGAAAGUUGAUAGUAGCAAACUUUGCAGAGUGAGUCUGUAAAACUAAGGAUUGUCCUCGAUGCUACUUAGAAGGCUUAUGUCCUUAAUGCACCACUCGGUGUGCUGCACCUCGAGCGUCGUCUGUGGAUGUUGUGAACAUCGGACAUACACAUUUCUGAAUACUAUGCGAUAGUUCAGUGCAAAAUACUUAAUGGCUUAGAAGCAAGGCGCCGAAGACGUUUUGAAACGUCACGGAACAUAAGAGAUGUUCUAAAGAGAUGAAAUUGUGAUUUCAUGCUCGUGCCCUUGUUAAGAGGUAUGAGACCUCCGACAAGAUUCUUUGUCCACGAAGUAAAGGAGAGAAGCUCAAUCGUUGAGCGUGUGCUCAGAUUGUCUGAGUACGACAAUCGCUUGAAUCAAGUGGGAGAUAAUCUCCCAGAUGAGAUAGUGAUGGUUCUCCAAAGUCACUGCCACCAAGCUGUGAGAGCUUCGUGAUGAACUAUAACAUAUCAAGGAUAGAUACAAUGAUCCUUGAGCGAUUUGCGAUGUUUGACACUUUGAAAGUAGAAAUCAAGAAGGAGCAUCAAUAGUUGAUGGUUAGCAAAACCACUAAGUUUCAAGAAAAGGCAAGGGCUAGAAGGGAUACUUCGUGAAACGGCAAAAUAGUUGCUGCACUGAUGAAGAGACCCUAGAUUAAACCCAAACCCAAGACUAAGUGCUUCUGUUAUGAGCGGAAUGGUCACUGAAGUGGAGCUACCCUAGAUGCUUGGUAGAUAAGAAGGCUGACAAAGUCGAAAGAUGUAUAUUUGAUAUACAUGAUGUUGAUGUGUACUUUACUAGUACUCCUAGUAGCUCGAGGGUAUUGGAUACCGGUUCGGUUGCUAAGUGAUUAGUAACACGAAAUGAAAGCUACGGAAUAAAGGAGACUAGCUAAAGGCGAGGUGACGAUAUAUGUUGGAAGUGUUUCCAAGGUUGAUAUGAUCAAACGUCGCACGCUCCCUCUAUCAUCGGGAUUGGUGGUAAAACCUAAAUAAUUGUUAUUUGGUGUUUGCGUUGAGCAUGAACAUGAUUGGAUCAUGCUUAUUGCAAUACGAUUAUUCAUUGAAAGAGAAUAAUAGUUAUUCUAUUUGCUUGAAUAAUUACCCUCAAUGGUUUAUUGAAUCUCGAUCGUAGUGUUACACAUAUUCAUAAUAUUAGUGCCAAAAGAUACAAAGUAAUAAUGAUAGUACCACUUAGUUGUGGCACUGCCACUUGAGUCAUGUUGGUGUAAAAUGCAUAAAGAAGCUCCAUGCUGAUGGAUCUUUGUACUCACUCAUUUUUGAAACAUUUGAGACAUGCAAACCAUACCUGUUGGUAUAAAUGCAUGAAGAAACUCCAUAGAGAUGGAUCAUUUGGACUCGCUUGAUUUUGAAUCACUUGAGACAUGCAAAACAUGCCACAUGAAACAAGAGAGUAACUUGUUGGGAGUAAUGCAUUUUUUAUGUGUGCAGUCCAAUGAGUGCUAAGGCACGCAAUGGAUAUCAUUAUGUUCUUACUUCACUGAUGAUUUGAGUAGAUACAGGAGUAUUUACUUGAUGAAUCACAAGUCUGAAAUAUUGAAAAGUUCAAUUCUGUUUCAGAGUGAAGUUCGUUGUAACAAGAGGAUAAACUGUCUAUGAUAUGAUCAUAGAGAUGAAUAUCUGAGUUAUGAGUUUUGGUACGUAGUUAAGACAAUGUGGAAAUUGUUUCGCAGUUCAUGCCACCUGGAACACCGUAGUGUGAUGAUGUGUCUAAACGUCAUAGCCACACCCUAUUUGAUAUGGUGCAUACUAUGAUGUCUCUUAUCGAAUUACCACUAUCGAUUAUGGGUUAUGCAUUAGAGACAACCGCAUUCACUUUAAAUAGGGCACCGCGUAUUUCCGUUGAGAUGACACAGUAUACACGGAGGUUUAGAGAAAUCUAAGUUGUCGUUUCUUGAAAGUUUGGGGCUGUGAUGCUUAUGUGAAAAAGGUUUCAGUCUGAUAAGCUCGAACCCGAAGCGGAUGAAAGCAUCUUCAUAGUAUAUCCAAAACAGUUGGAUACAUCUCCUAUCUCAGAUCCGGAAGCAAAGUGUUUACUUCUAGAAACGGAUCCUUUCUCGAGGAAAGGUUUCUCUCGAAAGAAUUGAGUGGGAGGGUGGUAGAACUUGAUGAGGUUAUUGAACCAUCGCUUCAACCAGUGUGUAGCAGGGCGCAGGAAGUUAUUCUUGUGGCGCCCACACUAAUUGAAGUGGAAGCUGAUGAUGGUGAUCAUUAAGCAUUGGAUCAAUUUACUACAAACCUCGUAGGUCGACAAGGUCGCAUACUACUACAGAUUGGUACGGUAACCAUGUCUUGGAGGUCAUGUUGUUGAACAACAAUGAACCUAUGAGUUAUGGAGAAGCAAUGGUGGGCCCGGAUUCCAACAAAUGGCUGGAGGCCAUGAAGUCCGAGAUAGGAUCUAUGUAUGAAAACAAAGUGUGGACUUUGGAAGUACUACCUGAAGGCCGCAAGGCUAUUCAGAACAAAUGGAUCUUUAAGAAGAAGACGGACGUUGACGGUAAUGUGACCGUUUAUAAAGCUCGACUUGUGACAAAGGGUUUUUCACAAGUUCAAGGAGUUGACUACGAUGAGACGUUCUCACCUGUAGCGAUGCUUAAGUCCGUCAGAAUCAUGUUAGCAAUAGCUGCAUUUUUCGAUUAUGAAAUAUGGCAGAUGGAUGUCAAAACGGCGUUCCUUAACGGUUUCCUUAAGGAAGAGUUGUAUAUGAUGCAACCCGAAGGUUUUGUCGAUCCUAAAAAUGCUAACAAAGUGUGCAAGCUCCAGUGAUCCAUUUAUGGACUGGUGCAAGCAUCUCGGAGUUAGAAUAAACGCUUUGAUGAGGUGAUCAAAGCAUUUGGGUUUAUACAAGUGGUUAGAGAAACUUGUAUUUCCAAAGAAGUGAGUGGGAGCACUAUAGAAUUUCUAAUAAGUAUAUGUGGUUGACAUAUUGUUGAUCAGAAGUAAUGUAGAAUUUCUGUAAAGCAUACAAGGUUGUUUGAAAGGAGUUUUUCAAAGGAAUACCUGGAUUGAGCUACUUGAACGUUGAGCAUCAAGAUCUAUGGAGAUAGAUCGAAACGCUUAACAGAAGUUUCAACAAGAUGCAUGCCUUGACAAGUUUUUGAAGGAGUUCAAAAUAGAUUAGCAAAGAAGGAGUUCUUGACUGUGUUGUAAGGUAUGAAUUUGAGUAAGACUCAAAACCCGACCACGGCAGAAUAAAGAGAAUAGACGAAGGUCGCCUUCUAUGCCCUAGCCGUAGACUCUAAAGUAUGCCAUGCUGAGUACCGCACCUGAUGUGUGCCUUGCAGCAAGUCUGUUAAGAGGUACAAAUAGUGAUCCAAGAUUGAAUCACUGAUCAGCAGUCAAAGUUAUCCUUAGUAACUAAAUGGACUAAGGAAUUUUUCUCGAUUAUGGAGGUGGUUGAAGAGUUCGUCGUAAAGGGUUACGUCGAUGCAAGCUUUAACACUAAUCCGAAUAACUAUGAGUAGUGAAACGGAUUCGUAUAGUAGAGUAGAUAUUUGGAGUAUUUCCGCAUAGCACGUAGUAGCAACAUCUAUAAGAUGACAUAAAGAUUUGUAAAGAACACAAGGAUCUGAAAGUUUCAGAACCGUUGACUAAAACCUCUCUCACGAGCAAGACGUUAUCAGACCCCAUAACUAUAUGGGUGUUGGAUUCGUUGAAAUCACAUGGUGAUGUGAAGUAGAUUAUUGACUCUAGUGCAAGUGAGAGACUGUUGGAAAUAUGCCCUAGAGGCAAUAAUAAAUUAGUUAUUAUUAUAUUUCUUUGCUCAUGAUAAUCGUUUAUUAUCCAUGCUAUAAUUGUAUUGAUUGGAAACACAAUACUUUGUGGAUACAUAGACAAAACACUGUCCCUAGUAAGCCUCUAGUUGACUAGCUCGUUGAUCAAACAUGGUCAAGGUUUCCUGACCAUAGGCAAGUGUUGUCACUUGAUAACGGGAUCACAUCAUUAGAGAAUCAUGUGAUGGACUAGACCCAAACUAAUAGACGUAGCAUGUUGAUCGUGUCAUUUUGUUGCUACUGUUUUCUGCAUGUCAAGUAUUUAUUCCUAUGACCAUGAGAUCAUAUAACUCACUGACACCGGAGGAAUACUUUGUGUGUAUCAAACGUCACAACGUAACUAGGUGGCUAUAAAGAUGCUCUACAGGUAUCUCCGAAGGUGUCCGUUGAGUUAGUAUGGAUCAAGACUGGGAUUUGUCACUCCGUGUGACGGAGAGGUAUCUCGGAGCCCACUCGGUAAUACAACAUCACACACAAGCCUUGCAAGCAAUGUAACUUAGUGUAAGUGGCGGGAUCUUGUAUUACGGAACGAGUAAAGAGACUUGUUGGUAAACGAGAUUGAAAUAGGUAUGCGGAUACCGACGAUCGAAUCUCGGGCAAGUAACAUACCGAAGGACAUAGGGAAUGACAUACGGGAUUAUAUGAAUCCUUGGCACUGAGGUUCAAACAAUAAGAUCUUCGUAGAAUAUGUAGGAUCCAAUAUAGGCAUCCAGGUCCCGCUAUUGGAUAUUGGCCGAGGAGUCCCUCGGGUCAUGUCUACAUAGUUCUCGAACUCGCAGGGUCUGCACACUUAAGGUUCGACAUUGUUUUAUGCGUAUUUGAGUUAUAUGGUUGGUUAUCGAAUGUUGUUCGGAGUCCCGUAUGAGAUCAUGGACGUCACGAGGGUUUCCAGAAUGGUCCGGAGACGAAGAUAGAUAUAUAGGAUGACCUCAUUUGAUUACCGGAAGGUUUUCGGAAUUACCGGGAAUGUACCGGGAAUGACGAAUGGGUUCCGGAUGUUCACCGGGGGGGGGGGGNNNNNNNNNNNNNNNNNNNNNNNNNNNNNNNNNNNNNNNNNNNNNNNNNNNNNNNNNNNNNNNNNNNNNNNNNNNNNNNNNNNNNNNNNNNNNNNNNNNNNNNNNNNNNNNNNNNNNNNNNNNNNNNGUGCCACACCAGCCCUUAGUGGGUUGGUGGGCAAGCCCAGAGAGGCCCCUGCGCAGGGAGAUAGAAAAUCAAAAGAGAAAAAAGGGAAGUGGGGAGGAAGGGAAGGACUCCACCUUCCAAUCCUAGUUGGACUAGGAUUGGAGGAGGACUCCUCCUCCCCCCCAUCGGUCGAACCCCUUGGGGAUCCUUGAGCCCCAAGGCAAGGCCCCUCCCCUUUACCCUAUAUAUACGGAGGUUUUAGGGCUGAUUUGAGACAACUUUUCCACGGCAGGCCGACUACAUACCUCCACGGUUUUUCCUCUAGAUCGCGUUUCUGUGGAGCUCGAGCGGAGCCCUGCUGAGAUUAGAUCACCACCAACCUCCGGAGCACCUUCACACUGCCGGAGAACUCAUCUACCUCUCCGUCUCUCUUGCUGGAUCAAGAAGGCCGAGAUCAUCGUCGAGUUGUACGUGUGCUGAACGCGGAGGUGCCGUCCGUUCAGCACUAGAUUGGAGCGGAUCGUGGGACGGAUCGCGGGACGGUUCAUGGGACGGUUCACGGGGCGGAUCGAGGGACAUGAGGACGUUCUACUACAUCAACCGCGUUUAGUAACACUUCUGCUGUGCGAUCUACAAGGGUACGUAGAUCUGAAAUCCCCCUCGUAGAUGUACAUCACCAUGAUAGGUCUUCGUGCGCGUAGGAAAUUUUUUGUUUCCCAUGCGAUGUUCCCAACAAUAAUAACCAUUUUAUUAUUGCCUCUAGCGCAUAUUUCCAACAUCGGCCAUCGUAUCCUUGUAUGCAAGCAAACGUUGCUCGGAGUUGACACGCAUGGUCUUCCAACGAAUGUGCAUUCCGAAUCCAACAUUAUGCCUACCAUCAAACUCAACAACAUCACUUGUGUCCAUCCAAUCCAAAUCCUUUCGGACUUGUUCCAACAAUUUAGCAUAGCUAGGAGCGAAAUCGAACACCAUGUCAAGCUCAUCCUGGUCCGGAUCAAUAUUGCCUUUUAAAAAGGCAUCCUUGUCCACGUGAUGAACAUAAACACAUGUUCUUUCCAUCCCUAAACAACACAACAUACAAUAUUUUCUAUAAGCAAUCAUCCAAAUACUACAAAAUCUGCUUAAUAAAAAUAAAACCUAUUCCUAACAUCCAAACAUCCAUAAUCCUAACCCCAUCUUACCCGUAAGCCUAACACAACCAUAAUCCAAACAUCCAAACAACCCUAAUUCUAACCCCAUCAUACCCCUUAUCCUAAUAUACAAACAAAUGCAACAAUAUCAUAUACAUCCCAAAUUUCAUGAAGAACUAGGGUUUCCUCACAUUUGCAAACAAGUCACCAAAUGAGAUUUCUUUUGGGAUGAGAAGGAGGGGAUCGGGGGGGGGGGUUACCUUAAGGGAGGGAUUUGACACGAAAUGCCCGGACCAAACCUUCAAAUCUGUUGAUUUGGUGAGGGGGUUUGAGGAAGGGGCGACAUCAACUUGAGUUGUGAAGACUCUGGUGAAGGGGGUGAAUGAGGAGGGGGUGGGGGAGGAGGCCGGGCCGUGGCUGGAUAAAUGAAGGUGUGGCACCUAAGGGCUCGACGCCACAAUUCCAAUGUGCAACGCCUAAGCGUUAGGCGUCACAUUGUUGGGGGUGGGGCCUCCAGCACCAACAUGGACAUGGGUGUGGCACCGACGUCUUAGGCGUCACAUAGUGUAGUGUGUCUCCUAGGAGUCGGACACCACACAAAAGAGUCAGCUCGGUGAUUUUUUUCCGUGAAGGGUUCAGUUUGUGAGUUCUUUCAGCCCAGGGGCCAGAAUUGUCAAUUUUGCCUAUCUAACACCGCCGACCCAUGGACUUGAGUUCCCUCUGCUGGAGAGGCUAUCCAUCUCUGGCUUCCGCUUCGACAUGGAUGAUCUUAUCCAGCGCUGCCCUCACCCGCGCGUACUAGAGAUGGGAAACAACUGGGGUCUCGGUAACAUCAGAGUCCACUCACCAACGAUCGAGGAGCUUGUCGUGGACUACACGUGUCAUGUGAGUGGUAUCAACAGCAUGGAUCACUCAUUUGAAAUCACCUAACUUCCUGGCCAGUCACCCAUCCUCUCACUAAUCCAACCCAAGAACGCUUAACUUUCCGGUUCUAUCUCCACUACUUUCCAAGUCUCCACUUGUAGUUUUCUUGACAAUAGUAAGCUAUCAAUCCUAUUAACCCUUAGGUCUUGAUGUCACAUGAUUUAAUUUUUUGAAUUCUAAACAAUUAUUAAAACAUACAACAAUGUUUAAUAAACAACAAUAAUUAAUUGAAAACCUUAAAAAAACUUGAAAAAAGGAAAUUUUCAAAAAAAACUCAAAUAAUUCUUAAAAAGCAUAAAAACAAAAAAAUAACUAAAAAGUUCAAAAUAAAACAAGUAAUAAUAAUAUUAUUGAAUUGCAAUGAAAAUCAAAUAAGUAAUAAUAUUAUUUUAUUCAUUUUUUUGCCAUUUAUUCAUUUAAUAUGGCAUAAUUAAUAUCUUUAAAUCUAUAAAUCAAAAUUCAAAAAAUAAUAUAUCCAUUAUUAUCACAAAAAUGUGAGGAAUCCAAAUAUGACACCCUUUUCAAAAAUAAAAUUAGAAACAACUAACAUAGCAAUAAAGUAAUAUUAACUAAUUAGAAAAACAAAACUAUUGUCAAACAACAAAAACUAAAGUUAAUUAUAUUAAAUUGGCUUAUAAUGGUGCAUAUUGAAUGCACAAAAAGUGUGAAGUUGAAAUAAGAUUAGAAAAAUGCAAUGGCUUUGUAAGAGAUGAGUAUUCGUCGAGAAUAGUGAUACUUCGAAAGAGAUAGUCCAGUUUGUAAACGAAGUGCAUCCGGUUUUUGCCUUAACCCUUCCAACUUUUUAGCACAUGUCAUGUGGGUGAAAUGAUGAUACCAUGCCAAGUUUUAGCCUUUUUCGAGUUGAUUUGUAGCGUUCUUCAAUUUCAGAAUCAUUUAGCUAAAAAAUCAUAAAAUGCAUGAAAAGUAGCAAAUGAAGUUAGAAAGGGUUGAAAUUUGAAGAUGUGGCUUAGAAUGGUGCAUAUUGAAUGCACAAAAAGUAUGGAGUUGAAAUAAUAUUAAAUAACGAAAUGGCUUUGUAAGAGAUGAGUAUUCGUCCACAAACCUCAUACUUCGAAAGAGAUAGUCCAGUUUGUACACGAAGUGCAUCCUGUUUUUAUCUUAACCCUUCCAACUUUUUAGCACAUGCCAUGUGGGUGAAAUGAUGAUAUCAUGCCAAAUUUCAGCCUUUUUGAGUUGAUUUGUAGCGCUUUUCAAUUUCAGGGUCAUUUAGCUCAAAAAAAAUCAUUAAAUGCAUGAAAAGUAGCAAAUGAAGUUAGAAAGGGUUGAAAUUUGAAGAUGUGGCUUACAAUGAUGCAUAUUCAAUGCACAAAAAGUCUGGAGUUGAAACAAGAUUAAAAAAUGAAAUGGCUUUGUAAGAGAUGAGUAUUCGUCUAAAACCGUGAUGCUUCGAAAGAGAUAGUCCAGCUUGUACACGAAGUCCAUACGGUUUUUGCCGUAACCCUUCCAACUUUUUAGCACAUGCCAUGUGGGUGAAAUGAUGAUACCAUGCCAAGUUUCAGCCUUUUCCGAGUUGAUUUGUAGUGCUUUUCAAUUUCAGGGUCAUUUAGCUCAAAAAAAUCAUUAAAUGCAUGAAAAGUAGCAAAUGAAGUUAGAAAGGGUUGAAAUUUGAAGAUGUGGCUUAGAAUGGUGCAUGUUUAAUGCACAAAAAGUCUAGAGUUGAAAUAAGAUUAGAAAAAUGAAAUGGAUUUGUAAGAGAUGAUUAUUCGUCCAGAACCGUGAUACUUCGAAAGAGAUAGCCCAGUUUGUACACGAAGUGCAUCCUGUUUUUGCCGUAACCCUUUCAACUUUUUAACACAUGCCAUGUGGGUGAAAUGAUGAUACCAUGCCAAGUUUCAGCCUUUUCCGAGUUGAUUUAUAGCACUUUUAAUUUCAGGGUCAUUUAGGUCAAAAAAAUCAUUAAAUGCAUGAAAAGUAGCAAAUGAAGUUUGAAAGGGUUGAAAUUUGAAGAUGUGGCUUUAAAUGAUGCAUACUUAGGGCACAAAAGGUGUGGAGUUGAAAUAAGAUUAAAAAAUGAAAUUGCUUUGUAAGAGAUGAGUAUUCGUGUACAAACUUGGCCAUCUACUUUAGAGUAUGAGGGUUUUGGACGAAAACUCAUAUGUUACAUGAGCAUUUCAGUUUUGUUAACUUGUUCCAACUCCAGACUUUUUGUGCAUUCAAUAUGCACAAUUCCAAGCCACAUCCUCAAAUUUCAACAAUUUCUAACUUCACUUGCUAUUUUUCAUGCAUUUAAUGAUUUUUGAGGUAAAUGACCCUGAAAUUAAAAAGCACUAUAAAUGAACUCUAAAAAGGUUGAAACUUGGCAUGUUAUCAUACAUCACAAUGCUCCAGAAAUUUUGCUCACAUCAUAUUUGAACACGGAAAUAAACAAAAAUACUCAUCCAAGCUAGAGAUCCACAUGCAGUACAUAAUAUAUAAUAGCUAGAAAUAAAAGUGUUCGCCGUUGCGAACACUACUCGUCUAAAUCAGAAUAUCCCCAAAUUGGUGGUGGUGGUGGUGCUUGAUGUACGAGGUGACACUAGUCAUAGUUCAUGAUUCGAAUCCUGCGGUACAACUCAUGUGCAACGUACGCAUCUUUUGUUGUAUACUCAAUGUUGAUACCGUCAAGUGGGGUGCUACGGCAACAAAAGACCUUCCCCGACAACGGCGCCAGGAAUCCUUCUGAUGCUGGCUACGCCUACAGGGACUUCCUUGGAAAAUAUGCAAAGGAUUCCCUCGGGGCCAUGGAGCCUUGCGUUGAUGUUUCCUUGAAGAGGAAAGGGUGAUGUAGCACUGUGGCAGUAAGUAUUUCCCUCAAUUUGAGAACCAAGGUAUCGAUCCAGUAAGAGGAUCGCGUCAAGUCACAAGUACCUGCACAAACACAAAGAGCUUGUACCCAACUCUAUGAAGGGGUUGUCAAUCCCUUAUAGAUUGUUUGCAAAGUGAGAACUGAAAGCAAAAAGUAAACAAAGCAAAGUAAAAGUAAAAGUGGAGACGAUAGUUGUGAAUAGACCCGGGGGCCGUAGUGUUCACUCGUGGCUUCUCUCAUGAAAGCAAGUAUACAGUGGGUGAACGAAUUAUUGUCGAGCAAUUGAUAGAACCGCGCAAACUCAAGACAUUAUCUAUGGCAAUGAUCAUAUCUAUAGGCAUCACGUCCAAAACAAGUAGACCGAUACUUUCUGCAUCUACUACUAUUACUCCACACUUCGACCGCUAUCCAGCAUGCAUCUAGUGUAUUGNNNNNNNNNNNNNNNNNNNNNNNNNNNNNNNNNNNNNNNNNNNNNNNNNNNNNNNNNNNNNNNNNNNNNNNNNNNNNNNNNNNNNNNNNNNNNNNNNNNNAUGAGAUCAUCGUGGAGCUAGUGGGAGCCACCAUGGGUAUCCAGACCCCGCUGAUGGUUAUUGGCCAGAGAGGUGUCUCGGUCAUGUCUGCCUGUCUCCCGAACCCGUAGGGUCUACACACUUAAGGUUCGAUGACGCUAGGGUUAUAGGGAAUUGUUAUACGAGAUUACCGAAAGUUGUUCGGAGUCCCGGAUGAGAUCCAGGACGUCACGAGGAGCUCCAGAAUGGUCCGGAGGUAAAGAUUGAUGUAUAGGACGGAUGGUUUCGGACACCGGAAGUGUUUCGGGCAUCAUCGGUAACGUACCGGGACCACCGGGACCACCGGAGGUGGUCCCGGGGGACCACCGAAGGGGGGCUGCGACCCCAAGAGGUAAGAUGGGCUAAGUGGGGGUGGGAACCAGCCCCUAGUUGGGCUGGUAUGCCUCCCCACUCAGCCCAUGGCGCACGGGAAAGGAAAAGAGGGGGGAACCCUAAUUUAGGUGGGCCUUAGGCCCACCAGAGGGGUGCGCCACCCCUCCCCCUUGCCCUGGCCGCCACCCCUUCCCCAUCUGAGGGCUGCCGCACCCCUUAGGGGUGGGAACCCUAAGGGCUGCGCCCCCUCCCUCUCCCCCUAUAUAUAGAUGAGGUCCGGGGUUGUUUGAGACACGGUUUAAUCUCUCUCUCGCAUCCCUGCUUCUCUCCCUCCUCCUCUCUGCCGGCGCUUUGGCGAAGCCUUGCCGGGAGACCUCGUCUCUCCACCAACACCACGCCGUCGUGUUGCUGGUCUUCUUCCUCAACCUCUCCCUCCUCCUUGCUGGAUCANNNNNNNNNNNNNNNNNNNNNNNNNNNNNNNNNNNNNNNNNNNNNNNNNNNNNNNNNNNNNNNNNNNNNNNNNNNNNNNNNNNNNNNNNNNNNNNNNNNNGGAUGGUACAGAAACACCAGAGGCUUGACUCGUUGAGUUGGGUCGCUACACCUAAACAGCUGAAUAAUGGUGAGUACCACAUUUUUACCACCAACGGCUGCAAAAAGGAUAGGGAGCGUAAGUAGACAUCCAUCAACAUGAUUGAGCCAACAUUCCCUAGAUAUCUCAACUCGUCCGAGCAACCAAUUGUUUGGAGCCAUGAGGAUCAACCGCCUCGGGUUGAUAACCCGGGAGAUCUAGCUUUGGCAGUAGCACCUCAGGUUGGUGGAUACACCCUCACAAAAGUCCUCAUGGAUGGAGGGAGCAGCAUCAACAUUUUAUAUUAUGACACUUUCCGGAGGAUGAACCUGCAGGACAACACUUUGCAAACUUCGUCCAUAGUUUUUUGUGGAAUCAUUCGUGGGAAGUCAGCAUGCCCAGUUCGGCGGAUCAAGCUUAAUGUUGCUUUUCGGGAUGAACAUAAUUCCAGAUGUGAGCCCCUAAUGUUUGAGGUGGUGAAAAUAAAGAGUCCUUAUCAUGCUCUCUUUGGAAGGCUGGCUUAUGCCCGGUUCAUGGCCCGUCCUUGUUAUAUCUACCUUAAGCUCAAUAUGCUGGGUCCUAAAGGCACCAUAAUAGUGGGAGGUAGAAUAAAGAUAGCUCAAGAAUGUGAGGAAGGAGAUGUUGCUUAUGCUGAGUCGGCCUGUGCUACUGAAAAGAUAAAAUCCCUCACAGACAACUCUGGUAAAGCUUCUCUCAAGUAAGCCACCAGUUUGAGUAAUCCAACCCGGCCAAUUUCUUUUUGCCCUAUCACACUAGGAGCUACCGUCUCAUUAUCUUUUGUACCAAUCCCCAAAUUCUGUACAUACUUCUAAAAUAUUUGAAUCUAAUAAAGCUUGCUUUUAGCAAAAUUGAGCAUGAGUUUUUUACCACCCAGUAUGUUAGCUGGGGGCUUCAAAGUUCAAAUAAAUUAUUAUGGUCAAUAAAAUUAAGUCGGCUUAUCUCGGUGCUACCUGCCCCGAGUUGUUUAGCAGUAAUAGCAUUGUCUUCUGCAAUCCUAUGUCAGGCCUUUCUAUUUUGAUAAUAGGUCACUUGGAGGCUUCGAACUCAAAGAGUUCAGCCUCUUACCCUCUUGAUCGUCAAAGACGCCACAAAAUUAUUAAACCUGUUGGUAUUUUUUGGCGACUCUGAAGAAGGUGACUCUGUGUACUCUUGAUUGAUCAUUCCAUUAUGGACCCUGAAUCGGCAAGGUUAAAACAUGGGUAUAUCAUGUGAGAACUGACAUGUUGAAAGCUAGGAUAAAUCUUGGGUUAUUAUGCCUGCUUCGUUGAACCAAGUCUAGGCCUCAAAAGUUAACAUUUUAUUUUUAACCGCGUCUCACUAAGCCGGUUUGCGAGUCUUGACUAAUACUCUGCAUGAUAUAUUAUUUUUUAGAAACUUUUUGUAGAGAGUACCAUUUAAAAACUAUCAUAAAAACAUGAUUAUUACAUGUUCCAAAUAUUUUGUUUUUAAAUAAAUUUUAUUUUCUCCUGCAAUAAUGGCGUAAGGAGAUGGAACAGCGUUACCACAUCAUCAUGGAAAACCGGGUCAUAAGAGAUAUAGCUAUAAAGUUUCUGAUGGUUGGCUGAAAUAAACACGCUCGAAGGCGUGACCACAUGCAUCUCAGAGUUGUCGCUACCCUAUUACAGACUCACAUCAAGAGUCAUCAAAAUCCAAAAAGGAAUUUACCAGAAGAUAAAGUUUUUAUGAUAGGCGAGUUAUUUAUGACCCACCAUCAGUUUACGCCGUUGGCACAUUCCGCACCCGAUUCUUCCGACUCGUCGUCAUCAUCAAUAUGAUCCUGGCCUUGUUGGAUCCACCGAAUUGAUCUCGGAGAUUCAAAAUCUGAAGCGGUCCCAGUUGAAGUAGAAGAUCUGAUGUUAGAAUCCGUCUUUUUCUCAUAAUGAGGUGGAAUGAGCUCCAGAUGCUCGUCUUUAGGUACUAGAACACGCUCAUUAUCAGUGGUAUAUGUCGGGUGAUACGUCUCAAAACGUAUCUAUAAUUUUUGAUGGUUUCACGUUGUUAUCUUGUCAACUUUGGAUGUUUUAUUACCUUUUAUAUCUUUUUUGGGACUAACUUAUUAACUCAGUGCCAAGUGCGAGUUCCUGUUUUUUCUAUGUUUUUGACUCUUUUCAGAUCUGAUUUUGGAACGGAGUCCAAAUGGAAUAAAAUCCCCGAAAUGAAUAUUUCCAGAAUGGAAGAAGAUUGGGAGGCUUGAGGCCAAGCAAGUGGGCCCACAGGGGGCCCACAAGCCCUGUUGCCGCGACCAGGGGGGAGGCCGCGGCAACCAAGCUUGUGGCCUCCCUGGCGCUCCCCUGCCCUAGGUCUUUGGCCUAUAAAUUCCCUAAAAAUCCAGAAAAAAUCAGGGCGUCCACAAAAACACUUUUCCGCCGCCACAAGCUUCCGUUUCCGCGAGAUAUCAUCUGGAGACCCUUCCCGGUGCCCUGCUAGAGGGGACUUUGGAGUUGGAGGGCUUCUUCAUCAACAUCAUCGCCCCUCCAAUGACUCAUGAGUAGUUCACUUCAGACCUACGGGUCCGUAGUUAGUAGCUAGAUGGCUUCUUCUCUCUCUUGGAUCUUCAAUACGAAGUUCUCCAUGAUCUUCAUGGAGAUUUAUCCGAUGUAAUCCUCUUUGGCGGUGUGUUUGUCGAGAUCCGAUGAAUUGUGGAUCUGUGAUCAGAUUAUCUAUGAUAUAUAUUUGAGUCUUUGCUGAUUUCUUAUAUGCAUGAUUUGAUAUCCUUGUAAGUCUCUCCGAGUCUUGGGUUUUGUUUGGCCAACUAGAUCUAUGAUUCUUGCAAUGGGAGAAGUGCUUGGUUUUGGGUUCAUACCGUGUGGUGACCUUUCCCAGUGACAGAAAGGGCAGCAAGGCACGCAUCAUGUUGUUGCCAUCAAGGGUAACAAGAUGGGAUUUUAUCGUAGAUAUGAGAUUGUCCAUCUACAUCAUGUCAUCUUGCUUAAGGCGUUACUCUGUUCUCAUGAACUUAAUACACUAGAUGCAUGCUGGAUAGCGGUCGACGUGUGGAGUAAUAGUAGUAGAUGCAGAAAGUAGCGGUAUACUUGUUUUGGAUGUGAUGCCUAUAGAUAUAAUCAUUGCCAUAGAUAACGUCACGACUUUGCGCGGUUCUAUUAAUUGCUCGACAGUAAUUCGUUCAUCCACCGUCUACUUGCUUUCAUGAGAGAAGCCACUAGUGAACACUACGGCCCCCGGGUCUCUUCACACCUAUCGUUUCCACUUUUGCUUUUACUUUGCUUUGUUUCUUUGUUGCUUUCAGUUCUCACUUGGCAAACAAUCUAUAAGGGAUUGACAACCCCUUCAUAGCGUUGGGAGCAAGCUCUUUGUGUUUGUGCAGGUACUUGUGAUAUUCCUUCAUUGGAUCGAUACCUUGGUUCUCAAAAUUGAGGGAAAUACUUACCGCCGCUGUGCUACAUCACCCUUUCCGCUUCGAGGGAACACCAACGCAAGGCUCCAAGGCCACGGGGGAAUCCUUUGCAUAUUUGCCUAGGAAGUCCCUAAAGGCGUAGCCGUAGCAGAAGGAUUCCUGGUGCCGUUGGUGAGGAGUAUCAAGGCAAGAAUAGUCUCCCGUCAGCACGCUUGUUUCUGGCGCCGUUGGAAGGUCUUUUGUUGCAGUAGCACCGGGUAAUGAUGAGAGGUAUCAACCAGCUCUGCCAGAAUGGUUGCAAGGGGUCGGGUCUCCUUCAUGACACGAGCUAACGGGGGGAUAACUCCGGAGUAGGCUCAUCAAGCCUACUCCUCUAUACUUCAGUGUAGAGAGGGGCGAAAGCUUCCUCAAUGACCGGCUCCUCCUGGCCGGCUAUAAAGUCCAUGCUGCCUAAGAGCGUAGCCGUCUACUCUCUGGCCGGCUGGCUAGCCGCCAUCUGGCUGAAGGGCACCUGUCGCAUCGAUCCCCAUGAUGUGACGGGGCCUUCGAUUAAAGGCGAAAGUACCUCAGCACGGGUACGAUGGAGAAGCAUACACAUGGCUACCGUGGCGGCGGCCGUACUGCUAACCGGUGCCGGCUCCGACCCAUCAACAGUGUAAAGUACCCGCAUGCCACUACCAACUCCAUUACCUGGCCCGGCGUGGCUACAGUAGAGACGGCCGUACCGCUGACCGACGCCGGAUCCUGCAAGACGACGUCCGUCGUACCGCACGCACCCUGCAUUGGGAACACGCACCAAUCCAAUAGGCUAGCCGGUGGGUCCCAGGGCCAGAUGGGACCUUGCAGCCGCCGGGCCUCUCGAGCGACAAGACUAAUCCUCAAUGGCCCCCCUAGCCGGCCUGAGAGGCUGCCAGCCGACCCCCCCUAUUGUACCUAUUAUCCAUUUUGUAGGCCGGUGGGUUCGUCUAUAACCCCCCGGCCCCCCUCCAUGCAGAGGGCCAGCCAUUCUCACACCCACACACAUCACACAGGAGAGGCAGAUAGCGAGCCGGCUGCUCCUUCUUCCUCCUCCAUCGAACAGCUCAAGGAGCAUUUUGUAAUCACCUUGGUUCAUCAGCCAUUCCGAUAGGACUAGGGGUAUUAUCUCCCAUGGAGAGCCCCGAACCUGGGUACAUCGUGUGUCUUGCAUUAUUAGCUACCAAUCUCGUUCCCGGAGUCCACCGGUGUCCCUUCAGUCCCAACCACUCUCGAUAAGCCUACCCAUGGCAUUUGUCGUGAGAAAACGACGAUAGUUGGCGCCCACCAUGGGGCCGUCUGCGGCACCGGUCUGAGUUACGCUCGGGCGGGACCCUUCGCCAACCCUACCGGAUGCCUCGCGUCUCGACUGAUCAGCACACCCAUGGAGGCUGCCCCUGCGGAGGUUUCUGUGGUGUUGAUCGACAACUCAGCCCGUCUCGUCGGCUCUGCCAUUGAGAUCACCAACGAGCCUCUCGGUGACGGCGUUGCCCCUGACGUCGCUCGCCUCUGCGUUCUCUUCGACAACCUACGCCUCGAUGAUGAGCCUCGCCAACUUGGCAGGGACAUCGACAUCGAUGCCCUCUGCACACACUUCAACAAACUCAGUCUCGAAGAUGCUCCUGCACACGACGAGUACCUGAUACGUCUCCAACGUAUCUAUAAUUUUUUAUGGUUCCAUGCUAUUAUAUUGUCAAACUUUGGAUGUUUUGUAUGACUUUUAUAUCUUUUUUGGGACUAACUUAUUAACUCAGUGCCAAGUGCCAGUUCCUGUUUUUUCCGUGUUUUGACCCUUUUCACACGAGAAUAUUAAAUGGAGUCCAAACGGAAUAAAACUUCCGAAAAGAUGUUUUCCGGAACAGAAGAUACGCAUGGGGCAUGAGAACCAAGGCAGAGGCCACCAUGGGAGGCCACAAGCCCCCUAGGCGCGUCCAGGGGGACCUGCGCCUAGCAGGCUUGUGGCCCCCCUGUGGCUCGUCUGCCCUACUUCUUCCGCCUAUAAAUCCUCGAAAAAUCCAAAACCACGAGAGAGAUCGACGAAAAUACUUUUCGGCCGCCGCAAGCUUCUGUCCCCGCAAGAUCCCAUCUGGGGCACGUUCUGGUGCCCUUCCGGAGGGGGAUUCGGAUACGGAGGGCUUCUUCAUCAACACCAUUGCCUCUCUGAUGAUGCGUGAGUAGUUCACCCUGGACCUUCGGGUCCAUAGCUAGUAGCUAGAUGGCUUCUUCUCUCUCUUGGAUCUUCAAUACAAAGUUCUCCAUGAUCUUCAUGGAGAUCUAUCCGAUGUAAUAUUCUUUUGCGGUGUGUUUGUCGAGAUCCGAUGAAUUGUGGAUUUCUGAUCAGAUUAUCUAUGAAUCUUAUUUGAGUUUCUUCUGAUCUCUUAUAUGCAUGAUUUCAUAUCCUUGUAAUUCUCUUCGAGUUGUGGGUUUUGUUUGGCCAACUUGAUCUAUGAUUCUUGCAAUGGGAGAAGUGCUUAGUUUUGGGUUCAUACCGUGCGGUGACCUCACCCAGUGACAGAAGGGGUGGCGAGGCACGCAUCGUGUUGUUGCCAUCAAGGGUAAAAGGAUGGGGUUUAUAUCUAUUGCAUGAAGUUAUCCAUCUACAUCAUGUGAUCUUUCUUAAGGCAUUACUCUGUUCGUCAUGAAUUCAAUACACUAGAUGCAUGCUGGAUAGCGGUCGAUGUGUGGAAUAAUAGUAGUUGAUGCAGAAAGUAUCGGUCUACUUGUCUCGAAUGUGAUGCCUAUAUGUAUGAUCAUUGCCUUAGAUAUCGUCAUGACUUUGCGCUGUUCUAUCAAUUACUCGACAGUAAUUUGUUCACCCACCGUAAUAUUUGCUAUUUUGAGAGAAGCCUCUAGUGAACACUAUGGCCCCCGGGUCUACUUCACAUCAUAUUUUCAGCCUUACACUUUUACUUCAUUGCACUUUCCGCCUUCAGAUCUCACUUUGCAAUUAAUCUUGAAGGGAUUGACAACCCCUUUAUAGUGUUGGGUGCAAGCUCGUUUGUGUUUGCGCAGGUACUCUGGACACUUGGCUUGAUUCUCCUACUGGAUUGAUACCUUGGUUCUCAAACUGAGGAAAAUACUUACUGCUACUAUGCUGCAUCACCCUUUCCUCUUCAAGGGAAAAACGAACGCAAGCUCUAGAGGUAACAAGAAGAAUUUCUGGCGCCGUUGCCGGGGAGGAUCAUGUCAAGAAUAGUCUCCCGUCAACGUGUCAAUUUCUGGCACCGGGGAUUAUUCUAAGUGAAGCUUAUCCAAGUAAGUGUCGCAAACUCAUCUCUUGAAUUUACUUUUUUUUGCCUCUAGUUUUCCUCUCCCCCACUUCUGAAAAAAACAAAAAUUUACAAAAAUAUUUUCCUUUUUCGUUCGCCCUUUUCCUUCGCUUGCUUCCUGCCUGCUUGAGUGGGAUAGUCUACCUUUCCUCAUGGCUAGACCUACCGCUUCGAACGAUACUCCCGAGAGCGAAGUUCUCAAUUUUAAACAAAAUUAGGAAGAAGACUUAAAUGACGCUUGGUAUAGGAUUUGCAACACUCAGAGUAGAUCUACUCGUAAGCAAUCUACUACCGUCCUACUUCGCAGCUUUUAUGUGGGUAUUUACCCUUGGAAUAGGUAUGUUCUUGAUACCAUCGUAGGUGGAAGUUUCUUGGGUAGCCAUACCGUUGAUUCUUACGGUGCUUUGAUAAAUCUGGUAGGCUCACCCCCACUCAUGGUUAAUGGAACCAACUUAACUUUGGAACAUGUGAUGCGUAGGUUGGAUAUCAUUGAAAAUAAAGUUGCUACGAUUGAACUCAUUGAGAAUUUGGAUAAAAAGAUCCACAAUCAAAUCACUCAGUACGGAUCCAAGGUGGGAAUGGCUUUGAAAAAUCUAAAGGAGAGGGAACCCACAGUUAACAAAAACUAGGUCAUCAUUCCGCUAGGAUUGGCAAACUAGAGGAUGUUAUAACCAACUUGGGUUCCGCUUUUGCCGCUGUGCAGAACACUCCAAUUUUUACCCACAAUAAGGCCACCAAGUUUGUUUUUGUUCCUAAAAAUAGUGGUGAACCAUCUAGUAAUAUAGAUGAAGACCUUAAGAUGAUGAGGGCUAUUUAUGGUUUGAGCACCAAAGACGAGGAUAUGUGAUUCUUUCACCUUAUGCCUAGCUAAGGGCGUUAAACAAUAACGCUUGUUGGGAGGCAACCCAAUGAAUUUAUAUUUGAUUUUUGCUUUCUGUUUUGUUGCGUCCACACCAUCAUAAUUCUGUUAUGAUUGUGUCUUUUGUGUUUGAGCCAAGUAAAACCUUUAUGACUAGUUUGGUGAUGGUUGUUUGAUCCUGCUGGAAAAAGACAGAAACUUUUCGCUCACGAAAUUAUUUUUCAUUUUAAUCCAUAAAGAGAUUUUGAGUUGAUUCUUUUUGUUGCUGGUUGAUAUGGCAAUUGCCCAAACUGUCGUAAUGUUUCAGAAUUGUUGAGAUACCAGAAGUAUACGAAGUAUACAGAUUGCUACAGACUGGUCUGUUUUUGACAUAUUCUGUUUUUGUUGUGUUGGUUGCUUGUUUUGAUGAAACUAUGUAUAGUAUCGGGGGGGGCGGGUACUGAUACGUCUCCAUCGUAUCUACUUUUCCAAACUCUUUUGCCCUUGUUUUGGACUCUAAUUUGCAUGAUUUGAAUGGAACUAACCCGGACUGACGUUGUUUUCAGCAGAAUUGCCAUGGUGUUGUUUUUGUGCAGAAAUGAAAGUUCUCGGAAUGUCUUGAAACUUUACGGAGAAUAUUUAUGGAAAAUAUGAAAAAUACCUGUGCAAAGAUCCACCGGAGGGGACGGGCCAGUGGGCCACAAGCCCUGUAGCCGCGGCCUCCCCUCUGGUCGCGGCUACGAGGCUUGUGGGGCCCACGUGCCUCUGCCGCCCCCAAUUCCAGCGCUAUAUAUUCCCUUUCAUCCCGGAAAAAAUCAAGAGAGAAGAGUUCAUUGCGUUUCACGAUCCAGAGGCGCCUCCACAUCCCGUUCUUGCCCUGGAGGGCAGAUCUGGAGUCUGUUUUGUGCUCCGGAUCAAGGAGAUCGUCGCCAUCGUCAUCAUCAACCUUCUUCCCUCUCCAAUUCCAUGAAACUCUUCAUCGUUCGUGAGUAAUCUAUUCAUAGGCUCGCUGGGCGGUGAUGAGUAUGAUGAGAUCUAUCAUGUAAUCGAGUUAGUUUUGACGGGGAUUGAUCCCUAGUAUCCACUAUGUUCUGAGAUUGAUGUUGCUACUACUUGGCUAUGCUUAAUGCUUGAAACUAGGGCCCGAGUGCCAUGAAUUCAGAUCUGAACCUAUUAUGUUGUCACCAAUAUAUGUGUGUUUUAGAUCCGAUCUUGCAAGUUGUAGUUACCUACUAUGUGUUAUGAUCCGGCAACCCCGGAGUGACAAUAACCGGAACCACUCUCAUUGAUGACCAUAGUUUGAGGAGUUUAUGUGUUCACCAAGUGCUAAUGCGUUGGUCCGGUUCUUUAUUAAAAGGAGAACCUUAAUAUCCCGUAGUAUCCAUUUGGACCCCGCUGCCACGGGAGGGAUGGACAAUAGAUGUCAUACAAGUUCUUUUCCCUAAGCACGUAUGACUACACACGGAAUGCAUGCCUACAUCACAUUGACGAACGGGAGCUAGCCACAUAUCUCUCCGUGUUAUAACUGUUGCAUGAUGAAUGUCAUCCAACAAAUCACUGAUCCAUUGCCUACGAGUUUGUCCCACUGCUAUUGUUACUUGCUGCUGCUGUUACUUGCUUUGCUCUGCUGCUGUUACUACGGUUGCUGCUACUGUUACUUGCUUCUACUAUUACUUGCUUCGUCAUGCUGCUGCUGCUACUACUGUUGCUACUACUGUUACUUGCUGUUGCUGUUACUUGCUACUGUUGCUAAUUGCUACUCCUAUCACUACUGCUGUUCCUUGCCACUACUGUUACUCGUUACACUGCUGCUACCUGCUACAAUACUUUUCUGGUGCCAUUGAUACUUCAGUUAGGAAUAAUCUGUCGUCAACAGAUUCUUUCCUAGCACCGUUGCUAUCAUACUACCUUUGCUGCUUAUAUACUGCUUGCAGAUACUAAUCUUUCAAUUGUGUUUGAGCCAACAACUCAACUGCUAAUACUGGAGAAUAUCCUUUCAUUCCCAUCGUGUCGAACCAACAAAUUUGGGUUGAAUACUCUACCCUCAAAACCUGCCGCGAUCCCACACGCUGGUGGGCCAUUGCAAGACAAUUGCUAAUUGUUGAGCAACUGGAAACAACUCUUUUUUGGCACCGUUGCCGAGGAGGAAUAGCUAUAUUCUCUGAGUCACUUGGGAUUUAUAUCUUGUGAUCACUAUGAAGAAUCGGAAAGAUCUGAGAACCAAAGUCUUGCCCUCAACUCUGAGGGGAGGUAAGGAACUGCCAUCUAGCUCUGCACUUGAUUCACCUUCAGUUAUGAGUAAGUUUGCGACACCACCUCGUGCUAGAAAUCUUGAUAUGUCGCGUGUGCUAGAUGAUGCUAGAGAUGCUACUGCUAUUGAUGAUGCUUAUGAUGAUACUAUGCCUGAUACUGCUAGAGAUGCUAUGCGUGAUACUGCUAGAGAUGCUAUGCCUGAUACUGCUAUCCAUGAUGCUAUGCUUGAUGCUGCUUUGCCUGAUGAUGCUAGAGAUGCUAUUUUGCCUGAUUAUGCUAUGCUUGAUACUGCUAGAGAUACUACUUUGCCUGAUAUGCCACUAGGGGUAUUCCUUGAUGCUCAUAUUGCUAGAGUUAUUGCCAAUGCUCGUGAUGCUUCUGAAACUCUCGAUACUAUUGAGAUAGAACCUGCUUUUGCUCCUGCUAGAUCUAGCUCUCCUAGAUAUGAAUUGCCUGAUAUACCUGAGGGUUAUGUUAUGGAGGGAGAGAUAGCUGAGGAUUUUCUUGCGUGUAAGGAUGGCUAUGACGCUGAGAAAUUACUUCUCAAGUGGAAGGAAAAAUCUCUGAAAGCUAGGAUGAAAUACAACCCGAAGUUUGCCACUUCACCUAUCUUUAUCACCGAUGAGGAUUAUGAAUUCUCUGUCGACCCUGAGAUAAUCUCUCUUGUCGAAUCUGAUCCUUUCCACGGUAAUGAGUUUGAGACGGUCGUAGCCCAUCUUACCAAACUACACGAUAUAGCCACCCUUUUCACUAGUGAGGAGAAGAUCCGCUACUACUAUAUCCUUAAGUUGUUUCCUUUCUCUCUAAAGGAUGACGCUAAAUCCUAGUUCACUUCUCUUGCUCCUGGAUGUGUGAGUAGUCCCCAGGAUAUGGUCUAUUACUUCUGUGAGAAAUAUUUCCCUGCCCAUAAGAAGCAAGCUGCCUUGCAGGAAAUAUACAACUUUGCUCAACUCAAAGAAGAGUGUCUCCCACAAGCUUGGGGGAGGCUCAUCCAGCUACAGAAUGCUUUGCCUGAUCACCCUCUUAAGAAGAACGAGAGACUUGAUAUCUUCUAUAACAGACUUACCGAUGCUUCUAGAGACCACCUAGAUAGUUGUGCCGGUUGUGUUUUUAGGGAACGAAUUGUAGAACAAGUUGAGAUCCUACUGAAUAACAUCUUGAUCAACAAUAAUGCUUGGACUAUUCCCGAACCACCUCCUAAGCCAUAUCCCAAGAAAAGAGGUAUUCUAUUCCUCAGUCCUGAAGAUAUGCAAGAAGCCAAGAAAUCUUUGCAAGAGAAAGGCAUUAGAUCUGAAGAAAUCAAAAAUCUACCGCCUAUCGAAGAGAUCCAUGCUCUCGAUAACCCGAUACAAGUAGUAGAGGUGAAUUCUCUGCGUAGAUUCAAUGAGAGUGAUAUUCCUUUUGAUAAACCUGCUAGCCUAUGCUUUGAUGAAUUUGACAACUUUGUUGCCAAACAACAAAGUUUCAAUGAUUAUGUUAGCAGACAAUUGGAACAACGUACUCACAUGCUUAGUCAUUUAAGUGCUUGUGUAGAGAGAAAUGUCAAUGAUCUGAAGCUUCUGAGUAAACAUGCCUCAAUGAUUACUACUCAGGUAGAACAAGUACUUAAAGCUCAGAAUGACGUGCUCAAUGAAUUAAUGACAACUCUGUCAGAGUCAUUACUAGAGGAGGCAAAAUGACUCAGGAACCCUUGUAUCCUGAAGGCCAUCCUAAGAGAAUUGAUCAACAUUCUCAAGGUAUUAAUGCUCAUACACCCAGUCAUCCUAAGAAUAAGAAGAAGGAUGAUAGAAACCUACAUGUCAGUUCACCAAAUACUGUAACACCUGAAGAACCAAAUGAUAUUUCUGCGUCUGAUGCAGAAACACAAUCUGGUGAUGAACAUGAACCUGGUGACAAUAUGGACAGCGAUGUUCAUAAUAAUGCUCAACCUAGCAAUGAUAAGGAUGUGGAGAUUGAACCUACGGUUAAUCCUGAUAACCCACAACCUAAGAGGUACGAUAAGAAUGACUUCACUGCUAGGAGGCAUGGUAAAGAAAGGGAGCCAUGGGUUCAGAGACCCAUGCCCUUUCCUCCUAAGCCAUCCAAGAAAAAGGAUGAUGAUGAUUUUGAGCGCUUUAUUGAAAUGUUGAGACCCGUCUUUCUGCGUAUGCGGUUAAUUGAUAUGCUCAAAAUGUCUCCAUAUGCCAAGUACAUGAAAUAUAUCGUGACCAAUAAACGGAAGAUACCAGAUCUUGAGAUCUCCACCAUGCUUGCCAAUUACACUUCCAAAGGUGGAACUCCUAAGAAACUUGGUGAUCCCGGAGUGCCCACUAUACCUUGCUCCAUUAAAGGAAACUACGUAAGAACUGCCUUAUGUGACCUUGGAGCCGGUGUUAGUGUUAUGCCUCUCUCUCUCUUUAUCGUAGACUUGAACUGGAUAAGUUGACACCCACUGAAAUUUCUCUGCAAAUGGCCGACAAAUCAACUGCUUUCCCUGUCAGCAUUUGCGAGGAUGUGCCUGUUGUGGUUGCUAACGUUGCUAUCUUAACGGACUUUGUUAUCCUGGAUAUUCCUGAGGAUGAUGCCAUGGCGAUCAUUCUUGGAAGACCAUUCUUAAACACUGCAAGGGCUGUUAUAGAUUGCAGCAAAGGCAAUGUCACCUUCCAUGUCAACGGUAAUGAGCAUACAGUGCACUUUCCAAAGAAACGAUAUCAAGUACAUUGCAUCAAUGCUAUCGAAAAAACAUCAUCGAUUCUUAUUGGGAGCUUUGAAUUCCCUAUUCCUCGUGUUAAGAUGAAGUAUGAUUUGCUUGUUGGGGAGAUUCAUGUCCCCAUUGAGGUGACUUAGUGGCUAUUCGACAAUUCUCUGUUUCCUUUUGCGAUUCGAAAAGGUUUUGUCGAGGGGAUUUGAUCAACCCCAUUGACGGAUUUCUUUCGAUGACCAUGAAAUGGAUGAAUCAAGGAGUCACAUACCUCUGUUUUAAGCUUUCACUUUCUGUUGUUUAGAAGGAAAAAUGAUAGAUUUAGUUUAGUUUUUCCUGUUUUCUGUUUUAGCGUCCCAGAGAAAAGUAUCCCGAAAAUAGAAGUUCUACGAUGGCCCUGAAAAUCAAAUAUGAUUUUUUCUGGUUUUUUUGAAAAAUACUGGGACUGAGAGCUGGCCUGGGAGCCACACCAGUGGGCCACAAGCCCUGUAGCCGCGGCCUCCCCUGGCCGCGGCUACCAAGCUUGUGGGGCCCACAGGGACCCCCUCCACUCAUUCUAGCUCCCAUCCUCUUCUUCUACCUCCAGAAAAAAUCGUUUUACAGCUCCAACCCGUGCUCUUGCUCAUUUGGCUGUGAUUUUCGAUCUCCUUGCUCAAAGCACCAUUCUACGAACCGUUUUGGGGAAAUUACUCCUUGGUAAGUGACUCCUCCAUUGGUCCAAUUAGUUACUCUAGUGCUUUAUCCUUCGCGUAUUCUUUCUACCUUGGUGACCCUGUUCUUGAACUUGAAAUGUUGAUUUUAGUUCGUCCCAAGUAGUUUUAACGCGUGAUACGGUCUCUAGGCACUAGUAGGAGUAGUUGCUACAAGGUUUGGUUGGUCUUUAUUCACUUUUCUCUUGAACUUCAAAAAUUUCAGCAAAAAUAAAUUAUGUUUAGGAGGAAGUUUCAUGGUGGUUCCUCAAGUAAGAAGGGUCCCCGUCUUUCUAUUAAGGAGCCCGAUCCUUAUGAACUAAGGGACGCACCGGUACAACCAUGUGAAUGGCCUUCCGAUGAGUUCAUGAUCGAAGCAGGCUUCAAGGAUGAGUUUGAUACACUUGUCCACAAUGCCGAGUUAGAAGAAUUCCUCUCAGAUAAAUGUGAACAGUAUGCUAUGCUCACUGCCUCUUUCAUGCGUAGAUUUAAAUUUUUAGUUGGCCGUGACUCAUCCAUACUGUUUGAUCUGUAUGAUAAAUCCUACACCAUGGAUUUGGAGGAUUUCAAUAGGAUUUGCAAGAUACCCGAUGGGGGUAGUCUUAAUGAUCCUGCUAAGUCUUCGGUUAGAUAUUUUUUUUCUCUAGUAUAACUGUUGGAGAAACUAGAGACAUCACGCAAGCUACCAUAGGAAGCAUUCAUUUCCCUGCCUUGCACUACUUUGCCCUCUUCAUAGGUAGAUGCAUUAACGGCAAGGUUGAACAUUGUCACCUAUGCGCAUCCGACCUUAGUAUCCUUAAGAGCGCAAUAACAGGUGACAGGAGCUUCAACAUGGGAGCUAUAAUAGCAAGGAGGCUGAAUAAUAAUGCCAUUGAUAUUAGUUUACCGUGAGACCUAUGUGUCACUUGCUUAUGUGGUUAACUUGUGAUCUUGCUGAAAUUCUGGUUAUGAGUUAGACAUAGUUGCAACAUCAAGAUCAAACAGAGUUUGUCAAAGUUUUUCGUUCUCUUUUAGUUUGUCAACUGAGUUGCUUGAGGACAAGCAAGGUUUUAAGCGUGGGGGAGUUGAUACGUCUCCAUCGUAUCUACUUUUCCAAACUCUUUUGCAAUUGUUUUGGACUCUAAUUUGCAUGAUUUGAAUGGAACUAACCCGGACUGACGCUGUUUUCAGCAGAAUUGCCAUGGUGUUGUUUUUGUGCAGAAAUGAAAGUUCUCGGAACGUCUUGAAAAUUUACGGAGAAUAUUUCUGGAAAAUAUGAAAAAUACCUGCGCAAAGAUCCACCGGAGGGGACGGGCUAGUGGGCCACAAGCCCUGUAGCCGCGGCCUCCCCCCUGGUCGCGGCUACCAGGCUUGUGGGGCCCACGUGGCUCUGCCGCCCCCAAUUCCAGCACUAUUUAUUCCCUUUCGUCCCGGAAAAAAUCAGGAGAGAAGAGUUCAUCGCGUUUCACGAUCCAGAGGCGCCGCCACAUCCCGUUCUUGCCCUGGAGGGUAGAUCUGGAGUCCGUUUUGGGCUCCGGAUCAAGGAGAUCGUCGCCAUCGUGAUCAUCAACCUUCUUCCCUCUCCAAUUCCAUGAAGCUCUUCAUUGUUCGUGAGUAAUCUAUUCGUAGGCUCGCUGGGCGGUGAUGAGUAGGAUGAGAUCUAACAUGUAAUCGAGUUAGUUUUGACGGGGAUUGAUCCCUAGUAUCCACUAUGUUCUGAGAUUGAUGUUGCUACUACUUGGCUAUGCUUAAUGCUUGUCACUAGGGCCCGAGUGCCAUGAAUUCAGAUCUGAACCUAUUAUGUUGUCACCAACAUAUAUAUGUGUUUUAGAUCCGAUCUUGCAAGUUGUAGUUACCUACUAUGUGUUAUGAUCCGGCAACCCUGGAGUGACAAUAACCGGAACCACUCCCGGUGAUGACCAUAGUUUGAGGAGUUCAUGUGUUCACCAAGUGCUAAUGCGUUGGUCCGGUUCUUUAUUAGAAGGAGAACCUUAAUAUCCCGUAGUAUCCAUUUGGACCCCGCUGCCACGGGAGGGAUGGGCAAUAGAUGUCAUACAAGUUCCUUUCCCUAAGCACGUAUGACUACACACAGAAUGCAUGCCUACAUCACAUUGACGAACGGGAGCUAGCCACAUAUCUCUCCGUGUUAUAACUGUUGCAUGAUGAAUGUCAUCCAACAAAUCACCGAUCCAUUGCCUACGAGUUUGUCCCACUGCUAUUGUUACUUGCUGCUGCUGUUACUUGCUUUGCUCUGCUGCUGUUACUACUAUUGCUGCUACUGUUACUUGCUUUGUCAUGCUGCUGCUGCCACUACUGUUGCUACUACUGUUACUUGUUGUUGCUGUUACUUGCUACUGUUGCUACUUGCUACUGCUGUCACUACUGCUGUUCCUUGCCACUGUUGUUACUCGUUACACUGCUGCUACCUGCUAGAAUACUUUUCUUGCGUCAUUGAUACUUCAGUUAGGAAUAAUCUGCCGUCAACAGAUUCUUUCCUAGCACUGUUGCUAUCAUACUACCUUUGCUGCUUAUAUCCUGCUUGCAGAUACUAAUCUUUCAGGUGUGGUUGAGCCGACAACUCAACUGCUAAUACUUGAGAAUAUCCUUUCACUCCCAUUGUGUCGAACCAACAAAUUUGGGUUGAAUACUCUACCCUCGAAAACUGCCGCGAUCCCACACGCUGGUGGGCCAUUGCAAGACAAUUGCUAAUUGUUGAGCAUCUGGAAGUAGGUACUAGCCAUGGAAAAGUGAGAAUACAGUAAUCUAACACCAAUAUAAAUAGAAAUCAAGUUUGCUACAGUACCUCAAGAGGUGGUAGUUUGUUUUCUUGUGCUAAUAAUAUCACGAGUUUCUGUUUAAGUUUUGUGUUGUGAAGUUUUCAAGUUUUGAGUGAUGUUCUCAUGGCCAAAGGGAUAAAGAGUGGAAAGAGCUCAAUCUUGGGGAUGCCCAAGGCACCCCAAGACAAAUUCAAGGACACCAAAAAGCCUAAGCUUGGGGAUGCCCCGGGAAGGCAUCCCCUCUUUCGUAUUCAAUCCAUCGGUAACAUUACUUCGAGCUAUAUUUUUAUUCACCACAUGGUAUGUGUUUUGCUUGGAGCGUCUUGUAUCGUAGGAGUCUUUUAUUUUUGUUGUGUCACAAUCAUCCUUGCUGCACACCUUUGGAGAGAGACAUGCACUCAUCCUGAUUUUGCUAGAAUACUCUUUGAGCUUCACUUAUAUCUUUUGAGUUAGGCAAUUUAGCUCACAUGCGCUUCACUUCGAUCUUUUAGAGCACGACAGUGUUAUAUUUUGGAGAAAUAAGGACUCUCGAUCUUCACUUAUAUCUUUUUGAGAGUGAUCUCUCUGAGUAACUUGGUAGUUGGCUUGUGCUAUGAAAGUAGUCCCAAAGGUGAUAGGAAUCCAAAGAGCAUACGAUGAAACUUCCAUCUUCUUGUUCAUUGAUUAGAAAGAGAAGUUUGAUUCCUCUCAAUUAGUUUUGAGAUAUGGAUUUGGUGAUACUAAGAGUUAUGUUAGUAGGGUGUUGUGAAUCUAGAAAUACUUGUGUUGAAGUUAGUGAUUAACGUAACAUGCACGUAUGGUGAACCGCUAUGUUAGGAAGUCAGAGCAUAAUUGAUCUAUUGAUUGUCAUCCUUUGUGUUGCGGUCGGGAUCGCGCGAUGGUUAACACCUACGAACCCUUCCCCUAGGAGUAUGCGUUUAGCACUUUGUUUUGAUUACUAAUAAAAACUUUCGCAAUAAGUAUGGGAGUUCUUCAUGACUAACGUGAGUCCAUGGUAUAGAUGCACUUUCACCUUCCACCAUUGCUAGCCUCUUUAGUGCCGCGCAACUUUCAUCGGUGCACAAACCCACCAUAUGCCUUCCUCAAAACAGCCACCAUAAGUACCUACUAUGGCAUCUUCAUAGCCAUUCCCAGAUAUAUUGCCAUGCAACUCCCACCGUUCCAUCUCAUGACUUGUGCCGUCACUUUCAUAUUGCCAUUGCAUGAUCGUAAGAUAGCUAGUGAGUCAUAUGCCAAGCUAGAUCGUUGCACAUCCCGGUACAUUGCCGGAGGCAUUUCCUAUAAGAGUCAUCAUUGUUCUAAGCAUUGAGCUUUUAGUAAAUUAAAGUGUGAUGAUCAUCAUUAUUAGAGCAGUGUCCCAUGUGAGUAAAUAAAAAAAAGGCCAAAGUGGCCCACAAAAAAAUAUAUAUGGAAAGAGGCCAAAGAGCCCCCAAAAAAGGAAGAGAGAAAAAGAGAGAAUGGACAAUGCUACUAUCUUUUUCCACACUUGUGCUUCAUAAUAGCACCAUGUUCUUCAUGAUUGAGAGUCUCUUGAUUUGUCACCACCAUAUGCUAGUGGGAAUUUUCGUUAUAUAACUUGGCUUAUAUAUUCCAAUGAUGGGAUUCCUCAAAAUUGCCCUAGGUCUUGACGAGCAAGCAAGUUGAAUGCACACCCACUAGUUCUUCUUUUGAGCUUUCACAUACUUAUAGCUCUAAGUGCAUCCAUUGCAUGGUAAUCCCUACUCUUUCACAUUGAUAUCUAUUAAUGGGCAUCUCCAUAGCCCUUUGAUACGCCGAGUCGAUGUGACCAUCUCCUCCUUUUUGUCUCACAACCUCCACCACACUCUAUUCCACCAUAGUGCUAUAUCCAUGGCUCAUGCUCAUGUAUUGCAUGAGAGUUGAAAAAGGUUUGAGAACGUAAGAGUGCGAAAACAAUUACUUCGCCAAUACCGGGGUUGUGCAUGAUUUAAAUUAGUUGUGUGGGGAUGAUGGAGCAUAGCCAGACUAUAUGAUUUUGUAGGGAUAACUUUCUUUGGCCUUGUUAUUUCGAAUGUUUAUGAUUACCUUGCUAGUUUUCUUGAAGUAUUAUUGUUUUCAUGUCAAUAGCAAGCUAUUAUUUGAAUCUUACGGAUCUGAACAUUCAUGUCACAUGAAAUAAGUUACAAAGGACAAAGAUGCUAGGUAGCAUUCCACAUCAAAAAUUCAGUCUUUAUCACUUCCCUACUCGAGGACGAGCUGGAGUUAAGCUUGGGGAUGCUUGAUACGUCUCCAACGUAUCUAUAAUUUUUGAUGGUUACAUGCUAUUAUCUUGUCAAACUUUGGAUGUUUUGUAUGCCUUUUAUAUCUUUUUUGGGACUAACUUAUUAACUCAGUGCCAAGUGCCAGUUCCUAUUUUUUUCGUGUUUUUGACCCUUUUCAGAGGAGAAUAUUAAACGGAAUCCAAAAGGAAUAAAACUUCCGAAAAGGUUUUUUCCGGAACAGAAAAUACGCAGGGGGCGUGAGAACCAAGGUAGAGGCCACCAGGGGAGGCCACAAGGCCCCUAGGCGCGGCCAGGGGGGCCUGACUCUGUGACAACAGACCUUCCCCUGCAACGGCACCAGAAGAAUGCUGCUAGCACUCCCCGGCAAUCGAAACUAGAAGAAUAUUGUUGACGGCCCACCAGCGCGUGGGAUCGAGGCAGUUUUCGAGGGUAGAGUAUUCGAACAAAAUUUGUUGAUACGCCAGUAGGAGGUGAGACGAUACUCUCAAGUAUUAGCAGUUGAAUGUGUCAGAUUCAACCAGACGUGAAAGAUUAGUAUCUGCAAGCAAAGUAUCAUCAGCAAAGUAGUAUGAUAACAACGGUGUCAGAAACGAUCUGUUGACGGCAGACUAUUCCUAACGAUUGUAUCAAUGGUGCCAGAAGUUGCCCGUUGACGGAAAUUGUCUGUUCCCGUCAACGCCGAGCGAACAAAAAUUGUAACAGGUAGCAGCAGUGAAACGAGUAACAGCAGUGGCAAGGAACAGCAGUAGUGACAGCAGUAGCAAGUAGCAACAGUAGCAAGUAGCAGCAGAGCAAGCGACAGUAGUAACAGCAGCAGUGGGACAAACUUGUAGGCAAUGGGUCCGUGAUUCGUUCGGAUGAUAUUCAUCAUGCAACAGUUAUAAGACGGAGAGAUAUGUGGCUAGCUCCCGUUCGUCAAUGUGAUGUAGGCAUGCAUUCCGUGUGUAGUCAUACGUGCUUAGGGAAAAGAACUUGCAUGACAUCUAUUGUCCAUCCCUCCCGUGGCAGCGGGGUCCAAAAGGAUACUACAGGAUGUUAAGGUUCUCCUUUUAAUAAAGAACCGGAACAACGCAUUAGCACUUGGUGAACACAUGAACUCCUCAAAGUAUGGUUAUCAUCAGGAGUGGUUCCGGUUANGCCGCAAGCUUCUGUCUCCGCAAGAUCCCAUCUGGGGCACAUUCUGGUGCCCUGUCGGAGGGGGGAUUCGGAUACGGAGGGCUUCUUCAUCAACACCAUUGACUCUCCGAUGAUGCGUGAGUAGUUCACCAUAAACCUUCGGGUCCAUAGCUAGUAGCUAGAUGGCUUCUUCUCUCUCUUGGAUCUUCAAUACAAAGUUCUCCAUGAUCUUCAUGGAGAUCUAUCCGAUGUAAUCUUCUUUUGCGGUGUGUUUUUCGAGAUCCGAUGAAUUGUGGAUUUAUGAUCAGAUUAUCUAUGAAUCUUAUUUGAGUUUCUUCUGAUCUCUUAUAUGCAUGAUUUCAUAUCCUUGUAAUUCUGUUCGAGUUGUGGGUUUUGUUUGGCGAACUUGAUCUAUGAUUGUUGCAAUGGGAUAAGUGCUUUGUUUUGGGUUCAUACCGUGCGGUGACCUCACCCAGUGACAAAAGGGGUAGCGAGGCACACAUCAUGUUGUUGGCAUCAAGGGUAAAAAGAUGGGGUUUAUACCUAUUGCAUGAACUUAUCCCUCUACAUCAUGUCAUCUUGCUUAAAGCGUUACUCUGUUUGUCAUGAACUCAAUACACUAGAUGCAUGCUGGAUAGCGGUCGAUGUGUGGAGUAAUAGUAGUAGAUGCAGAAAGAAUCGGUCUUCUUGUCUCGGACGUGAUGCCUAUAUGUAUGAUCAUUGCCUUAGAUAUAAUUUGCCCUUCCGACCCGCUGCAUGCCACCCUUGUCGAGCUGACUACUCCCAUCGCCCCAACGGCUAAUACAACGCUGACUAGGGCUGAGGUGGAAGAGGCUCGCAAACAACUACUAGUGGAGGGCACCGCCCUUGCCACCUCCAAGCGCUGGAUGAAGGCGGCACGGCGUGAGUACAACUCCGCUUAUGGCUUCACCCCAGCCGCUGACGGACCCAGCCGGCUCGGCGACCUCCGCUGUCGCGGUCGGGUUGUUGCCGAAAUCCUAGGCGGCCAGCUACCCAUCUAUGACACUCCUGCGGCAAACAUGCGGGCCGCCCAGGCGGCCCAUGAAGAGAUGGAUGCCCUGCAGGGCGAGGAGCGGGUGCGUUAAGAAAAGUGCGUCAAGGACCUCCUCACUGCCGCCAAGGAGCAACAGGAUCGCCUCGAUCCUGCCCGUGCUUUCUCCGUAUCUCCGGCCUUCGACAUCGAAGGUUAUGAUGUCCCCAACGACCGUCAGCAAGCUCAGCAUUCUUCCUCCCAUCGUAAAUCCGACCAGAAGGCCGAGGGAAGCCGUGAGUAGCAUUCCCAACGCCGGAGAGAGCAUCACGCAGUAUCUAGCCGGCUCGGCGAGCCGGCUGGAACUAGAGGAGGCUCAGUUCAUGAAGUUCCCCCGCCUGAGCGGUGGGAGAAGGCCAGCACACCCGUGCCCGCAAUCCGGCCUGAGCUCGCGGCUUGGAUCGGCCCUCGCGUCCUUCGCAGCAAGAGCGAUGCUCGCACACGCAUCGACCUUCUGGCGCAGUCGGCCCUCCUGGAGGAGGAGGGUCCCAUUGGUCCGACGUGCUUCGGUCCUCGGAUCCGAGGGGAGGCGUUCCCGUCCGGCUUCACCGUCCCCCGCGAUACUACGAAAUACAACGGCUCUGGCAAGCCGAAAGACUGGCUGAUCGACUACAUCACUGCAGUCGGCAUUUCUCGGGGCAACAAGCGUGUUGCCGUCUGCUACGUGACACUCAUGCUGACCGGCUCGACAAGAACUUGGCUUAACAGUCUGCCAGCUGGCAACAUCAACUCUUGGGUUGACUUUGAAGAUGCUUUCGUCCGCAACUUCACUCGCACCUACAAGCGCCCUGGCCACGCCCGUGAGCUGGCCAUGUGCGUUCAGAAGCCCGACAAACCCCUCUGUGACUACAUCAUGCACUCGACGGAGUUGCACAACUCCUGCGAAGGAGUGCAUGAAGUACAAGCCAUUCAAUACUUCACUAAAGACUGUCGAGACGACACCCUUCUCAAGCACAAACUCAUGUGCUGCGAACCUACCUCUUUGGCAGCACUCAUGGACAAGGCGGAUAAAUACACUACUGCCAACUCUGCCAUGAGGAUCAAGGUCAGCGCGACGGACAAACCCGACCAACCGCCGGCUACAACUAAGCCGGUGGCGACAACUGAGGCGGGCAAAACAACAAGCGCAAGGCGGAUCAGCAAGACCCGUGAGCUUGAAGCAAGCAGGUGGCAAACAUGGAGGAAGAGCAGCCGGCUGCGCAAGACGACGCUCAGCAACAACGAACCGGCAAGAACACCUGACAGCCCAAGCUCACAUUCGAGUAGAUGCUCGACGCGCCUUGCAAGAUGCAUUCCGGGGCAAAGCCAGCCACCCACACACUCCGGUAGUGCAGCUUCUCACAGCGCCUGGCCCGCUGGCGGCUCCCCCGGGGGUGGCUCCUCGAGGUCCGACUCCCGGGCCGGGUCCGGCUCCAGCUCAACCGCCCCCAAUGACGGCCGUCUUCAUGACCAAUUCCCCAAGAAGGACGGGCCUACAUCGUCUUUACCAGCGAGGGCGAUGACAAGCAUAGUGAGCGUCAGCGCCGACAUGAGGUGAAUGCAACGGUCCUCUCGGUUCCCCAAUACACGCAUUGGUCUAAAAAGCAAAUUACAUGGAGCCAGGCGGACCAUCCCGCGGUGAUGCCGAAUCCUGGCACAUACGCGCUCGUCCUCGUCCCCACCAUCGCCUCCAAGAGACUCACAUGUACGUUCUCGCAGGUGCUCGUCGACGGCGGUAGCAUCAUGAACAUCCUCUACCGUGACACCAUGCUCGAGCUCGGGCUGAAGGAGAAGGACCUACAACCGACCAGGACUGUCUUCCACGACAUUGUGUCGGGGCAGUCUUGCUCGCCUAUCGGCAAAAUCCAGGUGGACUUCCUCUUUCGCGACAAGUCGCACUUCCACCGCGAGCCGGUCUGGUUCAAGGAGGUGGACCUCAACAACCCGUACCAUGCGCUGCUAGGAAGGCCGGCGCUGGCCAAGUUCAUGGCUAUCCCCCAUUACACCUACCUCAAGAUGAAGAUGUCGGGUCCCAAGGGCAUUAUCACUGUUGCCGGCAACUCCAAGAAGUCAAUCGAGUGUGGGUGCAACAGCAGCCGGCUGGCCGAGGCACUGGUGAUUGCACAGGAGAAGAGGCAGCUCAACCGGCUCAUGGCUGAGGCUACCGAGCAGCCGCCCGUGCCAACUCCUCCGUCCCAAUCAGACGGCGAGGCCUCAUUCGAGCCGUCCAAGGGAACCGGGCAAGUGCCACUCGACCCAGCCAACCCCAAGUAGUGCGUGACCAUCGGCGCCAACCUUAGCCCCAAAUAGGAAGGUGAGCUCGUCGACUUCCUCAGUGAGAAUCGAGAUAUCUUUGCAUGGUCCCCCAAGGACAUGUCGGGAGUUCCAAGGAACUACGCCGAGCACAAGCUUCAUGUGCAACCUAAUGCAAAGCCGGUCAAACAACCUUUGUGCCGCUUUGCUGAGGGGAAGCGACACACAAUCGGAGAAGAGAUCGCUUGGCUACUUGCAACCGGCUUCAUCAUGGAAGUUUCCCACCCGGACUGACUGGCCAACCCAGUCCUGGUGCAGAAGAAAAACAAAACAUGGUGCAUGUGUAUCGACUACACAAGCCUGAAUAUGGCAUGUCUGAAGGAUCCCGUCGCCCUGCCACGGAUAGAUCAAGUGACUGACUCCACGGUCGGCUACGAUUUGUUGUCCUUUGUGGACGCUUAUUCCGGCUACCACCAGAUCAAGCUGGACCCGGCCGACCGGCUCAAGACCUCCUUCAUCACACCUUCUGGAGCCUACUGCUACACGAUGAUGACAUUUGGCCUAAAGACUAUAGGCGCCACCUUCCAGCGUUGCAUGCAAUAAUGCCUCCUGCCGCAAAUCGGCAGGAACAUACACGUCUGCAUCGACGAAAUCGUCGUCAAGACCAAGAAGUAUUUCAGUCUCCUUGACGAUUUGUCGGAGACCUUUGCCAACUUGCACGAGUACAAGAUCCAUGUCAAUCCAGAGAAGUGCGUAUUCGGAGUACCAACCGACAAGCUCCUGGGUUUCUUCGUGUCGGCUCGCGGCAUCGAAGCUAACCCCGAGAAGACCAGAACAAUCGAGUGCAUGGCCAAGCCGGCUCAACUCCUCGACGUCUAGAAGUUUGCCGGCUGCCUAGCAUCCCUCAGCCGGUUUGUUAGACGGCUGGGUGAGAAGGCACUACCACUCUAUCAGCUGAUGAAGAAGACAACCAAAUUCGAGUGGAAUGAUCAAGCGGACGAAGCAUUCCGCGACCUCAAGUGCGUGAUCUCCAGCACGCAAAUCUUGGCCACGCCGGCGGAGAGGGAACCCAUCCUCAUCUAAAAUGCGACAACCAUGCGCGUGGUCAGUGUCGUCUUGGUGGUGGAGCGAAAGGAGGAGGGCAAUGUGCUGCUGGUCAGCGCCCUGUCUACCAUCUAAGCGAAGUCUUGUCCGCCUCCAAGCAAAACUACCCCAUUUUCAAAAGAUGUGCUAUGGCGUGUAUUUUGCCACCAAGAAGCUGAAGCAAUACUUCCAGGAGCAUGCCAUCACGGUGGUGAGCACAACUCCACUUUCAGAAAUCAUGGGCAACUGUGAUGCUAUGGGCCAGAUUGCCAAGUGGUCCAUCUCCAUGGCCGACCAUGACAUCCGCUAUGAGCUGUGCACCGCCAUCAAGUCUCAAGUGGUGGCCGACUUCCUCGUCGAUUGGGCCGAGACCCAGUUCCUACCACCGCCUCCUGACUCCACACAUUGGCGGAUACAUUUCGACGACUCCAAGAUGCGAACCGGCCUGGGAGCCGGCAUUGUCCUGACGUCCCCGAAAGGGGCCAACUCAAAUAUGCUCUGUAGAUACACUUCGCCUCCUCCAACAACGUCACCGAGUACGAGGCACUUGCACACGCCCUCUGACUUGCUAGAGAGAUCGUCAUCCAGCGGAUUCUUUGCUUCAGCGACUCUGACCUCGUGGUGCAGCAAGUCUUUCGCGAGUGGGAUGCCAGGGACGCCAACAUGGCCAGCUACCGCUUCCCCAUCCAGCAGCUUAGUGGCCCUUUCGAGGGCUGCGAGUUCCAUCAUGUCCCCCGAGCAGACAAUGAGGCAGCAGAUACAUUGGCACAAAUGGGCUCCACAAGGCAAGCAAUCCCGACCGGCGUCUCCCUCGAACAGCUGCACAAGCCUUCCAUCAAGCCGUCUCGAGCGUCGUCAUCGAUCUUCGUGCCUGCAGACCCGUCCGUCCCAAUGACUUUAGGUACGAAGACGCUUCAUCAACUCCGCCGGCUCGGCCCGUUCUGCCAGCUCCGUCAGCUUUGCUGGCUCCGGUUACCUUGCCGACACCAACUACUCUGCCGGCUAUGCCAAACCUCGAACCCAGUCGGCUCAACACCCAGUGGGUGGCCGUCAUGGAGGUUGAUGGCAUGCCGGCUUCCACGACGACACCAGAGACAGAAGGUCUCGAACCCAGGACCACAAUGACAAACUCGGGGGCCUCAGCGGCCCCUGGCCUUCAGGCCGAGCCAGAAUCGGCUCGUGUGUCAGCUCCCACAUGGGCACACCCCAUCCUGUCUUUCCUCCUUUGCGGUGAGCUCCCUUAAGACAAGGUGGAAGCACGGCAAAUCCAGUGCCGAUCUCUCACUUACGCCAUCAUCAACCGUGAACUGGUUCGACACAGUGUAACAGGCGUACUUCAACGCUGCGUCGAAUCAGAGAAAUGAAAAUAAAUUCUCAAGGACAUACAUCAGGGUGAGUGCGGGCAUCACGCCGCCUCCAGAACCCUGGUGGCCAAGGCGUUCCGCCAUGGAUUCUAUUGGCUCACGACCCUGGAAGAGGCCACCACUCUGGUCGACAAGUGUGAAGGAUGCCAGUGCUUCAACACGCAAAGCCACUUGCCGGCCUCAGCUCUAAAGACCAUUCCCCUCUCAUGUCCCUUUGUCGUCUGGCGUUGGACAUGGUAGGCCCAUUCAAGACCGCUCGAGGCCGCAUGCCGCAUCUCCUGGUAGCCGUUGACAAGUUCACCAAGUGGAUUGAGGCCAGGCCAAUAAAGAAGCUUGACGGUCCCACGACCGUCAGGUUCAUCAAGGACAUCACCGUCCGCUAAGGUGUCCCCCACAGCAUCAUCACCGAUAAUGGCACCAACCUCGCCAAAGGUGCAAUGGCGCUCUUCUAUGCCAAGGAGGGCAUUCGGUUCGACCUUUCGUCGGUUGCCCACCCGCAGUCUAACGGCCAUGGGAAGGGCAAACAACCUGAUCUUGGCCGGCAUCAAGCCAAGACUCGUGGCACCGAUCGUCAGGUCAGCCGUCUGCUGGAUCAAAGAGUUGACGGCUGUGCUGUGGAGCCUCCACACCACACCGAACCGGUCAACUGAUUUCACGCCAUUCUUCCUCGUCUACGGGUCCGAGGCAAUCAUCCCCGCGGAUGUCGAGUUCGACUUGCCUCGCGUCACCCUGUACACGGAGGCAGAUGCAAAAGAGGAAAGAGAAGACGGUGUCAAUCUACUCGAGGAGGCACGGGAGCUGGCCCUGAGCUGGACGGCCAUCUACCAGCAGAAGAUGAGACACUACCACAUCAAAAAGAUCAGGCCUCUCUCUUCCCAUGAGGCGGACCUAGUACUUAGAAGAAUCUAGCAAACAGCCGGCCAACACAAGCUCUCUUCCCCAUGGGAGGGACCCUUGAUCAUCAGCAAGGUGCUGCACAACAAUGCGUACUAUCUAAUAGAUGCUCAGAAGCCGCAGAAGCGCAAAAGAGACGCCUCCGGCGAGGAAACGGAGCAUCCAUAGAACGCGGCACUGCUUCGCCCGUUCUAUUGCUAGAACAAGAGAGAAAAUGUGUACGUAUGUAUCCUUUACCCUUUUGGGGUCUCAACGAAUGCAAUGGGUGUCUCAAGAUAGCACUUGGGGCAUACCUAUUUGAUUUCAUAAAAAGAGUUGUCAUUAGAAGAGUGGGCUUCCCGAUCUGACUCCUCGGGCUCGGGGGCUCGCUAGCCGGCCCAAGCCAACUUCCUAGUCGUAGUUGAACAUAUAGUGCAUGUCGAGCCGAAACCCUUACCACCUUGUGCAAGCUAGAGACCGGCUCCGGACUGUCCGGCUAACAUGAUUGUGGAAUGGAAGGCUGGUUGCACGUAAAAUUUGACUACAAAGAGGUUGUCGGCUCAGGUUGGUCUGAUCGCUUCCGAUCUUCAUUUCUAGCUAGCCUGUGCUAACUCGCUCCAAGUCUAAGUAUCUCCGCGACUUCAAGAAAUUCGAGGAUGGCGCCUUCGUAGGCAGAAGCCCCAUCCUAGUCACAAACCGGCUCCCUGCUGUCGGAUUGGCGGGGUGGAUGCUGGAGGAGGCAAGCUGUUGGAUAGACGGAAGCCAAAGGGGAACGUAAGAUAAAAAAGCGAGUCGGCAAGCACAACCUUCGCAGGCACAAUUCAAGCAAACAAGCAUAUAUUAUAUCAAAAGACAUGUAAAGGCCGACGACCAAAGUUCAUUACAUUACACCCCAAGUGCGUGGAACUGUUGGAUUAACAAAAAAUGCAGAAAAGUAGAAAAAACUUUAUUUGGUGGUGGCUCCACCCUUGGCUCCGACAUCGCCGGCAGCACCGGAGGUCGAGGAGGCUCCACCCAUGGCUCCGACAUUGUUAGCAGCACCUGAGGUCGACGCGGCUCCACCCUUGGCAUUGGCAUCACCAGCGGCACCUGACGUGGAGGCGCCGUCGUCUGCUCGGGUGCCUUUGGCACUGCCCUUUGUGGCGGAGUCAACAUAGGCCUCGCCGCUCAAGUCGGCAUCCUCGAAUGCCGUCUCAUCGGAGCUGCCAUCAGGGUCGGCAAGCUAGCCCAUAAUGACCCUCCGGGAUCAGGCUUCUGUCAGCACUCCGCUCCAGGGAAUACUCAUUCCAUGGGCAAAGGAGGCAAUGCCGCUCGGCCGCACCUGCAGCUCGUCUUCGACGGCGGCUGACACGUGUCCAACGUAUCUAUAAUUUUUGAUGGUUACAUGCUAUUAUCUUGUCAAACUUUGGAUGUUUUGCAUGCCUUUUAUAACUUUUGGGACUAACUUAUUAAUUCAGUGCCAAGUGCCAGUUCCUGUUUUUUCCGUGUUUUUGACCCUUUUCAGAGAAGGAUUUUAAACGGUGUCCAAACGGAAUAAAAUUUUCGAAAAGAUUUUUUCCGGAACAGAAGAUACGCACGGGAUGUGAGAACCAAGGCAGAAGCCACCACGGGAUGCCACAAGCCCCCUAGGCGCGGCCGGGGGGGCCUAGCAGGCUUGUGGGCCCCCUGUGACUCGUCUGCACUACCUCUUCUGCCUAUAAAUUCCUGAAAAAUCCAAAACUGCGGGAGAGAUCCACGAAAAUACUUUUCCGCUGCCGCAAGCUUCUGUCUCCGCAAGAUCCCAUCUGGGGCACGUUCUGGUGCCCUGCCGGAGGGGGGAUUGGAUACGGAGGGCUUCUUCAUCAACACCAUGACCUCUCCGAUGAUGCAUGGGUAGUUUACCAUAGACCUUCGGGUCCAUAGCUAGUAGCUAGAUGCCUUCUUCUCUCUCUUGGAUCUUCAAUACAAAGUUCUCCAUGAUCUUCAUGGAUAUCUAUCCGAUGUAAUCUUCUUUUGCGGUGUAUUUGUCGAGAUCCGAUGAAUUGUGGAUUUAUGAUCAGAUUAUCUAUGAAUCUUAUUUAAAUUUCUUCUGAUCUUUUAUAUGCAUGAUUUCAUAUCCUUGUAAUUCUCUUCGAGUUGUGGGUUUUCUUUGGCCAACUUGAUCUAUGAUUCUUGCAAUGGGAGAAGUGCUUGGUUUUGGGUUCAUACCGUGCGGUGACCUCACCCAGUGACAGAAGGGGUAGUGAGGCACGCAUCAUGUUGUUGCCAUCAAGGGUAAAAAGAUGGGGUUUACAUCAUUGGUUUGAGUUUAUCCCUCUACAUCAUGUCAUCUUGCUUAAGGCGUUACUCUGUUCGUCAUGAACUCAAUACACUAGAUGCAUGCUUGAUAGCAGGGGAUGUGUGGAGUAAUAGUAGUAGAUGCAGACAGUAUCGGUCUACUUGUCUUGGACGUGAUGCCUAUAUGUAUAAUCAUUGCCUUAGAUAUCGUCAUGACUUUGCGCGGUUCUAUCAAUUGCUCGACAGUAAUUUGUUCACCCACCGUAAUAUUUGCUACUUUGGGAGAAGCCUCUAGUGAACACUAUGGCCCCCGGGUCUACUUCACAUCAUAUUUUCAGCCUUUAACUUUUACUUCGUUGUACUUUCCACCUUCAGAUCUCACUUUGCAAUCAAUCUUGAAGGGAUUGACAACCCCUUUAUAGCGUUGGGUGCAAGCUCGUUUGUAUUUGCGCAGGUACUCUGUACACUUGGAUUGAUUCUCCUACUGGAUUGAUACCUUGGUUCUCAAACUGAGGGAAAUACUUACUUCUCCUGUGCUGCAUCACCCUUUCCUCUUCAAGGGAAAACCAACGCAAGCUCAAGAGGCAACAGAAGGAUUUCUGGCGCCGUUGCCGGGGACUUCUGGCCCCGUAGCAGAAGGAUUUCUCGCGCCGUUGCCGGGGAGGAUCAAGUUCUAGGUGAAGCUUAUCCAAGUAAGUGUCGAAAACUCAUCUCUUGCAUUUACUUUUUUGCCUUUCGUUUUCCUCUCCCCCAGUUUUGAAAAACAAAAAAUUACAAAAAUAUUUGCCUUCUUCGUUUGCCUUUUUCGUUCGCCCUUUUAUCUCGCUUGCUUUCUGUUCGCUUGUGUGCUUGUUUGCUUGUCGAAGUCACCAUGACUAAAAACACCAAACUCUAUGACUUCUCGAAUACUAAUAAUAAUGAUUUUAUUAGUACUCCGAUUGCUCCCGCCACUAGUGCGGAAUCAUACGAAAUCAAUGUUGCCUUGCUGAAUCUUGUUAUGAAAGAGCAAUUCUCCGACCUUCCUAGUGAAGAUGCCGCAUCCCAUCUUAAUAUCUUCAUUGAGCUUUGCGAUAUGCAGAAUAAGAAAGAUGUGGAUAAUGAUGUGAUUAAAUUGAAGCUUUUUCCUUUCUCGUUGCGAGAUCGAGCAAAAACUUGGUUUUCAUCUUUGCCCAAAAAUAGUAUUGAUUCUUGGAACAAGUGCAAAGAUGAUUAUAUAUCCAAGUAUUUUCCGUCGGCUAAGAUUAUCUCUCUCCGUAAUGAUAUCUUGAAUUUUAAGCAACUUGAUCAUGAACAUGUUCCACAAUCUUGGGAGAGAAUGAAAUUGAUGAUUAGAAAAUGUCCCGCUCAUGGCUUGAGUCUUUGGAUGAUUAUACAAAUCUUCUACGCUGGUUUGAAUUUCGCUUCUAGAAAUAUCUUGGACUCCGCCUCAGGUGGAACAUUCAAGGAAAUCACAUUAGGAGAAGCCACGAAACUCCUAGACAAUAUCAUGAUAAACUACUCUCAGUGGCACACUGAAAGGUCACCUACUAGUAAAAAAGUACACGCUAUAGAAGAAAUUAACUCGUUGAGUGCUAAGAUGGAUGAUUUAAUGAAUUUUGUUGCUAGUAGAAGUGCUCCUUUAGAUCCUAAUGAUAUGCCCUUGUAUUCCUUGAUUGAGAGUAGCAAUGCGAGCUUGGACGUUAAUUUUGUUGGUAGGAAUAAUUUUGGCAACAACAAUGCUUUUAGAGGAAACUAUGUUCCUACGCCUUUUCCUAGGAACCCCUCUAAUAACUUUGGCAACUCCUACAACAAUACUCAUGGAAAUUACGAUAAAUUACCCUCUGAUCUAGAUAGUAAUAUCAAAAAGUUUAUCAACUCGCAAAAGAUUUUCAAUGCGUCCAUAGAGGAAAAACUACUCAAAAUUGACGAUUUGGCUAGGAGCGUUGAUAGAAUGUCUAGUGAUACUGAUGCUUUGAAAGUUAGAUGUGCUCCUCCCAAGAUCAACAUGGAUGAAACUUUGAAACCCAUGCGUGUUUCCAUGAGUGAGAGCAAAGAAAGAACCGCCCAAAUUCGUGCUAGACAUGAAUGGCUUAAAAAGGCGUGUUCUCGUGAUAAGAAUCACGAAGAUCUUAAAGUGCUUGGUGUGACUCCCAUUGAAUCUUUGUUCUCUCGUGUCAAACCUAAUGAUGAUGGGGCUGGAUAUGAAUCUACUUUGGUUGAAAAACGCCUCAAUGAUUCGGAGUCCAUCUAUCUUGAUGCUAAAAGCAUUGAAAGUGGAGUAGAAGAAAUCAAAACUUUGAGUAGUAAUGAAAGUACUACUUUGGAUUUCAAGGAAUUCAAUUAUGAUAGUUUCUCCUUGAUUGAAUGCAUUUCCUUGAUGCAAUCCAUGCUAAACUCUCCACACGCUUAUAGCCAAAACAAGGCCUUUACCGAUCAUAUCGUUGAAGCUAUGAUAAAAUCUCUUGAAGAGAAACUUGAGUUGGAAGUUUCUAUUCCUAGAAAGCUUCAUGAUGAGUGGGAACCUACUAUCAAAAUCAAAAUCAAAAACUAUGAAUGCAAUGCUUUGUGUGAUUUGGGUGCUAGUGUUUCCGCGAUUCCAAAGUCUUUAUGUUAUGUUCUAGGCUUUAAUGAGAUUGAGGAGUGUUCUCUUAAUUUGCAUCUUACGGAUUCUACUGUCAAGAAACCCAUGGGAAGGAUCAAUGAUGUUCUUAUUAUUGCAAAUAGGAACUAUGUACCCAUGCAUUUCAUUGUGCUUGAUAUUGAUUGCAAUCCUACAUGUCCUAUCAUUCUUGGUAGACCUUUCCUAAGGACUAUUGGUGCUAUCAUCGAUAUGAAGGAAGGGAAUAUUUGAUUUCAAUUUCCUUUAAAUAAGGGCAUGGAGCAUUUUCCUAGAAAGAAAAUAAGAUUGCCUUAUUAAUCAAUGAUGAGGGCUACUUAUGGUUUGAGCACCAAAGACGACGAUACGUGAUUCUAUCGCCUUAUGCCUAGCUAAGGGCGUUAAAAAAUAGCGCUUGUUGGGAGGCAACCAAAUGAAUUUAUUUUUUUCUUUCUGUUUUAUUGCGUCCACACUAUCAUAAUUCUGUUAUGAUAGUUUUUUGUGUUUCUUUUUGUGUUUGAGCCAAGCAAAACCUUUAUGAUUGGUUUGGUGAUGGUUGUUUGAUCCUGCUGGAAAAAGACAGAAACUUUUCGCUCACGAAAUUAUUUUUCGUUUUUAUUCCGAAAGAGAUUUUGAUUUGAUUCCUUUUGCUGCUGGUUUAUAUGCCUUUUUCCCAGGCUGUCGUAAUGUUUCAUAAUUUUUGAGGCACCAGAAGUAUACGAAGUAUAAAGAUUUCUACAGACUGGUCUGUUUUUGACAGAUUUUGUUUUUGUUGUGUUGGUUGCUUGUUUUGAUGAAACUAUGGAUAGUAUCGGGGGUACUAGCCAUGGAAAAGUGAGAAUACAGUAAUCUAACACCAAUAUAAAUAGAAAUCAAGAUUGCUACAGUACCUAAAGUGGUGGUAGUUUGUUUUCUUGUGCUAAUGAUAUCACGAGUUUCUGUUUAAGUUUUGUGUUGUGAAGUUCUCAAGUUUUGGGUGAUGUUCUCAUGGACAAAGGGAUAAAGAGUGGAAAGAGAUCAAGCUUGGGGAUGCCCAAGGCAUCCCAAUCUAAAUUCAAGGACACCAAAAAUCCUAAGCUUGGGUAUGCCCCGGGAAGACAUCCCCUCUUUCGUCUUCAAUCCAUCGGUAACAUUACUUGGAGCUAUAUUUUUAUUCAGCACAUGAUAUGUGUUUUGUUUGGAGCGUCUUGUAUCGUAGGAGUCUUUUCUUUUUGUUGUGUCACAAUCAUCCUUGCUGCACACCUUUUGAGAGAGACAUGCACUCAUCGUGAAUUUGCUAGAAUACUCAUUGUGCUUCACUUAUAUCUUUUGAGCUAGACAAUGUUGCUGUGUGCUUCACUUAGAUCUUUUAGAGCACCGCUGUGCGUAACUUGGUAGUUGGCUUGUGCUAUGAAUGUAGUCCCAAAGGUGAUAGGUAGCCAAAGAGGAGACAAUAACACUUCCAUCUUCAUGUGUGUUGAGUAGAAAGAGAAGUUUGAUUCCUCUCAAUUAGUUUUGAGACGUGGAUUUGGUAAUAUUAAGAGUUAUGUUAGUAGGGUGUUGUGAAUCUAGAAAUACUUGUGUUAAAGUUAGUGAUUCCCGUAACAUGCACAUAUGGUGAACCACUAUGUUAGGAAGUCGGAGCAUAAUUGAUCUAUUGAUUUCCAUUCUUUGUGUUGCCGUCGGGAUCGCGCGAUGGUUAACACCUACUAACCCUUCCUCUAGGAGUAUGCGUUUAGCACUUUGUUUCGAUUACUAAUAAAAACUUUUGCAACAAGUAUGUGAGUUCUUCAUGACUAAUGUGAGUCCAUGGUAUAGAUGCACUUUCACCUUCCACCAUUGCUAGCCUCUCUAGUACCGCGCAGUUUUCGCUGGUGCACAAACCCACCAUAUGCCUUCCUCAAAACAGCCACCAUACCUACCUACUAUGGCAUUUUCAUUGCCAUUCCGAGAUAUAUUGCCAUGCAACUCCCACCGUUCCGUCUCAUGACUUGUGCCGUCACUCUCAUAUUGCCAUUGCAUGAUCAUAAGACAGCUAGCGAGAUGUUUCAACGUCAUACGCCAAGCUAGAUCGUUGAACAUCCCGGUACACUGCCGGAGGCAUUUCCUAUAGAGUCAUCAUCGUUCUAAGCUUUGAGCUGUGAGUAAAUAAAAGUGUGAUGAUCAUCAUUAUUAGAGCAUUGUCCCAUGUGAGGAAAUAAAAAAAUAGAGGCCAAAGUUGCCCACAAAAAAAGAGAUAUGGAAAGAGGCCGAAGAACCCAAACAAAAAAAAGAAAAAGAAAAAAAGAGAGAAAAUUAGAGAAGGGACAAUGCUACUAUCUUUUUCCACACUUGUGCUUCAUAAUAGCACCAUGUUCUUCAUGAUUGAGAGCCUCCUCGUUUUGUCACCACCAUAUACUAGUGGGAAUCUUUAUUAUAUAACUUGGCUUGUAUAUUCCAAUGAUGGGCUUCCUCAAAAUUGCCCUAGGUCUUCGUGAGCAAGCAAGUUGGAUGCACACCCACUAGUUCUCCUUUUGAGCUUUAACAUACUUAUAGCUCUAAGUGCAUCCAUUGCAUGGUAAUCCCUACUCUUUCACAUUGAUAUCUAUUAAUGGGCAUCUCCAUAGCCCUUUGAUACGCCGAGUCGAUGUGACCAUCUCCUCCUUUUUGUCUCACAACCUCCACCACACUCUAUUCCACCAUAGUGCUAUAUCCAUGGCUCAUGCUCAUGUAUUGCAUGAGAGUUGAAAAAGGUUUGAGAACGUAAGAGUGCGAAAACAAUUACUUCGCCAAUACCGGGGUUGUGCAUGAUUUAAAUUAGUUGUGUGGGGAUGAUGGAGCAUAGCCAGACUAUAUGAUUUUGUAGGGAUAACUUUCUUUGGCCUUGUUAUUUCGAAAGUUCAUGAUUACCUUGCUAGUUUACUUGAAGUAUUAUUGUUUUCAUGUCAAUAGCAAAUUAUUGUUUUUAAUCUUAUGUAUAGGAACAUUCAUGUCACAUGAAAGAAGUUACAAAGGACAACUAUGCUAGGUAGCAUUCCACAUCAAAAAUUAAGUCUCUAUCACUUCCCUACUCGAGGACGAGCGGGAGUUAAGCUUGGGAUGCUUGAUACGUCUGUAACGUAUCUAUACUUUUUGAUGGUUCCAUGCUAUUAUCUUGUCAAUCUUUGGAUGUUUUGUAUGCCUUUUAUAUCUUUUUUGGGACUAACUUAUUAACUCAGUGCCAAGUGCCAGUUUCUGUUUUUUUCGUGUUUUUGACCCUUUUCAGAGGAGAAUUUUAAACGGUGUCCAAACGGAAUAAAACUUCUGAUUUUUUUUCCGGAACAGAAGAUACGCACGGGACGUGAGAACCAAGGCAGAAGCCACCAGGGGACGCCACAAGCCCCCUAGGCGCGGCCAGGGGGGCCCGCGCCUAGCAGGCUUGUGGGCCCCGUGUGGCUCGUCCGCCCUACCUCUUCCGCCUAUAAAUUCCUGAAAAAUCCAAAACCGCGGGAGAGAUCCUUGAAAAUACUUUUCCGCCGCCACAAACUUCUGUCUCCGCAAGAUCCCAUCUAGGGAACGUUCUGGUGCCCUGCCGGAGGGGGGAUUCGGAUACGGAGGGCUUCUUAAUCAACACCAUGACCUCUCCGAUGAUGCAUGAGUAGUUUACCAUAGACCUUCGGGUCCAUAGCUAGUAGCUAGAUGGCUUAUUCUCUCUCUUGGAUCUUCAAUACAAAGUUCUCCAUGAUCUUCAUGGAGAUCUAUCCGAUGUAAUCUUAUUUUGUUGUGUGUUUGUCGAGAUCCGAUGAAUUGUGGAUUUAUGAUCAGUUUAUCUAUGAAUCUUAUUUGAGUUUCUUCUCAUCUCUUAUAUGCAUGAUUUCAUAUCCUUGUAAUUCUCUUCGAGUGAUGGGUUUUGUUUGGCCAACUUGAGCUAUGAUUCUUGCAAUGGGAUAAGUGCUUGGUUUUGGGUCCAUACCGUGCGGUGACCUCACCCAGUGACAGAAGGAGUAGCGAGGAACGCAUCGUGUUGUUGCCAUCAAGGGUAAUAAGAUGGGGUUUACAUCAUUGGUUUGAGUUUAUCCCUCUACAUCAUGUUAUCUUGCUUAAGGUGUUACUCUGUUUGUCAUGAACUCAAUACAAUAGAUGCAUGCUGGAUAGCGGUCGAUGUGUGGAGUAAUAGUAGUAGAUGCAGACAGUAUCGGUCUACUUGUCUCGGACGUGAUGCCUAUAUGUAUGAUCAUUGUCUUAGAUAUCGUCAUGACUUUGCGCGGUUCUAUCAAUUGCUCGACAGUAAUUUGUUCACCCACCGUAAUAUUUGCUACUUUGAGAGAAGCCUCUAGUGAACACUAUGGCCCCCGGGUCUACUUCACAUCAUAUUUUCAGCCUUUCACUUUUACUUCGUUGCACUUUCCGCCUUCAGUUCUCACUUUGCAAUCAAUCUUGAAGGGAUUGAUAACCCCUUUAUAGCGUUGGGUGCAAGCUCGUUUGUGUUUGCGCAGGUACUCUGGACACUUGGCUUGAUUAUCCUACUGGAUUGAUACCUUGGUUCUCAAACCGAGGGAAAUACUUACUGCUCGUGUGCUGUAUCACCCUUUCCUCUUCAAGGGGAAACCAAUGCAAGCUCAAGAUGCAGCAGAAGGAUUUCUGGCGCCGUUGCCGGGGACUUAUGGCGCCGUAGCAGCGGCCAACUCCAGUUCCAUGCUGGCGCGCUGCGCCGCGAGCAUGCCCAAGUUUAGGUUGCGAUACCAGGACUUGGCAAGGCGAAGCACCAUAUAUGCCCCAGCUUGUGCAGCUGACGCACACGAGGCGUCCAGCUGGGAAGUUCCUACCUCGAGCCAUCAGGACAGCCGGCUCAUUGACGCUGGCUCCACCGUGUCCGGCCAAAGGGCAUUCACCAUCGCCAACCCGGACUCCUGGAGCGAGGUCAGGGACUGCAACAGCUCCCACAUAUGGGCCCUGGCGGCAAGGGCCACCUCCUCCGCGGUCUAGCCGGCACUAAUAUUCACCAUGGCGCCGGCGGCACGUCGUUCUUUGCGAUGAGCCUCUACAGCCGUGUCCACCGCAUCUCAAUUCCCUAGAAAGAGAUGGUGGGGGGCAAUGGCGGGGUCAUGGCGUAAAGAAGGAGAAAAAAGAAUUCAACAAUAAAAAGACAAGAUGAGGCAGGGACGACUCACGGUUGAGAAGGAUGUCGACUUCGCCCGCCUCCUCCUCAACCUCGCGGUCCUGGACCGCACACUCCUAAGCCUGGCGAGCGAGCUUGUUCCCCAGGGCCUGUGUCGCCUUAACUUCCUUCGCCAGUUGAGCUUUCAUGUCCUUCAUGGCGGCGUCCUGCUGCGCCUUUUCGUCAAGGCGCAGCUUCUCCAAACGUUCAAGCUCGAUGGCUUGGGAGGCAUCCUUCCGCAACAUGUUGUCGUUGUGUCCGACGCGCAGCCGCUCCAGCUCCGUUUGAUGGGCCGCCUCGUGGUCCUUCUUCUCCAUCUGGAGAAGCUCUACUUCCUGACGUAGCCGGCCGCCCUCACCGCGCAAGGCGUCGCGCUCCGUGACGGCUCGGUCGAGCCGGCCUUGAAGGUCGCCUGUUUGUUCUAUGUAAUGAUCAUUGGCAUGAAUAAACAUUGCAUAACUAUGCGCUUUUAUACCAAUUUACCAACAAUAAUUUGUUUACCACCGUAUGCUUUUCUACCAAUUUAACAACAGUAAUAUGUUCACCCACCGUAUGUUUCCUACGGGAGACAAGCCUCUAGCGAAAACUAUCGCCCCGGGGUCUAUUCACAAAUAUAUUUACAAAAAUACUAAAUACUUCUUUGAAUUUUAUUAUUUGUAUUUAUUUUUUAUAUUUAAUAUAUUUUAGCUAUCUAUAUAUCACUACUUACCGUUUGCAAGUAACUAGUUCAAGGCGAUUGACAACCCUCUUGCUCGCGUUGGGUGCAAUUGUUUGCUAUUUUGUGUGUAGGCGCUGAACACAGGAAAAUGUGUCGUUCUUCUAUUGGUUUAAUAACCUUGGUUCUCACUGAGGAAAUACUUAUCUAUUCUCUGCUUCAUCAACUCCUCUUUGGGGAUAAAUCCAACGCAGAUCACAAUUAUCACGCGUGCGUUCCCACCCAACAUCGGCGGCCCACAUUCAUACCGAUGUAGAGCGGUCGCUCCGCAUUGAAGCCAUCCCGGAGCGGAUGUGGCAUCUCACUAGCACCGACGUUGAAGCGGUGCAUCGACCGACAGUGCCGCCCAUUGCACACCCGUGUGAGCAUGCCUCUUCGCUGCACUCAAACGCCUCUAUUAAACCCGCAUGUGUGCCAAGAAACCUAUUAUAGUAACAUGUCCAUUUGCGAGAUAGUCGGCCUUAAACACAACACCGGGAAAGCUCCCUGCGCCCGCCUGCUAUAUAAAGGAGGCCAGACGCUGGUAAAGGAUCGCACCACUCCUCCACUCCACAUCUCCCCCUUCCACCAUUUUCCCCCCCUUUCCAUGGCAUCCGACGAGUAGGAAGAGCAGUUGUCCAGUAUAAAAGUUGGUUGGGUGGCUCGCUGAGCCCUCUAGAUACGAACUAGGCAACUUGCUGCUCCUCCUCCCUCGCCGAGCUCGACAAAGAAAGUGGCCGCACCAAGCCGGCGCCUAGUUCAACAACUCUCUAUUCCAAGCCAGCUCACAGAGGAGUAGAGAGUUGCUCCAGACCGGCAUGGUGGAACUGACAUCAUGGCUGCCAUGGACGAGGCCAGGCGCCAAGCCAUCCAGCGUCGACUUUCGCGGAACCGCGUCGUGCUUGUGGACAAAGAAACUAGCUUGGAGAUUGACAAGGCUGCGGGGUUCGUGGGAGUUACCCGCAACUCUCAUACCAGUCGUGCAUGGCAAAAUUUUAGUCAUCGACUUGACUCAUUCCCGUAACCCACGGUGCCGCGCGGCGCAACGCGGCGCGGCGUGGCGAGGAGAGGCGGGCGACGGAGGAGCGCGCGUGUAUGUCUCUCUUGUUCUCAUGCUCAUACAUGUGUGAAACAUCAUCCCUUAUAAGGAGGUCCAACUCCUACCAAACUAGCAACGUGGGACUAAACUUUAGUUCCACCUCUUUCCUUGCACGAAUGGGAUAAGUGGGCCUCUAGGAUUUAUUGGAAAUUCUGAAGAAGAUCAUUGGGCUAGCCCAAAAUUAUUAAAUUCCAGCAAUCCCCCACCAGAUCCUAGAGGCACAAAAAAAUUGCCUUUGGUUCCAAAACACUGUUUAUAUACCGGUACUGCACAGGAGACUAUUAAGUUUAACUUCCACCUAGAACUAUAUGUUAUACUAGUAAGCAACUUGAAUAGUGGACUAUGCCUUGAACUGCAAGUUUUCUGUGAAUCUAGUUUCACAUAGAGCCUUGACUGAUACUAGGCUACCGUUGGUGGAGCUUAUGCGUCAUACUCCGAGGACUUUCAUAAGUUUACUAGAGAGCACCCUACUCUCAUAGAUUGCGAUGUUAACAAUCAGACUCAUGUAGGUGUGUUCUUCAAAAGAGUUCUGUAGGACAACAUCUCUGCUUCAACAAGACAUUUAGAACAUAUAAAGAUAUAUAUCAACCUUCCAUGCAUAUUAGGAAAGUAUUGCAUCUUCAUGGAGUGGUAUUAUCAAUGGUAAGGAUACUUUCCUCUCACUUGACCAACAACUUGUCUUCCACAUCUAAUUCACGGGAUCUCCGGUCACAUUGAAUAGUUUAGCACCGUGAACAACUCAUAUUGUGGGUCUCAUACCCAUCCCCUUCGAUGCAUUAUAUAUCACAUUACAAGAUAGACCCUUAGUAAAAGGAUAUGCCAAAUUUUUAGAUGUUUGGAUAUAAUCCAAUGAAAUAACUCCGGAGUUUCUCAUUUUCCUCACAGAGUUUAACCUUCACUGAACAUGUCUUGAUGACUUCAUGUUAUCCUAUGAACUACUCACUUUUGCACUUACAGUUUGAUUGUUGUGGUUCAUAAGAACACCUGGUGCAGGUUUCUCAACAAACUAUAAGUCAUUCAAGAGCCGACGAAGCCAAUCUUCUUCGCCAUAGCUGUAUCUAGUGUUGUGAGUUCUGCUUCCAUUGUUGACCUCGUUAAGAUUGUUUGCUUGCAAGACUUCCAAGAAACAGCGCCACCACCAUGAGUAAAUACAUAUCCGCUCGUGGCCUUUAUCUCAUCAGCAUGAGAGAUCCAGUUUGAGUCACUAUACCCUUCAAGUACCUUUGGGUACCGAGUGUAUUGAAUUCCAUAACUCGUAGUGCCCUUCAAAUAGCGCAUAACUCUUUCUAGAGCUUUCCAAUGAUCAUCUCCUGGUUUUGAGACAAACCGGCUCAGCUUGCUAGCAGCAAAAGAGAUGUCACGUCUCGUAGCGCUUGCUAAAUACAUGAGCGAGCCAAUUAUUUGGGAUUAUUUCAAUUGAUCUCUAGCAAUUAUUCGAUUCUUUCGAAGCAACACGCUAGCAUCAUAAGGUGUUGGAGAAGGCUUGCAGUUAGUAUAACCAAAGUGACUCAAGAGAUUUUCCACAUAGUGAGAAUGAAGCAAAGUAAUCGCACCGUCAUCACUUCUCAGCAGCUUGAUAUUCAGAAUAACAUUAGCUAAUCCUAAAUCCUUUAUCUCGAAACAACGAGAUAGGAAAUCCUUGACUUCCUUAAUAACAUUCAUAUUUGUUCCGAAAAUCAAUAUGUCUUCAACAUAUAAGCAGAGGAUAACUCCCUCGCCCCCACCAUGGCGAUAGUACACACAUUUGUCAGCUUCGUUUACAACAAAGCCUACACCUAUUAAAGUUCUUUCAAACUUCUCAUGCCACUUCUUAGGUGCUUGCUUAAGUCCAUACAAUGACUUCAAAAAUUUGCACACUUUUCCCUCAUGACCGUCCAUUAUAAAUCCAUAUGGUUGUUCCAUAUAAAUUUCCUCGUCCAACUCUCCAUUUAGGGAAGCAGUCUUAACUUCCAUUUGGUGGACGAGAAUACCAUGUGAAGCUCCUAGUGAAAGAAGUACUAGAAUAGUGGUCAGUCGAGCCAUAGGUGAGUAAGUGUCAAAGAAGUCUUCACCUUCCUUUUGGGUAUAACCUUUGGCCACGAGUCAUGCCUUGUACUUCUCAAUAGUACUAUCAGGCCUAAGAUUCUUCUUGAAUACCCAUUUGCAGCCUAUAGGUUUGCACACAUAGGGACAAUCAGUUAUCUCACAAGUUUCAUUUGCGAGGAUGGAAUCCAUCUCACUACAAACCGCUUCCUUCUAGUAGUCAGCAUCUUCAGAUACAUAAGCCUCUGAAAUAGAACUGGGAGUGUCUUUUAUGAGAUAUACAAGAAAAUCAUCACCAAAGGACUUUGUAGUCCUUUGACUCUUGCUCCUUUUAGGAUUCUCCUUGUUGUUCUCCACAGGAUCUUCAAGAUGUUGUGUUGCAAUAGUCGGUUCAGAAGGUGCACCUACAUCUUGACUCGAUAAGCUAGGCAUCUCCUGAUUUGAUGCGCUAGCCAUAUCCUUAAUGGGAAAUAUAUCUUCAAAGAAGGUCACAUCAUUCCACUCCAUGAUUGUGCCAACAUGCAUGUCAGAUACCUCAUAUUUUAUAAUCAAGAAUCUACAACCAAUGCUAUGAAAAUAUACCCCAGGAAAACAUAAUCCACAGUUUUUGGCCCAAGCUUUCGCUUCUUUGGAAUUGGUAUAUUGACUUUUGCCAAGCAGCCCGAAGUUCAUAGGUAAGAGAGUUUUAACCUUUUCUUCUCCCAUUCCUCAAAUGGAGUUAUCUCUUUGUUCUUUGUGGGAACUCGGUUUAGGACAUGACAUGCAGUCAAAAUCGCAUCCCCCACCAUGCCUUGGAGAGACCUGAUAUGACUAAAAUGGCGUUAACAAAAUCAGUUGGAGUGUGGUUCUUCAUUUCAGCUACCCCAUCUGACUGAGGUGAAUAGGGAGGCGUUCUCUCAUGGAUUAUACCAUGUUCGGCACAAAAAGAAUCAAAUUCAUUGAAAAAAUACUCUCCACCAUGAUCAGACCUAAGCCUCUUAAUUUUCUGAUCAAGUUUGUUUUCCACUUUAGCUUUAUAGAUCUUGAAGAAAUUCAAAGCCUCAUCUUUAGAUUUUAAAAGAUACAGAUGGUACCAUCUAGUGGAGUCAUCGAUUAAUGUCAUAAAAUAUGACUUUCCACCUUUCGUCAAAAACACUGUUCAUUUCACAAAGAUCUGAAUGUAUGAGUUGUAGUGGCGCAAGAUUUCUUGUUUCUGCAGUUGCAUGAGACUUACGAGGUUGCUUAGCUUGCACACAAACUUGACCCUUAGAUCCCUUGAUAGAAGUGAAGUUCAGGAUCAAGUUCAACUUGACUAGCCGCGUCAUAGAACCAAAAUUAACAUGACAAAGACGUGAAUGAAAGACAUUUGAUUCUCUAUUAUUGCAAACGUGAUUAAACCCUUUAUUACAAAACAUCUAAUAAAGAUAGUCUGAACAAGCCUCCUGACUCAUAACCUUUACCAAGAAAAGUUCCAUACUUGGAUAUAAAAUUUAUUGGACUGAAAGACAAACUUGUAGCCAUCUCAACAUAGAGGAGAUCCACUAACAAGAUUUUUAUUAUCGGAGGGUACAUAAUGCAUGUUCUUCAGCCGCAUUAUUUUUCCUGAAGUAAACUUCAGAUCGACCGUGCCAACACCACGAACAUAAGCACUUGAACCGUUUCCCGCCAGGAUGGAGGUAGUCCCUGCGGCCUGAUAUGAAGAAAACAUAGAAAUAUCACCGCAUAUAUGCACAUUAACACCCGUAUCAAUCAACCAAUCAGGAGAACGACAUAGUGAGAGAAUAGUGGGAAGUAUACCAUACCCAACAUCCUGCAUCUCAGCAUCACCAAUGAUAACAUUAGCAAUCUUGUCGCCUUUCCCAUGUUGACGCUUUUCAUAACGGUUAGGGCAACUAGGUGCCCAAUGAUGAGGAUCUCCGCAAACAUGACAAACACCUUUCUUUUUGUCAGUCUUCUUCUUGAGUGUGCUGUGAAGCCUUGUUCUUCCCAUCAAACUUUCCCUUACCAUCAAAUUUGCCCUUGUUAUUGAACUUGUGGGGUUGGAAGUUUUUCUUCUGCACCAGAUUGGCACUAGAACCUCCUUCCAUACCUCAAGCAUGUAUGUCUUGCCUUUUCUUCCACAUCAAGAUUACCAAUGAGAUCCGGAACGGAAAACUCCUUCCUCUUAUGAGUGGGAGAGGUAGCAAAGUUCCUCCAUGAAGGAGGAAGCUUAGUAAUAAUACCUCCGGCAACAAACUUCACCGGUAACAUACAAUUGAAGUUCUCAAGUUCUCCAGCAAAUGAUUGUAUCUCGUGAGCUUGUUCAACCACAGAACGCUCAUCAGUCAUCUUUAUUCAUAGAAUUGUUCCAUGAUAUACAGCUUAGUGCCAGCAUUCGAGACUCCAAACUUGGCCUCGAGCACGCUCCACAUAUCUUUCCAUUGUCAAUUGACGCAUAAGCAUCAACAAUGUUCUCACCAAGAAUACUCAAGAGAGCAUCCUUAAACAAGGUAUCAAUUUUCUGAAAAGCGAAUUCCUGUUGAGGAUCAAGAAUUCCUUCAGGUUUGCCAAGAGUGGCAUCGUAGCAGCUCAUGGUUUGAAACCAUAGAACAUCCCUUACACACCAUCUCUUAUAGUGCACACCCUCGAACAUAGGAGGCCUCAUGGAAGCAGCAAAACCACUCGGGGUAAAUUUCCUAAAAUAAGGUCUUCGGAUUGUUGGAAAUAUGAGCGAUUUACCAAGUGAUUUUACUAGCAGAAAUAGUAGAUGAAUCAUGACUACCAUAGCAAUUAUAAGACAAGCCAGUCGAUUAUACACAGAGUAUGCAAGUAGCAUAUGAAGUGAUGAGCAGGAACGAAACAUAUCUAGAAAAGAAACUAUAACAAGAAGUUGUGGCAGGAACUCAAACAAGAAGAACACGAGAACAUACUGAGUUGGAGCAGCAGCUAUAGUGGGAUUUGCGUUGACGUCGUCAUUGGCCAUGUUGCCGAAGAGGCUGUCGAUGUCGGGGAAGAAGUCGUCAUCCGGGAAGUAGUCGUCAGCGUUCGUGAUGGAAAAGCCAGUAGUCGCAUUGAGCGCUCCCCAAAAACCUUAUCGCCCUUCUCCAGUACAUGACUCAAAGAGACGGGGUUUCGGAGGCCUACUGUUCCGACCUGCGGUGCACGUCGCAAGCCGGGGCGGGGAAAAGCUAGCAGUAGCUCAGAGAUUGGAACUCGUUGGCAUGAGGAAGAUGGUAUUCUCGUGUGUCUCUCUGGAGAGGAGCGACCUGUCUUUUAUAGGCCCAUGAGAAGGAGGCAGGCACGCAACAUCGGGAGGCGAAGCAAAAGAGAUUGCAGUCAGGUUGAUAAUAGUCGAGUGACAUUACUUCGUCGGUCCAAACUAAGGAAUCUGUUAUAAAUGUUUUGAAAUAGAUAUUGUUCUCUCUUUGAUCAGGGAUUGCUAUAUGAAAAUAAGUGGAGUUUGAAAAAGGGAACGAAAUGCUCAAACCGGAACUGCUAGAGGAACGAAUUUUCAAUAGCAUAACUUGGGCUCCUAGAAUAUGGUGCCCUUGAGACAAUCUAUUUGAUUGCAGGGUUUUGUUCUGAAGCAAAGAUAUCCGCAGAGGACGGUUCGUUCGUCCUAUUCUGAUAUUCAGGACCAAGAGGUACUGCAUUCUCUGGCUGAAAUGCCAACGGAACUCUGUCUAUUCUCUAAUUCACCCGAUCCGAUAGUACCUGUUUUUGGAACGUCCAGUGCCAAAGUCAUUGAAUGGGUAAGUCACGAAUCCAAUCCCUUUGACAAAUCGGAUGUCAUAUUAUAUAUCAUAUCCUAUAUAUAUAUAUAGAAAUAUCAUAGAUACCCCGUUUCGUGACGAGGCGAGACGGGCGGCGGAGGAGGAGGAGCGUGCGUGUAUGUCUCUCUUGUUCUCAUGCUCAUACAUGUGUGGAAACAUCCUUUCUUAUAAGGAGGUCCAACUCCUACCAAACUAGCAAUGUGGGACUAAACUUUAGUCCCUCCUCUUGCCUUGCACGAGUGGGCUAAGUGGGCCUCUAGGAUUUAUUAGAAAUUCUGAAAAAGGUCAUUGGGCUGGCCCAAAAUUAUAAAAUUCUAGCACAUAAUUGGGGGGGGGGGUAUACCUCUGGGGCUCCCGAUAGUCCGAUGAGCAGGCUGCCGGACAUGAGGCAGACAAAGGGAUCCGCAGCGCUCGGCCAUAGAUUAGUGUAGGGUAUCCAUGUCGUUAGAAUGGAGCUCCACGCGACCAGACGUGCACAUAGUUUUACCUAUUUUAGUUCAAAUAUGUCCAAAAUGCAAUGAAUUUAGUCCGGUUUAUAUGAAAUCCGUUGUGUUUGCAUGAGUUUCAUCUGCUUUGUUGGAAAAGUGUUUGAAAUAUACUUCCUCCGUUCCAAAAUAUAAGACCUUUUAGGAAUUUCACUAUAAGACUACACACGGAGCAAAAUGAGUGAAUCUAUACUCUAAAAUAUGUCUAUGUACAUCCGUAUGUAGUUUAUAGUGCAAUCUCUAAAAGGUCUUAUAUUUAGGAACGGAGGGAGUAUGUGAGUAACGAUGGAUGACCGACAACACUCGAGAAUAUCAUUUUUGGUGGUGCUCCUCAGGUGCCGAGUCAUCACUUUCAAGGUGAAAACCUAAGGUCUAACUUUCGUUUUGUGCCUUAUAUUAGAGUAUUUAACCAAAAACCACCAUAAUUCAUGGAAACGUGCCUAGAAACUACUACUAUACGUUUUUGUGCCGAAAGCUACCAUUUUUAUCCUAAUCAGUGGCAAAAAACUACCAAGUGUGAAUAUUGCUCCAUUAGCCUCUUUGAAAUGCCUUUUAUCCUAAUCCGUUAACUACUCCAUUAACCUACCUGGCGCAGCCCCGCCGCCGUCGCCAUGGCCUCGCCCAAAGCGGCGGCCGCCCCGUGCCUCGCCGUCGGCAGGCCUCCUUGUCGCCGACCACGUCGCCGUCGGAUCCCGGCGUCCUGCGAACCGCCCCACGCUGCCAGUCUCCAUGCCCUCGCACCGAGCGGCGGCCGCCCCGCGCCUCGCGGCCGAAGGCCUCCCGUCGUGGACCCUGCCGUGGUUGGAUCCCACCGCCUCGCCUCCCUGGCGCAGCCUCGUUGCCCCGUGAACCGCCCCGCGCCGUCCAUCGCCAUGGCCUCGCCUCGAGCGGUCGUCGCCAGCGUCUCGCCGUCACCAGAUCCGGCAGGCGUCGCCCUGGUUCCGCCUCUCCCGGACCUCCCCGCCGCCCUGCUCAUGCCGGAGUGCUGCGUGUAGAUCGCGUCGUCUCCUCCAGAUCCGGUCGCACCGCCGCCGUACUUCAUCUUCUCCACCUCCGGUGAAGGCCGCCGCCGUCUCGAUCUCUUUCUCCGGUGACGGCAAACUUAACGGUGCUGACUUUUCCGUCCUGACAUGUGGGCCAACCCUGUCAUAAUGAGUUUAAACGAGCCAAAUGAGGCGUUUUGCAGACUUGAUUGUUUUUAGUCACAGAUUAGCAAAAAAAAAUUGAUAGUUUUUGGCGCAAAAACGAAUUGUGAUAGUUCCUGGGCACGUUGGCGUGAAUUGUAGUAGUUUUUGAUUAAAUACUCCUCAUAUUACCUUGAUGAAGGUAUUGUUUCGAGAGCUCGGUCUUUUUAAGGGAGAAAACCUAAGAUCUUGGAUCGGACGACGAUGACGCUUGUGCACCGAUUUUUUUUUAAAGGCAUCAUUUUUUAGGAUGGUUUGAGUGUCGCUGCUGCUGAGAAGAGUUGUUCACUGUGACGAGUAGUUGAAAAUGCUCUUACUAUUACAUUUUUCUUUCAAACACGUUACAGUUUACUCCCACCUCAAGUAGUUCCGAGCUACUGUACGUAGUAGCCACACACAUGGAGCGACUCACUCACCUCCAACCAAUUUAACUUUCGUGAAUCUUUGAUCGCUUUUCAUUUGGCCCAGCUCGACGUCACGCGGAUGUCCCCGAUGGAUCUCGCCGGCCACACGCCCCUCGACGACGACGAGAUGAGCAGCGUGUGAUCCUCGUCGCCCCGUCCAUCCAACCGAAGAUAAGACGCCCACUCCCUCCCCUCCACAUGGCACCCACCCUCCAAUCCCUUACUUAUUCCCGCCCCCCUCACUCCUCCAUCCCCUAGCUCCACCUCUCAUCCGCUCCUCAGCCACACCUAGAGCAUCUUAGCUCCAGCUAGCCACCAAUGGCCGCCGCACUGAGCCUCCGCGCGCCCUUCUCCGUGCGCGCUGUGGCGCCACCGGCGCCCCGCGUGGCCCUUGCGCCCGCGGCCCUCAGCCUCGCCGCCGCCAAGCAGGUGCGGGGAGCCAGGCUCCGCGCGCAGGCGACGUACAAGGUGAAGCUGGUGACGCCCGAGGGCGAGGUGGAGCUGGAGGUCCCCGACGACGUCUACAUCCUGGACCAGGCCGAGGAGGAGGGCAUCGACCUGCCCUACUCCUGCCGCGCCGGCUCCUGCUCCUCCUGCGCCGGCAAGUUGGUGUCCGGCGAGAUCGACCAGUCCGACCAGAGCUUCCUCGACGACGACCAGAUGGAGGCAGGGUGGGUGCUCACCUGCCACGCCUACCCCAAGUCCGACAUCGUCAUCGAGACCCACAAGGAGGAGGAGCUCACCGCAUAAGCUGCUUACCCUGCCUCUCUUUGCAACAAGAUCGAGCUGAUAUCAUAUUAUCUCCCAUCAUGCAUGCAUGCAUGGAUAUCGCCAGAUACACCGAUUUGUUUGUGCUCGAAUGAAUUGCUCGAUGCAUGGUUUGCUCCAGUAAUAAUGUCUUCGAAUUACUACCUUUUUGUACCGUAAGAUAUACUACUGUCGUAAUACUAGCGUGUACUUAAUUCAACGUACUGAAAUGAAUCCUGAUGGCUGAGGUGUCUCUCUGAUUAAUAAUAUCUUCUUUUUUACUUAAGAUAAGAGACUGCUGAAUGUUGGUUGCUAACGGUGGUGGUUGAUGUUGAAGUUUUGUUGCUGCAAGUUGAUUGCUUCGCCGCGUUAUGCCUUGCCUUGUUUCUCAUUUAUGUAUUUUUGAUGAUGCAUCGUCGCACUAGGUAGCUCUUGAAUUGUGUUUGGGGGCACCUUGAAAUUAAUAAACAGUAAGGUAGGUCACAAUGUCUUCAACCCCCUUUCUAGAAACCACUCUAACAUCAAAUAGAAUAUUACUCUAUUGAUUAGUACAGAGAUGCUAUAUACACUUUGUCACAGUUUGUACAGAGAUUGUAGGUGAAUGCAAUUGAAUUAAACCAUAUGUGACAUGCACCGUGAAGUCGAAACCUUGCAACAUAGUGUCAGAAAUAACAAAUCGAUGUCUUACUUCAUUAGAUGUGGAACCAUCUACCCUCGUUGUUGAUCAUCAUAAUGGUUUUAUAAACCCCCAACAUGUUGUGUUUUAAAACGAUUGUACCAUGUUCUUGUUUCGACUGCCGGGGGGAGGGCUCGUGAUGACCUACUCUUUCUCAAGUUAUCAUGUUAGUCACUUGGAUGACUUAGGCCCUGUUUGGAACUAUAAUACUCCCUCCGUUCCAUAAUAUAAGUCUUUUUAAAGAUUCCACUAAAAAACUACAUACAGAUGUAUAUAAACAUACUUUAGAGUGUAGAUUCACACAUUUUGCUCCGUAUGUAGUCCACUAGUGAAAUCGCUUAAAAGACUUAUAUUUAGGAACGGAGGGAGUAGAUUAUAAUAAUCUAGAUUAUGAAGAUAGAUUAUAUAAUCUGGUUUAUAAAAAUAAUCUAGAUGGACAUGUUUGGAGGCCGGAUUAUAUAAACUGUAAUCCAGAUUUUACAUUGCAUAAUGACCUGUCUGCCCUCUGUUUAAAAAAAAAAAAGGGUGGCGGUGGUAGGAAUGUAAUUAUCUCCAACUUUACAAGGGUAAUAGAUCAUUAGCAAUCCAUAAUCUGAUUUUAGCUGGUAUAGACUAGAUUAUGAGUUUUUAAUAAUAUAUCCAUCUAGUUUUUAUAAUCUACACCAUAAGCUGUCCUGUUUGAAGACAAAAUAGAUUAUAGAAACUGGAUUAUAUAAUCUGGAUGGUUCCAAACAGGGCCUUAGAUGGAGAUAAUGCACACCAUUGAAAAAAUUAUACUUAUAGAUAGGGUCACUUUAGUGGCUGGAAUAGUCUCGGACCUGUCACUCGUACUUCGGUCCAACAACGUACAUGCCAUUGCAAUUUACUGAGCAGGGAUUGCCGCCCGCCACUGAUUUUCUAGUCCCACAUUGGCCAUGGGGAAACCUUUUCAGUGGCGGGCGGUCGGGUACAACCUACCACUGGCAGUGAAGUUGUCACUGGCAGGCACCGGUUUCCUCCAACCAUUAGUGCACCACAUAUGUAAUUUUCUAAUUUCCUGCAUUUGUUUUUACAUUUUAGUGUGGUAUUCUUUUGUGACUUUGUUACUGUAUGAGAAUUGUUUGACCUUUGUAGUAUCUUUAUUUGCUAUAUUUUAGACAUUUUAUUAAUAAAGUUGUAUUUAAUUGAAUAUAAUUAUAUUUUUUGAACUACAACUAUAUAUUUUAAAUUACUUUCAAAGGUUCGAAGACAAAUAUUUAUGUCUCGUGAAACAAUAGUAUUGUUUCACCAAUAUUUGAGCAGUUUUUCAGCAUAUGUAGUUCAUAUUUAAUUUAUGUCCAUUAGAUAAACUAAAAAUGCAUUUAAUGCCCCAAAUAUAUCAUAUAAACCUAGAAACGCAUUUAAUGCCCCAAAUAUAUCAUAGAAAACUAGAAUAGUCCUGAAUUUGACCAAGGAACUUGUAAUGGUGUAUACCAAAAAUAAAAAAAGUUUCUGUUAAAAAAUGAUGAAAAAAUUGUGUUCCCAUUCAAACCCAACAUUUUCCCUUAGAAACGUUGAUACUUCCGUGGAGACUGUUAUUUCUACGUGAAGUGCAUCGGAUUUUUUCUGUGAGUCUCUAAUUUUGUUACCACACCUUCGGUUUCAUAUCAUGACACCAUGCAAAGUUCCAUCAUUUUCAAACUGAAUUUACAUCUAUGUAUAAAAAAAAUCAAUACUCUUAAUAGCUAGAAAUUGAUCUGAUGCUUAAAAAUAGCAAAUCAACCCAAAAGGUGAUAAAGUCUAUCAUGAGUCUUUAUGAAGUAAAUUCAACCCCACAAAAGGUGGAAAUUAAAUUCUACCCCUAAAGCAGUAAAGCAAACAUAUUGCAAAAAAUGCAAAAAAGUAGCGUGCGACCAUAAACACCCUCCAUUGAUUGAUUUUGGUCACAUUCCCGCGAGUGAGUGGGACAUGCCCGCACCUUCAACCUGCAAAUGUGGUUGCCUUAUCCCCCAUUGUCGACCUCUCCCAUCCGACUCUACCCAAUCCCUAGCUUGCAAUCACCAUUGCUGCACCCGUCGUUGUCGCCGGCGAGGGAAUCAUCGUCUUUUUCAUGGGUUGUCAUUGUUGCAACAACCCCGGUCAGCGUGGCCGAAAUGCCCACCCCAUGGCCUCCUCCACCAGCAAUGGUGGCCUAACCCGCUGCCACUAGCCUCCUCUUCCUCCAAGCCCGAUGCCUUUAACUCUCCCCAUGUCUCCUUGCGCGUCGGUGGCCCCAAUCUCCUGGUUGUAUUUUGCAAUUGCAAAGGACAUUGUAUUCGUUGUGAGAUACUUAAAUCUGUUGAAAGGAUAUCGAAUUCUAUAAGCAACAUGCUUCUUGCUUGUGGAAUGUGCAGGCUAUUCUUUCAUGGAAAAUUUGGUCUUAGGAUACUUGGGGAUAGGAAAUAGAGAAUUAAUCAAGGUAGAUUGUUGUUAAUCCAUUUUGCUUCAUAUCCUUCUAUUGAUGUAUGAUUAGCUCGUUCUUUCUAGACUACGCCAUAUACAUCAUUUCUUUAGCAAAUUUAUUUACUCCUGCUUGCAUAACUAUGUCGUAUGCAUCAUUAUGCUUAGCUCCUGCUUGCAAGAUUACUUGAGGAUAAUAGGAAGCAAUUAUGGUUUCAGAAUAAACCAAUCAGAAUAAGAAACACAUCCUCUAUACUCACAUCAUCUUUUAUACCUCAAUGCUUGUAGGUGUAGUGUUUUUUGCCCCAUGCAAAUUUGUGUUACGUCAUCUUUUAGAUACAAAUCAUGGUACCCUUGUUCCUGUCUUGACAUCAUGGUCAUGUUUUAAAAAAAGCAUUUUCUUAUUUAUGUUACACCCCACAUGUAUGUAUACAUAUAUUUCUUUUUUAUGUCUCUUUGAAGGUUGUUAGUGCCACAUGUAGGUGGGGUUGUAUUUUUUUAUUGGUGAAAGUUGUUGGUUCUACAUGUUGUGUCACCUUAUAUAAGGUGUAUUACACUUUAAAUAGUAAUGUGCAUAUCUCCAAAAUUUGUAGGGCUUCAAAAUGAGUGCCAAAAUUCUGGCGAAAUGUUGAUUUAUUUCCAUUUCACCACAUUUUGAGCACUCAAUAUUUUCAAUUUUUUUAGCAAAACUAUGCCCAACUUUUCCAAUGAUUCAUAAUUGUUUACCCUUAUUAUUUUAUAGAUGUACUGGCUAUACUAUAGUGUAUAAAUGAUGCGACGAACUAUGUGUUUUCUAUUUAAUUUCUCAACAUGAAUGUAUGCAAUCAACCAUGUAUACCCAUGAUGUGGUAACAUCAACGUAGGUGUGUGCCACAGGUGCUUAUCAACUCUAAGGAAUUCUACGUAGAUCUUGACGAGAACUUUCCACAGAGGAUUGUACGUUUUAAUUCAACAUGUGUUGUGGAUGCUGAAUUGCUCACAUAUAUAAAAUUACCCAAAAAAUGUCUAUUUUUCAUAUUUCUCCAUGCAUCCCUUGUUAUGCAAGGCUCACUUCCUACAUAAAGUGAACGUGCCAUAGAGGAGAAGGUUACAUUUGAGCUCAAGAUGAUCAUGUUAAAAAAUGGCACAACCUUCAACCUUACGGUCACCAACGAGGCACACGGAACCUUUCAGUUGCCCAUGUUGAAGAGGGAUUGCAACCGAAUAAAUGAUGCAAAAUGCGAAGGCAUUCUUGUUUUUUUAGCGAAGGCGUUCUUUGUCGUUUCUUGGCGAACAAGAUGAUGAUGACAACAUCUAUAUGUGGUUCACACCGCCCCCACCACCAUAGUUGUUCUUGGUGGAAGGAUUCGGAGUUCAUAGGCAUAGUUUUAUCAUGCACUUCAUUUAAUGCAUAUGUUAUAUCUUUUUAUAAUCAUCCAAAUUUAUUCCUCAAAUAACGGCUAUAUCAUUUAAAAUUAAAAGAGAAAUAGAGUUUAGGGGACUAGAAUCCCAAAUAGAAGAGGGUCUAUAGGUAAAACUAGUCUUUGCUAGAGAAUCUGCUAUUUUGCUUCCCAAAGCAAUGGGCAAAAGAUGUGCCAGCAAAGUCCAUCACCAGAAAAUAGCAUUCCACGAUAGUGGCUGCAUCUGGCUCGAAAUUAUUCGUAUGCCAGUUCACAACCUCCACAACUAGGAUACCCAUGAUGUUUCGAUAAUCACAUUAGGUUUCCAUCACAUUAUUGCACACAAUGUUUCCAGCCAAACGAGCCCUUUGCGAAUGGCACUUAACUCUAUCAAAUCGGCACUACUGACAUGAGGCAAAUACCAUGUAACAGUGAAUGACACUUAACUCUAUCAAAUCGGCACUACUAACAUUAGGCAAAUACCAUGUAGCAGUGAAUGGCACUUAACUCUAUCGAAUCGACACUAUCGACAUGAAGCAAAUACCACAUAGCAGCGAGAGAAAGUUGCCUUUGUCAUCACGUACAAUAGCUCCCAUCGCACUCGAUUGUGUUUCAUAACGGAAAGAAGCAUCCACACUAACAUUAACACUUCCCAUGUUAGGUCUCUUCCAUAUAUGAUAUUUUUUUCAUACAGCUGAUUUGAAGUUACUGCUCUUAUGAAAUCUUUGGCCAAAACAUUGAUAGAAACUGCUCCCUUUUAGGGUUUUGGAGAGUGUAGGAUCGAAAGUAUGUCUAGUGGAGGGGGCUUCAUUAGACUACUUGAUAAGAUAAAAACUGAACCUUUUUCCUAAUUUUAGUUGUGGGCUAGUUUUAGCAAUUAUGACUAGUCAAGUUCAUCCUACUCAUGCAUAUCUAAGAUUAUAGCAGCGGAAAGUAAAGACAUGCAAAUGUAAUGAAGAGGGUAAGGUAGGAAGAUCAAAUGCAAAGGUCGACACGGUGAUUUUUGGCGUGGUUCUGAUAGGUGGUGCUAUCGUACAUCCAUAUUAGUGGAGACUUCAACCCACGGAGGGUAACAGCUGCGAGAUUACACAAAGGGCUCCACCCACAAGGGCUCCACGAAGAAGCGGCCUUGUCCAUUCCACCAUGGCUUACGUCCACACAAGACUAACCUCACUCACGGUAGAUCUUCACGAAGUAGGCGAUAUCCUUGCCCUUACAAACUUCUUGGUUCAACUCCACAACAUGAAGUAGGAGGCUCCCAAGCGACACCUAACCAAUCUAGGAGGCACCACCCUCCAAAAGUUAAUAGAUGCAAUAGAAGGAUGAACUCCUUGCUCUUGUGCUUCAAAAGAUAGUCUCCUCAACACUCAAUCACUCUCUCAUAGAUUUUGCAUGGGUAGGAGAGAUUGAUCCCAUGGAAAGCAACUUGGGGAGGCUAGAGAUCAAGUUUCAAAUGGUUGAAUUGGAAUCUCUUGAUCUUAACACAUGCAUGAGUAGGUGGCUUUCUCUCAGAAAUAUGGAUCUGGCAAGUGGGUGUGUGUUCUCAGUGCUUCCUUUUCGAAUGCGAGGAGGUGGAGGGGUAUAUAUAGACAUCUCCCAGAAUCCAACCAUUACCACAUUAUUUCCCAAUGCGGUGACACCGAAAGGAAUCUUAGUGGUACCAAGUUGCAAUAAAUGUGGCACCUUUUGAAUUCUUGGUAGACCAAUAUAUGAAUCUCGAUGGUAAAGAUACGAUGAUCUAGACCAGUUUCCAAAUCUCGGUGAGACCAAUUCCAAUCUCGGAAAUUCUGAUUGUUGGAAUUUUCUCAACAGAAAGUUGGUCAUUGAAUCUCGGUGGCUCUCAUAUGAAAGUUUGUGGUACCGCCAGAUUAGAGUCUGGCAACGGAUCCAUUGGGUGGAAAAUUAGUAGGGCCAAGUGGAAAAUAUUGGUGGCACCGAUUUUGCUCGUUUAGCUUUGGACAGGGAUAUCUUGUGGGAGAAUGGCUUAGUAGUUUUGGUGGCUAUCUCUAAGCACUUGAGCAACCAAUUCACCGUAAUACCUCACCCCCUUUAAAUAGUAUUGGCCUUCCUAUGGACUCAAAGUGAUUUAUCACAUAUGUAAAAUGUAGAGUCUUCUUGCUUGAAGCUUGAGCUAAUCCUAUUCCUUCCUUCAUCAAGGGGUUUCUCCACACAAUCCUUUAGCCAAGGCAUCUUUGAACUUUUCUAAAAUAUACUUGGAUAACAUCAUUAGUCCAAUGAUGCAUAUGUUGUGAUCAAUUAUCAAAACCACCUUAGGGAGCAAUUGUGCUUUAAAUCUCUCCCUUUUUGGUAACUGACGACAACAUAUAGAUCAAAGCUUCAACAAAAGGUAUAAUCAAUUAUUAGCAUCGACGCUUUGAGAAGUACGUGGAAAGCAAGAGAUGCCCCUAUAUUUGUGCAUUAUUUUAUAUUUGCAUUGGAAUGCAAAUGCACAAUCGAUUAGGAUCAUGGGUCACUCUUCCAUGUCACAUAUAGCUUGGUGGUGCGCAUAAAUGAUAUGAAUAAAUAGUAAUGCACAUAACACCAAACAAGCAAGUGAAUGAUCAUCAAGUAGAUGGCUCCAAGGUAAUAACGUGGUAGCAGCAAUCAAACAAAGUAUAGAUCAAACACUUCUCCCAAACACAUAAAGUCAACCAAAAGACCAAAAAAUUGAAAAACCAAAUGAGACCAAAUAAAAUGCAAACCUCUCCCUCUCGAAGACUAUUUGAUCUAUACACUUGUCCUCCUUUGGCGACAAGUUACCAAAAAGUUUGAAGGUCUAGAACUAAUUAUCUCUCUGGCUUGAACUCCUCCGGUAGAUGAUGAUGGAGUGGAUAGGAGAGCGUCGAUGAAGGCUUUUGCACAUGUCCCUGGAGCUGGAGGUGUUGACACUAGAGGUGCAGGAGCAGGAGUUGAAGGUGCUAAAGCUUGAGCUGAUGAAGAUGGUCUUGCUUCCAGAACUGGCAUAGUUGUUGACCUAGUCUGGGUCGUGAACUGAGUAGUAGUAGGAAGAGGCGACUCUUCCUCAUCACUUCUAGAGCGGGAUAUAUGCACAGAAUCAACUUUAUGCUGGAGCUGCUCAACAGUGGUAGUCAACUCCGUUACCUUAACCUCCAAGUCAUGGAAUUUUGUCUCCACGAUCCUCUCAAGUCUCUUCUGGUUCAGCAAGAUCUCGGAAAUUUUCUUCUCCAUCCCUUGGAUGGUACUGACCAAGAAUGACAUCUGCUCAUCUCUGGUCCUGAGCUAUGCGGUUGAAGCUGGAGCAUUCCUAGCAGCCGCUGUCUCUGCUACCUCUGCUGCCGCUUGAGCUGUAGCUGAGCUAGGAUGGCUAGGGUCCAUCACAACUUCAUUAUCUUCAAACUCUGGCUGAAGUGGCAGGUGGGGACGAUCAAGUAGAUAUGCAUGCUUGCCAAUCUUGGCAUUGAUGAGCAUCUGAAUAUAUGGAGCAUAUCCACAGGAUUUCUUUUGAUCUACAGCAGUCUUCCUCACAUGCUCAACUAUCAAGUCCAUCAUUAUGAACCGGAAGUGGGUGUCUAGAUGAUCCAACAUGUUGAUGGAAUAACCUCUAAUAAUCUUAUCCUCUCCUGAUUUGGGCAUGAGGGUGUAUCUCAUAAUGGUGUUUGUAGUAGGUAUCCCUGCUUGCAAGAAAUAGACAAAUCCAAACUUGUACAUCUGCACAUAUUUAUGAGGCACUGGCUUGUACAUUUUGCCGUAGAGUUAUGAUUCAUCUUGGGUUCUGAGUACACAUCCAGAUCUCCUUCUUGUGCCUUUGGAUCACCAAUUGUAGUGGCUCACUCAUACAUAAUAGACUCAUACCGGUGACCUUCAGUCAUCCAUACAAUCCUUCCGUCAGAACAGAAAUUAGCGAUGGAAUAGAAUUGCAUGAUCAUCUCAUCAUUCCAAGCAGUCAUCUCUCUGCCAACAAAAUAUUUAAUAUCGACUAGCCUGAAGUUUUCUCUCACAUGGGGAAAAUAAUGCUCACUGGCCUUGAUAUAUUCCCAAUGGACAUAUCUCAUAUCGCUGACUGCAAGACUCUUAUCAUGAAACACACUCUCAUAGAAAUCUUGUUGCUCCUUUAUGUGAAAGCGGGGAUCAACAACAGUUCUCCGUCUCACAUCAUAUGGAUCAACUGAUCUCCACUUACUCACUCCUUGAUCUCUCCUCUUUUGUAUGUCCUGAGCAGUUGGUGAGCAACAUUGUGUAGUGGCAGAUGAGCUCAAAGCUUCAUUAGAACAGGGGCACCCUCUUCCUCUUCUACCGCAAACUCUCUGGAUGCAGAGCCUUUGUUCCUCUGUGCUGCAGGAAUGUCCUUGGUAGUCUUCUUGGGAGCUACAGACUUCUUAGGAGUUGAGAACUUCUUGGGAGCAGAAGGCUUCUUUGGCAUAGCAUCAACCAUCGGCUUUUUCUUCAUAGGAGGAGGGACCUUAUGUGGAAUUUAUUCCUCCUCCUCAUCAACAACUUCUUCUGGGUCUUCAUAUAUUGAGGUUGGCCUUCCAAUAACAUAGUCAAUUCUCUUUCUUGCUCUCGUAUGACAUGGCUUCUUUGCAAGCCUAGCUUCUGGAGCUUUCAUGUCAGAACGUAUGGCAUAUUCCUUCCUCACAGUCUUCCUGACUGCGGUCUUAUCUUUCUGCUUCUCAGGAACAGAUUCCUCUGGAAUAAAGUCAACAUCUUCUUCAUCCGAAUUGAUCUUCCUUCUGGACCUGGUAGCUGCCUUGGACAAGCUAUGGGAGCUAGGUGUCCCUGGGUCAGAAGGUGUCCUCCUAGGACUAGUGCCUGAAUCCAUCUCAGCACUUGGCUCAGUGAAGUUGUUCUGACUAUCCUCUGAUCCUGACAUACUGUCACAGAGCCAAGUAGACAAUCAAACCCUAUGAAUAGAUAUACAAGAUCUAGAAGGGAUGAGCAUCACAAAAAUCAGAAGUUUUGGAAAAAUCGAACUCUGAAAAGUUAGGUUUAACAUUUAGCAAAAAAGGAUUUGUGUUCCAUCGAGACAAAAAUUUCGGAGGCACCGAUACUGACGUACUAAUUAACAGAAACUUGGCACCCUUUUCCGUUCCACUGAAAAGGAGAACUCACUUUCACCGAGACCGUUCUCGGUAGCCCUAAAAAAUCGUUAAGACCAACUUUUCUAAAUCGGUGACACCGAGAUUCAAUCUUGCGGAUGGCUAACCCUAAGAAUUCCAUUGUUCUCUAAUCUAUGGAAUUUUUCUUCUAGAUAGGAUGAGUGUAGAAGUGGACAAAAUUCAUCAAAACCUUAAUGCACAAGAAUCAGAAUUGGAGCGCAUAAAGGGGUCGGAUCCGUACCCUAGCUUGGUGAUGUAUCCGCUACGGCAACGACGACGGUGAAGAUUCCUGUUGACAACGAAGACUCCGGUGGUGAGGGCGCACGUGAGAAUUAAGGCGAUGUCCACGGGACUAGGGCGCGGCAUCGAGGAUGUGCGUCACGCGACGUUUGAAGUGAUUUUCCAAUCAUCGGGUCCGUGAGAUAUAUAUAUCUCCUAGCUGUCGGUGACACCGAUAUGGAAUUUUUGGUGCCACCGAGUUCCACAACUGUCAACUGAAAGUGAAAAUAGGUGAGGCCGGAAAGAACAACUCAGUCAUACCAAGUUAAGAAAACCUGAUCAACCCUAGGCUUCGGUGGGACCGAGAUUUUGUGGUUGGUCACACCGAGAUGCAAUUUGGGAGGUUUUGGGAUUCAGCACUUGUCGAGACGGAUCUAUCAAGCACUUGUGUCCCUAAAGUUCUUGCUCAAAUUUUGUGUUGUAGCAUGAAUAGAAUUUGAGACGAGAAAGCAUAGAUAGCUAGAGGGAAGUACUUAGGCAUUCUUGUAUAUCCAAUUGGCCAAAUGAAAUAGAAAGACAAAUAACAACAAUUGGAUAUCCUCGAAUGAGAAAAAUAUGCAUACCAACAUGCUCACACAAUAAGGUGUCAAAUAAAACAUGGUGAACAUGCACGAACAUUCUAGCAUCUAUCAAGCACUUUGGCGAUAAGGAAUUCAUCUAUAUAUGAGUAUAUUGACAUAGGAGCCAAGUAAGAGUACUUGACAAUAGGUCAUACUCAUCGAUUAAGAACAAGUGGGGUUAUCACUUUUACAUAAAACAUUAAUGUGCUCACAUCAUUUAGGAGACGCUUAUACUCAAGUCUUAGAGUAAAGCUCCUCCUAGAUGUGACAACCCCCUAAGAGGGAUAAACUAACCUUAGGUUUUGUAGUAGAAGAUUUCAAGUAGGUGUAGUAGUGGUGCAUGCUCAUUGUUGAUAAAGAUCAUCUUUGAGUUGGGAGCAAUCCUAGUUGUUUCUUACCCUUCUCACCUACAUGGGUUAGUCCCAAAGCAAAAGGAAUGUAUGCAAGAAUAUCUAUGGACAUGGCAUGAAGUGCAUGAGAGGUGAUGUAAAAAUAUGCAUUAAUUACCUUGUCCUUUGCUUACCUUUGAGGUAAUGUGUGACUCCUUGAACUAAUGCAUAUGGUUGGAGUUGAUUGCAUAUAGUUCUUGCCAAAAUGAAUAAGAGUGAAUUUGAUUGGUAGAGUCACCCCCUCAAGAAGUUUCUAGUUCUUCAUCUUAGGGACCCACAUCAACUUGAUGGGGAUCCUUGGAGUUGUGAUAGCAGUAGAUGAGGUAGUGUUAGUUGUGUCCAUGGGAUUCCACUCGACCUUGGCUUGGGUUUCUUCCUCAAAUGAUUCAAUCUCCUCUUGAAGCUUUCCCUUGCCCUUGUGAUCUUGUGGUUGAAGGUCAUGUUGAGAGCUUGUUCCCUUGGGAAGAGUAGGAUCAUACUUUUCCUCUUGAGGAACGAACUUCGGUAUGGGAUAUAGACCUUCUUCCCAUUCAUCUCCGUUGGCAUUGAGGUAACCAACACCGUGCUUCUUCCGAUGUCCUCCUAGCUUGCGCAUAAUUUACUCGAAUUGCUAACUUUCGGCAAGACUCUUGAAGACACCUCUCUCUUCCUUUCCAUAAAUCAUUUUCUUUCUCAAGUGUAACUUGGCUAAGAGAAUCAUUAGUGGAAUCAAGAGAGCUACUAGAAACAACAUCAUUUGAUCUAACUUUAGCAUUUUGUUACUAGAUGAAGAAACUUUCUUGCAUUUGUUACUAGUGUUCUUAGGUUUGACUUGUGGAAUAAAAGUAGAUAAGAUUAAUCAUUUGAAUAGAUAAGAAUAACUCUUCUUCCGAAGAUCAUCAUUGAUUGCUCUUAGAAACUCAUGAUCUUGUCCUAAAUUUAGCUUCUCGAAGCAUAACUUCUCAUGAGUUCUUGCAAGCUCCCUUUGAUCUUCUAGAGUAGUUUCACGAGCUAACUUAAGAGUGUUAAAUACUUUAGUUAGUUGUUGAGUAUCUUUCUUAUCAUCAUCAUUCGAUUUCUCUUGACUAGCAUGAUUAUGUUCAAGUUCAUUUUCAAUGUUCUCACUAGUCUUAUCAAGGAGCAAGUCAUCUCCUCCUAACAAGUCAUCCUCAUCACUAUCAGAGUCAAAGUAAUUGGGGUGUGAUACCUUGGGGCCUUUUUCCAUGAAGUUGUUUCCAGUCCCUUCAUUUGGUGAAUCAAAUAAGUCAUAGGAGUUGGAGGAAACGAGUUCAAGACCGACAACACCUUCAUCUUGACUAUAGUCAGAGUUGGAGUGGUAGCUUCUCUCAGAUUGGUUGUCAGACUCGGAGCCGGAAAGCCUUUCACCAACAUGAUCUUGAUGUCUUGUUCUUGAGAUGCUCUUGGUGUACUUGUCCUUCCUCUCCAAUUCCUUUCCUCUCUGGGAGUGUCUUCGUUCAUAAUGAUCUUCUCUAAUCCUUCUCUUUGUGAGAGGUGACUCAUCUCUUGAGCUUCGUCUUCUAGGUGACUAUUCUCUUCUUUUGUGGGGAGCCGAGCACUCAUUGGAAUAGUGUCCUGGGUUUCCAUAGUUGUAGCAGUAUCGGUCACGACUAGACGAACGCUUCUCAUCAUGUAUUGAGCUUGAGCUUCUCUCCUUGCAUCUACUUUUGUAGAACUUGUUCAAUUUUAUGACCAUGAGGUUGAUCUCUUCAUUCGUAACAAAGUUGUCAUUUGAAGUAUCUUGAGUAUAACUUGAAACUCUGUAAGUACCGCUUGACUUGUUGUGCAACUCAUCUUUGUCCUUGAGUGACAUUUCAUGAGCAACAAUCCUUCCAAUAGCUUCAGUUGGCUUGAGAUCCUUGUAGUUUGGCAUCAUUUGAAUUAAUAUACACACGGUGUCGUAUCUUCCAUCCAAGGCUCUAAGUAUAUUCUUGAUGAUGAAUUAGUCGGUCAUCUCUUCACUUUCUAAGUCGGCAAUCUCAGCGACUCCCUCACCAUCCUUCAUCUUGAACUUGUCAAGAUGACUUUGAGGCACAUCCAACUUAGAUUCCAUGACAAAAUCAGCACCUUCGUGCAGAUGAAUCAAAGUAUCCCACGUGCAGAUGAAUCAAAGUAUCCCAAAUUUUCUUUGCAUUCUCAAGGCUUGAGAAUUUUAUUGCAACAUGUUCAAUUCUUCCGAUGUCGCAUCACGAUCCGGUUCCCUUGCUUCUCCAAAUAAAUCACCUUGCACACCAACACGAAUAACAGCCCAAACGGUAGGAUUAUGACCAAGAAUAUGCAUUUUCAUCUUAUGCUUCCAACUAGCGAAGUUUGUACCAUCGAAAUAUGCACCUCUACAGUGAUAAUUUCCCUCACUAGGCGCCAUACUCUCCUAGGUUGUGAAACCAAUGCAAUGGAGGCCAAAACUUUGAUACCACUUGUAGGAUCGAAAGGAUGUCUAGAGGGGGGAGGGUGAUUAAACUACUUGACAAGAUCAAAACUUAGCCUUUUCCCAAUUUUAGUUGUGGUCCAGUUUUAGAAACUACGAGUGGUCAAGUUCAGCCUACACAUGCAUAUCUAAGAGUAUAGAAGCGGAAAGUAAAUACAUGCAAAUGUAAUGUAGAGGGUAAGGUAGGAAGAUCAAACACAAAGGUUGACACAACUAUUUUUGGCGUGGUUCCGAUAGGUGGUGCUAUCAUACGUCCACAUUAGUGAAGACUUGAACCCAUGGAGGGUAAUGACUGCGAGAGUCCACGGAGGGCUCCACCCAUAAGGGGUCCACGAAGAAGCGGCCUUGUCUAUUCUACCAUGGCUUACAUCCACACAGGAGACAAGACUAGCCUCACUCACGGUACAUCUUCAUGAACUAGGCGAUCUCGUUGCCCUUACAAACUUCUUGGUUCAACUCCACAACACGAAGUAGGAGGAUCCCAAGCGACACCUAACCAAUCUAGGAGGCACCACCCUCCAAAAUGUAAUAGAUGCGGUAGAAUGAUGAACUCCUUGCUCUUGUGCUUCAAAAGAUAGUCUCAUCAACACUCAAUCACUCUCUCACAUAUUUGGCAUGGGUAGAAGAGAUUGAUCUUGUGGAAAAAACUUGGGGAGCCUACAGAUCAAGUUUCAAAUUGUUGAAUUGGAGUCUCUUGAUCUCAACAGAUCAGUAGGUUGCUCUCUCUCAGAAAUAUGGAUCUCGCAAGUGGGUGUAUGUUCUGAGUGCUUCCUCUAUGAAAUUGAGGAUGUGGAGGGGUAUAUAUAGGCAUCUCCCAAAAUCCAACCGUUACAACAUUAUUGCCCAACUCGGUGACAUUGAAAGGAAUCUUGGUGGUAUCGAGUUGCACUAAAUGUGGCAACUUUUGAAUUCUCGAUGAGACCAAUAUAUGAUCUCGGUGGUACCGAUACGAUGACCUAGACCAGUUUCCAAAUCUCAGCGAGACCGGCUCCAAUCUCGGAAAUUCUGAUUCUUGGAAUUUUCAUAACAGAAAGUUGGUCACUGAAUCUCGGUGGCACUGAUAUGAAAGUUGGUGGUACCGAGAGAUUAGGGUUUGGCAAAGGAUCUCUCUGGUGGAAAAUCAGUAGGGUCGAGUGGAAAAUAUUGGUGGCACUGAUUUUGCUGGUUUAGCUUUGGACAAAGAUAUAUUGUGGGAGAAUGGCUGAGUAUUUUUGGUGGCUAUCUCUAUGCACUUGAUCAACCAAUUCAUCAUAAUACCCCACCCCUUUUAAUAGUAUUGGGUUUCCUAUGGACUGAAAGUGAUUUCUCACAAAUGUAAAAUGUAGAGUCUUCUUGCUUGAAGCUUAAGCCAAUCCUAUUCCUUCCUUCAUCAAGGGGUUUCUCCUCACAAUCCUGUAGCCAAGGAAUCUUUGAAUUUUUUCCGAAAUAUACUUUGAUAAGCUCAUUAGUCCAAUGAUGCAUAUGUUUUGAUCAAUUAUCACGACCACCUUAGGGAACAAUUGUGCUUUCAGAGAGUUUCACCCCUCACAAACUGUUGUCGUUGCCACCAUAUAAACUAAGAAGCCACUACAAUCAGUUAUGAUGUUGGCAGCUCCCCUACUUUGGAUUGGUUUCUCUCUAAAACCUCAAUAGUUACAGAUCCUGACCGGUCCUCACAAACUGCCUUAUGGAUCACAUCUUUCACUCCAAGCUUUUUCCAAAUUCUAGAAGCACAACAAGAGGUGAAUAAGUAGUUAGAUAUCUUCAAACCCAACAUUGACUAGUAACAUGUAUGUGACAGCCAGUGAGCACUCCAAAGCAUGGUCGAAUUCCCCUCAGAACCUUCCAUGCAAAGGGUUUAACUUUGCGACAAACUCGAAGCCUUCAAGUAUGUUGUGUGUAAGUGUUAAACAUAAGAAAGUUGUUAAACUAAAUUGUGUUCUUAAUUUGUGCUAUAUAACUAGAUAUUGUGCCUUCUAUGAUACUACAAUUACUGUUAAACUGAAAAGCCCGCCACGACAACCAAAAAUGUUGACGUGUUCACUUGGCCUGACAAACAAUACUAGUGGCGGGCAUGUAUAAUAAACUGCCACUGGUACAAACAUUAGCAGUGGUGGACGCCCUGCCUGCCACUGAUGACUGGUUAGUAGCGACAGACACCCUUCACAAUAACCCUGCCAUUGGUAGGCAUUUUGUGUCUGCCACUGCUAGCCUGUUCUCCAGUAGUGACAAGGGUUUUCCUCCAAGACUAUAUCAUUCAUACCUAGUAUGCGUAGGAGUUAUCACCCGAUUUAAUGCAUGCAUGAUAGCAUGAAUCCUUUAGGGAUAAUUUGGAAGCAAGGUAAAGAAAAUGAGGGUAGCAAAUCCUCCCUUAUCACAUGAAUUUAAACAUCCCAUGUUAUUCACUUUAUUAAGUUGCCCCAUUUCAUUAAGUAAAAUUGUGCCCCUCAAAUUCACAAGAUUCCAAAGUUGUGGGAAUGAAAAGUACAAUGAGACGUCCAACUAAAUCAUAUAAUGUUUGUGAAUUUUGAAUCAAAGUUUUUUGAUUGUGCCACAGAAAGAACAAGAAUAUUAUUUACACUUUGUUUGAGCCAAUGCAAUUUUUCUUAUGUAAUGCAAGCAAAAUUGAAUCUGAAGGAGAAAAAUUUCCAAUAGGAUACGACUUUGGGGAUCAAAUAACACCCAUAGUAAAAAAGCAUAGGUCUAUUUAUAUCACAUCUAUAUUAUCUCACAUCUAAGUUAUGACAUCAGCGAAAGUCAAUGCUUUUCCAGCCCACCGCAUUUUCUUAUAUUUAUUUUUUUGCGACAUUUUUUCAUUCGUUUUUUUAUUGGAGCGUGCUAAAAAAUGCAAUAAGACUUGCCUAUGAAUCGAACUCAAGACUAGAUGGUGGUAGUUGAGAGCUCCCACCAGUAUAACCAUUACAUGCAUUUGAUAAAUUCUAAGCGGCAUAUCUUUAAGAAAAUACAACAGAGUUGAUAUUAGAAGAAAUUUUCAAGAAAAAUGUAAAAAAUUUUAAAUGUAAAAUAUUUCUGAAAACCAAAGAAAACUUGAAAUUUCCAAAGUAUUUUUCAAAUAUAAAUAAAGUUUGUAAUGCCAAACAUUUUUUGAAAAAUUAGAAAACAAUUUGAUAUUCCGAUUUUCUUAAAAAAGAUGACACUUUUUGAAAAAUUCCCGAACAAUUUAUAAAUCAGGUACACCUUUUAAAAUUCCAAUUCCUUUAAAAAACAUGGUUAAAUGAAUAUAUUUUUAUUGUAAUCAUAACUUUUCAACAAAUGUUUUUUUGCACCAUUAAAAGAAUGAGGGUGCAAAGAAUGUUCAUGUAGUUCACAAGAAUGUCCGUGAUGUUUAAUAAAAAUGUAUUAUACAAUGGAAAAUAAUCAUAACAUUCAAAUAAUUAUUAUUUACAAUCUUUUAAAAGAAACUUCACGCAUUUAGAAAAAUCAAAACAUUUUCUAGAAAAAAUAUUUGUCCGAUGUAAAAAAAAUGUUCACGUAUUUUUUUAAAAAUCAUACAAUUUAGAAAAAUGAUUUAAAAAAUGUUUACCAUGUAUUCUAAGAAUGCUUGGGCCUGUACUUGGAAAAAAAUAUUCAUCAUGCAUUUUUAAACAAUGGUAUGUGUGUUAAAAAAUGUUCCUAGUGUAUACAUGAAAAUGUACAAUGUGCAUUACAAAAGUUGACAUGUAUUUGUGAAAGCUAAAUUGCUCCCUAAGGUGGUUUUGAUAAUUAGUCACAUCAUAUGCAUCAUUGGACUAGUGAGUUUAUUCAAAUGCAUUUAAAAAAGUUCAAAGAUGCUUUGGCUAUAGGAUUCUGUGGAGAUACCCCUUUGAUGCAAGGAAGGAAUAUGAUUGGUUCAAGCUUCAAGCAAGAAGACUCUACAUUUUAUACUUUGUGAGAAAUCACUUUGAGUCCAUAGAAAAGCCAAUACUAUUAAAAAAGAGUGAGGUGUGAUGAUGAAUUGGUUGCUCAAGUGCUUAGAGAUAGCCACCAAAAAUACUGAGUCACUUUCCGACAAAAUAUAUAUGUCCUAAGCCACAUAAGCAAAAUCGAUGCCACCAACAUUUCCUACUCGUCCAUACCGAUUUUACACUUAGACAAAUUAUAUGCCAAACCCAUCAUCUCGGUACAACCAACAUUCCUAUCGGUGCCACCGAGAUUUGGUGACCAACAUUCUGUUGAGAUGAUUUCAAGUUUCGGAUUUUUUGAGUUUGAAUUUUGUCUCACCGAGUUUUGGAAACCAGUCUAGGUCAUCGUAUCGGUACCACCAAGAUUCUUAUAUCGGUCUCACCGAGAAUUCAAAAGUUGCCACAUUUAGUGCAACUUGGUACCACUGAGAUUCUUUUUGGUGUCACCGAGUUGGGCAAUACUGUUGUAACGGUUGGAUUUUGGGGGAUGCUUAUAUAUACCCCUCCACCUACCUCUCAUUCGUAGAGGAAGCACUCAGAACACACUUACACUUGUGAUAUCCAUUUUUCUGAGAGAGAGACACCUACUCAUGUGUUGAGAUCAAGAGAUUCCAAUCCAUUCAUUUGAACCUUGAUUUCUAGCCUUCCCAAGUUGCUUUCCACAAAAUCAAUCUCUCUUACCCAUGCCAAAUCUAUGAGAGAGUGAUUGAGUGUUGAGGAGACUAUCUUUUGAAGCACAAGAGCAAGGAGUUCAUCGUUCUACCACAUUGAUUACCUUUUGGAGGGUGGUGCCUCCUAGAUAGGUUAGGUGUCUCUUGGGAGCCUCUUACUUCGUAUUGUGGAGUUGAACCAAGAUGUUUGUAAAGGCAAGGAGAUCGCCUACUUCAUGAAGAUGUACCGUGAGUGAGGCUAGUCCUUCGUGGGCGGAAGCCGUGGUGGAAUAGACAAGGUCACUUCUUCGUGGACCCCUUGUGGGUGGAGCCCUCCGUGGACUCUCGCAGCCGUUACCCUCCAUGGGUUGUAGUCUCCACUAACAUGGACGUACGAUAACGCCACCUACCGGAACCAUGCUAAAAAUCUCCGUGUCAACCUUUGUGUUUGAUCUCCCUACCUCACCCUCUACUUUUUUUUGAUGGGAAACUGUAAGCAAAACCCCUCACAACGAGUUUUUUUUGAAAUAAUAAGAACUCAAAUUCGCGCCCGUGGGGACUUGAACGUGGGUGGCUGGGUUGUACAUCUACUCCACUAGACAAGUGAGCUAGGCUCACUUCCUUUACUCUUGCAUGUUUUACUUUCCGCUGCUAUACUCUUAGAUAUGCAUGUGUAGGGUUUACUUGACUAGUUAUAGUUGCUAAAACUGUCCCACACUUCAAAUUGGGAAACAACUAAGUUUUUAUCUUGUCAAGUAGUCUAAUCACCCCGCCUCUAGACAUACUUUCGAUCCUACAAUUUGGAAAAAUAACUAUAUAGGGGUACUGGGUUGGGAAUGAUUUGCAUGAGGAGAGUGGACAUGCAACUAUGUCGGACAUGAGCUGCAUGACUGAGUCGGGUGGGUUUACGUGUUGGGGUGGAAUGGAACUAGAUAGGGGCCGAGGCAAGUUGCGUGUUGAAAAACAAAACACAAGCUUACUUGUGCAUUAAGGGUGGACUUGCAAUUGGAAGAAGAGCUAGGUUGUGAGUGGAGGAUAGACUUACAUAUGGGACAACUACAAAUUGAGACCAAUUGCGUGUCAAUGGUUGACUUAAAACUGGGAUAAAACAAACUAUGGUUCAAGUUGCGAGUUAACGGUGGAUUUGCAACUAGGAUGAUGACAAAAAUAUAGGCUCACUUGCGAGUCAUUUGUGGGCUUGCAACUGGAAUAAAACAAACUAUGAGACUAGUUGCGAGUCGAUGUUGGACUUAUAACCGAGACAAGCAUAUAAACUAUGAUACGAGUUGAGAGUUGAGAGUAAACUUGCAAUUGAGAUGAAAAACAAAACACAUACCCAAUUGCGUGUCGAGGAUGGACUUGUAACUGAGAAAACAAAAAUAUGGGCCCGACUGCGAAUCGAGGAUGGACUUGCAACAGGGACAACAAAAAAACUAUGAUCCCACUUGUGAUUCGAGGACAAACUUGCAAUUGAGGCCCCUACAAGUACAAAGCCCUUAGUUACGAGUUGAGGUUGGAUUCGCAACUCGGGAAACUACAGGUACAGAAAGCCCAGUUGCGAGUCGAGGAUGGACUUGGAACCUUGAAAAUACGACUACAAAAAAGCCUCUGUUCCGAUUUGAGGGUGGACUUGCAACUGGGGCAACUACAUGUACAAAAAGGUCCCAGUUGUGAGUCGAGGGUAGAUUUUCAACUACGAUAACUACAGGUACAAACCUCGAGUUACGAGUCAACGGUGGACUUGCUACUAGGGUACCUAAAAUUACAACGCCUCGAGUUACGAGUCGGCGAUGGAGUUGAAGCUGGUGCACCUACAACUACAAAGCCUCGAGUUGCGAGUUGAGGAUGGACUUGCAACUAGAUUAACUACAAAGUACAAAAGAAAACCAGUUGUGAGUCAAGGGUUGACUUGCAACUAAGACAUCCACAGUUACACAAAAACCCCUAGUUGCAAAUCAAGGAUGGACUUGCAAGUGGAGCAACAAUAGGUACAAAGCCAGUUGUGAGUCGAUGGUAGACUUGCAACUUGGCCAACCACAACUACAAUACCUUCAAAAGAAGGGUGAAACUAUGAAAUUGGGAUGAAACCAACUAUGGGACCAGCUGCGUGUCGAGGGUGGACCUGGAACCGGGAUAAGAAAAAAAGUACAAGCUCAAGUUGUGAACCGAUGAUGGGGUUGAAACUCGAACAACUACAGGUUCAGUUACGAGUCGAUGAUGACUCCAAACUUGCACAACUACAAAACUAGGAGCCCAGUUGCGAGUCAUGGGUUGAUUUGCAACUAGGAUAAAACAAACUACUGGACCAGUUGCGAGUCAAGGGUGGACCUGCAACCGGCAUGAGAAACUAAACACAGUCUGAGUUGCGGCUCAAGGGUGGGCUUGAAACUGCUAUGAAACAAACUUCAUGCCUAGUUGCGAGGUCAGGAUGUACUUGUAACUGGGACAACUACAUGAAACUAAGAUAUGAGUUGCAAGUCGAGGGUGGACUUGCAACACGGACAAACUACACAAAACUACGAUACGAGUUGUAGUCGCGAGGGUGAACUUGUAACUGGGACAACUACAAAACUACGAGUCGAGUUGCAAUUCAAGUAUAUCAUUGCAAUUGGGAUGAAACAAACUACGGGCCUAAUUGCGAGUCAAGGGUGAACCUGUAACUGGGAUGAAAAACUACACAUAGACCGAGUUGCGAGUCAAGACUAGACUUGCAUCUAGGAUGAAAUAAACUACGGGCCUAGUUGUGAGUCAAGUGAGUACUUGCAACUCGGGAAAAUACACAAAACGACUACGAGUAGCGAUUCAACAGUUGACUUGCAACUCGGACAACUAAAUGAAACUACGAUAAGCGUUGCGAGUCCAGGGUAGACUUGCAGCUGGGACAACAAUAAGGCUAUGGGCUCAGUUGCGAUUCGAAGGCAAAUUUGCAAUUGGGACAACUACGAAACCAUGAGCCCAGUUGUGAGUCAAGGGUGAACUUGCAACCAGGAUGAAACAAACUACAUGCCUAGUUGCGAGGCAAGGGAGGACUUGCAACUCGGCAAGUACACAAAACUACCAUACUAUUUGGGAGUCAAGGAUGGACUUGCAACCGAAACAAUAACAAACUACGAGCCCAGUUACGAGUUGAAUGUGGACUUGCAACUAGGAUGAGAAAAACACAUAAUGAUUUAUGAGUUUAGGGUAAACUUGUAACUAGGAAAACUAAAAAUUCAUUUACGAGUUAAAGAUGGACUCUACAAAUUCUCGGUCAUGCCAAAAAAACACACAACGAAAAUGAACAAAAAAUAUAAAGGGAUCGCGCCUCCCAAGCAACGAUAAAAGUAACAUGAGAACAUGCGAGCAUAAAACAAAAUGGAACAAGAGGACGCGCGACAAGAGAGAAAGAGCUGACACGGACGCACAUGAUCGACUUUGUGCAAACAUCAAACAAAUCAGAUGAUUAUAACUUGAUAAGACAUCACUAAAUCUCAUCUAAAUAAGAUUUAGCAAAUCUAAAAAAUAUCUAGUUACACUCUCCUCUACUACACAGUCAAACUAAAAUAAACAUAUAACCCACAAAAAGCUAGUACACACAACGUAAAAGGGCACACUAAAAAAAGUCAUAUAUGACCUCACUGCUUAACGAGGAGCGAAUGAAAAACACGACACAUCAACAAUGAAAGUGAAUCAUAAGCAUAUGAAUCAGAUGAGACGUUGUUAACUCACAUUUACUCCCUCCGUACCUAAAUAUAAGUCUUUUAAUAUAUUUCAUUAGGUGUCUACAUACAAAGCAAAAUGAAUGAAUCUAUACUCUAAAACAUGUCUAUAUACAUUUGUAUGUAGUCCAUUAGUGCAACAUCUAGAAAGACUUAUAUUUAGGAACGGAGGGAGUAGAUGAGAAUUAGACGUGAGUUAACAAAAACAAUAAAAAAAGAAACCCCUGGAUCAUACCGUAGUGACCCACCAAAUGACGCACGUAGAAGUAGGUAAGUAAGUAAGUAUCUUGGAUUACCUGCGAUAGUGGGAGCAGAUAGGAGUGAAAGCUUUGAAUACUUUUGUGACAAAAUCAAGAAGCUUCUGAAGGGGUGGAUGGAAAAGCAACUGUCAACAGGAGGGAAAGAAAUCUUGUUAAAAGCAGUGGCUCAAUCCAUCCCUGUCUUCGCUAUGUCAGUUUUCUGUUUGCCUAAGGGAACUUGCAAGGAUAUCACGGAUGUAAUUGCUCAGUAUUGGUGGGGAGAUGAUGAAGAAAACAAAAAAAUGCACUGGUUCUCGUGGUGGAAACUAUGCAUCCGAAGUGUGAUGGUGGCAUGGGUUUCCGCGAUCUUCACUCUUUUAACUUGGCCCUUCUUGCGAAACAAUGUUGGAGAUUGAUCACAAGGUCGGAGUCCAUCUGUGCUCGCAUCUUGAAGGCAAAAUACUACCCAAAUACAGACUUGCUACACGCUGGACCAAAGAGCGGAUCUUCGUUCACAUGGCAAAGCUUGAUGGCGGGCUUGACUGCGUUUAAAAGAGGGUACAUUUGGCGAAUUGGUUCGAGGGAAAAUGUAAGUAUAUGGAAUGAUCCAUGGAUACCCUCAAGCCCGGACAGAAGGGUGAUAACUCCUCGGCGGCAGAUUCUGAUUUCGAGGGUGGUAGAGCUCAUUGAUCCAGUCACCGGCCAAUGGGAUGAACAAUUGAUACGAGACAUCUUUUACCCAGUCGAUGCAAACAGAAUCUUGCAGAUACCUUUAAAUUUUCAAGCAUUUGAUGACUUCAUUGCGUGGCACCUCACAAGGAAUGGUAUUUUCUCGGUGAGGAGUGCUUAUCAUGAACAAUGGUCACAUAAGCUCAGGGGUCAAUCCCUUGUGAAUUCAGUGUCCACCAGUACUAUGCAGGCAGCUAUUUGGAAGAAGCUCUGGGAGUUACAAGUGCCAUGGAAAAUACAGAUUUUCUUUUGGCGGGCGUUGCGUGGAAUUGUACCACUAAAAUCCAUUCUUGCUAAUAAGCACAUCCCUAUUGAUGGGGAGUGUCCGGUGUGCCAUAGGGGACCUGAAGACAUGCGGCAUAUGUUAUUCCAGUGUGAUUUGGCGAGAAGGUUGUGUGCUGGACUAGGGCUGAUUGAUCGUAUUGAACAAGCAGUUCAAGUGGAUCGCUCAGGGUCAGCCAUCUUAGAAUUUCUCCUACUAGAGCUGGACCAACCAAUGUCGAUCAUGUCAAGUAUUAAUGACAAAGAGGUAAUAGCGGCUGGCUGCUGGUAUCUCUGGUGGCUCCGCCGGCGACACACCCAUCAUGAUUCUUGCCCUCCAUCCUUCAGGUGGCAUACCUCAAUUCUAGCAAUAGUGGGAAAUUACAUAAAAUCUUUAUCAAAGAAGAGGGAACCGGUGGAACACAAGUGGAAGAGACCAGAGGCAAGAUUUAUAAAGCUAAAUGUGGAUGCUUCAUUCCAUUCAGAUGAAGGAUCGAGUUCUACUGCAGGUAUCUUACGAGAUGAAAAGGGUGGCUUUAUUGCAGGGUUUUGCAGAUUCAUUCCCUUUGCAGCUGACGUUGUCACGAUUGAAGCAAUGGCAAUGCGAGAUGGUUUACAUUUGGUGAACUCCUUGGGCUUUAACAGGGUAGAAGCGGAAUCAGAUUCUUUGAGCGUCAUCAAGUGUUGCCAAGGGCAAGAUCAGUGGUGGGAUGCAGCAGCGGCUGUCUUUGCUGAGUGCAUAGAUAUGGCUACAUCUAUAGGAAAGGUCAUCUUUUCUCAUUGUUUUCGUGAAGCUAAUUCAGUAGCUCAUGAGCUAGCAAAGUUUAGUUUCUGUAAUAAAGUUGAGCACAAUUGGACUAAUGAACCUCCUGAGUUCUUAGUUAGCCAAUUGAUGAAUGAUGUUUUGAUUAUUUGAGUUAAUAAAGCUAGCCAUGAUGGCCUUUCCUCAAAAGAAAAAAGGAAACGCAUGUACGCGACACUAGAUGCAGCAACAAAAUAAUCCAUGAUUAAGAUUUGAAAAAAUGUAAAACAAACAGAUGAGAGUAUGUUUUUCAUGAAUAUUAAAAAAAAUGGAAAACAAGAAAAUACAAAUAUAAAUAAAAGAAAACCAGGAAACUAAAAUACUUGAUAAUUUGAAACAAAUAAUAAAACAGAAAAAAGAAAAAGAAAAAGAAGAAACAACAAAAGUAAUGCGGCAGCCGAUAUAGGCUACAGCCCAUAUAACAAGAAGAACCUAUAGGUACGAGGGCAGCUACCUAACAUACCGUUGGCGAUCCUAAAAAAAGUGAUCCUCAAACGCAACAUUCGUUUCUUCAAAAACAGGGUUGGGGGGGGGGGGAUAACAUAGUGUAUGAAACAGAACUACUAGACGGAUGAAAAAAGCAAAUCAAUCCGUGGUUGGAUGAUUGGAGAGACAGUGAUAUCCCAGCACAUCAGGGUUUAAAUCCUGAUGCUACACUAUUUUUAAAUUUAUUUCAGGAUUUCCGACAAUAUGCUUUCAGUGGGAGGAGACAUUCCCGUCGAGGAUAAGAUGCCUACAGUGACUUUGUAAAUCUCAAGACGAUAUACUCGCUCAGUCUUUGAGAGAUGUUCAUAGGGAUAAGAUGUGUGUAUGUUCGGUUUAGGAGUUAAAUCUGAGAUAAGUAUUUUACAUCUAGAUGUGAAAUAGCAAUUUCAAAAAUUCAUAUGAAAAAUCUCUGAAUGAAAAAGACUCAUUAACUUAGAAACUCCAUGCAAAAAUACAAGGCUAACUUUUUUUCUCUUAAAUAAAAAAGAAAAAUAGAGAAAAAUGACGGAGGAUAACACUUGGCAGUGGGCGGGUGAAACACAUCACAAUUUUAUUUUCAAAUUGAUCUCUAACCAGGAAAAUACCCCGCGCAUACAACCAAGACCACGCACUCACCCCAUCGCAUGGCCUCCACACGCCUUGUCGAUAUCCAUGGUGGCAUCUAGCGCCGGCCGGGUGGCACGGAUCCCCCUUCACUCCCUCAGCGUGUGAACGUCGUCGCUCCAGCCCAACCGUUGCUCGUGUUCAGGAUAAGCUGCCCAGCUCGUCCGCCCUUCUUAUUGCCGCUGCUUCUCAGCUCACACGCUCCAACACUAUCCUCUCGUGUCUCGUCGAGCUAUCUGUCCACGGAGUAGUACCUUCCCGAGCUAGCUCGCAGCUCCGCCGCAAUGGCCACCGUGGUGAGCAGCCUCCGCUUGCCCUUCUCCGUCUGCGCCGCCGCCCCCUCGGCGCCCAUGGCAUCCCGCGUCGCGCUCCCGCUGUCGUCGACGGCUGCCAGGGGCAUGAGGCUCCGCGCGCAGGCGACGUACAAGGUGAAGCUGAUCACGCCGGAGGGCGAGGUGGACCUCGAGGUCCCCGACGACGUCUACAUCCUCGACCACGCCGAGGAGGAAGGGAUCGACCUGCCCUACUCCUGCCGCGCCGGCUCCUGCUCCUCCUGCGCCGGGAAGGUGGUCUCCGGCCAGCUGGACCAGUCCGACCAGAGCUUCCUCGACGACGACCAGAUCGAGGCGGGGUGGGUGCUCACCUGCGCCGCGUACCCCACCUCGGACCUCGUCAUCGAGACACACAAGGAGGAGGAG
This 124026-nucleotide long non-coding RNA is filed under the name Hordeum vulgare. Its description in RNAcentral is "long non-coding RNA (HVUL_LNC019543)". Lineage: Eukaryota; Viridiplantae; Streptophyta; Magnoliopsida; Poales; Poaceae. The record is from RNAcentral.